Molecule: long non-coding RNA, 140371 nt
Filed under: Prunus persica (peach)
Lineage: Eukaryota; Viridiplantae; Streptophyta; Magnoliopsida; Rosales; Rosaceae
Description: long non-coding RNA (PPER_LNC002345)
Source: RNAcentral
ACAGCCACUCUUCACAAAAAUCAAACUCUUCAUUUUGUCACAGAACGUUUGGGCUUCGUUCACCUCUAUCUGGGUAAGUCCCAACUAUCUUUAUUUUUUUAUGAGAUUUUAAGCUCCGGGCUCUGUGAUUUCUACAAGAAUUAAUUCCACAAUAUUCUGAUUUUACUUGUUCAAAUCAAAGCAAAGGAAGGGAUGUUGUUUUUGGAUGGGUAAUUGUCAAAAACGACUUGUGGAAUCUGCGUGCUUAUAAUCAAAUUUUGAAGAUUGUCAAUGGUCCACAGUCCACAUUUGACACCGAGAAUGCCUCAGUCACUACUGCCAUCACUCUCCAUCUCUCAAUAGCUUGUUUCUUCAUAAGACAAAUCAUUAUCUCAAGCUCCUUUCAAAAUUCUAUCAUUUGGUCAGUUGAUUCAGUUCUCUUUUAAAAAUUUAUUUGAAGUCUUAGACAUAGUUUUUGAUCUAAUUUUUCCUUUUGAAUUAUUGGUUAAACUUUAUUUAUUUAUAAUUUUGGAAUUGAUGAGAUAUCUGAUCUGGGCUUCAAAUUACCCUAAUUUGUUUUUCUUUAUUGUGAUUGUGAUUUUAGCUAAGGAUUGGGUGAUGGGUUUUUGUUUUGGGUCAUCUGAUAUGGUUUUGAGAUUGGUUUCAUAUAUAUGAUUUUGGUUAGUGUUAAAGUAAAUAAAUCGGUAUUUCAUUCCUGCGGUUUUUGUGGAGGUACAUCAUUGUAUCAUGCUUAUUUUCUCUUUUGAUUAUAUGGUUCUAUAAUCUAUUUGUUUGGUCAGUGCUGGUUUGAUGAGUGCAUGACCUGUGCUGAAAAGUGGCAUAAAAAACUUCAAAUGCAGAGCAAUAGGCUCCUUAAAUACACAACUUUGCAGAGCAAAAUGUUCUUUUAGAUAUAAAAAAAAAUGCUCGUUUGAAUACAAUAGUGGGUAGUAGGAUGUUUGAAUACAAUCAUAUAAUAAUAGCCUCUUGAUAAGUGCUAACUUUGUUUUGUUUUUUUUUUGUUUUUAAUAUGUGAGCUUAAUUAUGAAUUUCAAUGCAAUAUUUUUGAACAAUUGAUUUAUAAUAGAAAAACAACAUGCAUACAUUCUCAAUAGCUACUCUUUGAUCAUAGGAUAUUGGUAUUGCUAGCAGCUAGUUAUUAGUCUUUGUGUCCAAGAAGACCCCAUUCUGAGCACAAAUUUGACAGAGUGGUUAUAGAGAUAAAAGGUGCUAAGAAAUUAGAUAUUCUGAUUUGUUCAAUUACAUUGCACCUAUCCUAUUAUAGUUACAGCUAACCUCAACUAGCUUACUGAACAGUUCUAACUGAUAUGAGAGUUAUAACCAGUACUAUUUCUUUGCAUACUACCAUUGAAUUAGUAGGUGAGUUGUAAAUAGUUGUGUUUUUGUUUAUGCUCAGUAUUGUUUGUUUAUUUUUCGCUUAAUAGUCUAUAAUACUGAUUUCUUCAUUUAAAAUGUUGUACAUUGUGUGACAUAGGAGAUGAGUUACUUGUAAAUGAGGGAACAUUGACAUUUUCCUUCCUAUUUCUACUUUGUUUAGCUAAACAACAUAACCGAGGAGAGUUUGCUUGCUUAUAAAAUACCGACUUCUGUCUUUAUUCUUUGUCUUUCGCCCUUUGUACGUUUCUUCUUAUUUUUCCUGAUCUUGUUUGGUUUCAUGAUCAUAUGUUCCUUUGGGAUUUGGCAAUAUGUAUCUGUGAUAUGGUUCUCUCUUUUGUUAAUAUUUGUGAUAUGGUUCCAUCUUUUGUCUAUAUUGUACGUGUGUGACUGAUAUAUCUUCUGCCUAUUAAUCAACUAUGCCUGUGUAUUGUUUCUUUAUUGCUUGUUAUUGUCUAGAUUUCAACGGCUUGAAAUUAUUUGUAUAAUAUUGGCCUGCAGGGAAAUAUGGUUUCUCCAAUUAAGUUGAUGAUUGCUGAGGAAGAAAAGUUCCAGGGAAAGGCGUUGUCCCUUUCCUAUACAAAGAUCGCAAUUAGUACCAUAAAGGACAAAUUCAGUUCGCAACAGCUACGAGGGUUUGAAGAGAGUUGUUUUGGUCAUCUCUUACUCAUUGAGGACCUUAAGUGGACUUCGCCAAUUGUCCACGGCUUGUUGCUGAGGAAGGCUGAUCCGAAGACAGUUUCCCAAGUGAACGGGAUAAAAUUCAACGUUGGCAAUAAGGUGACCCAAUUCACGGCUCAACAAUUUUGCGUCAUCACAGGGCUAAGGUUUGGAAACCUUCCUUUCAUUCCGAUUGCCACUAAUGAGAACUGCUCAUUGAAAAGGAAGUACUUUUGCAACGAUAAAACUGUCAACCUUUUGGAAUUAGAAAAAGCCUUCCUCGACUGCGCUAAUGAGGAUGAUGUAUUCAAGCUUGGAUUUGUAUACUUUGUUGUUUUUGUGCUGUUGGGCAGUAAAAAAACAUGUCCACAUUGACAUGCAGUAUUUGAAGUUGGCGGAAGACCUUGAAGAGUUUGUGAAGUAUCCAUGAGGUGCUAUGUCUUAUGCGAAGACAAAUGCGUCACAUUUGAGGGCACUUUGUGCAAAUUACCAGCGAGUACAAGUGCCCAAAAAAGCUGUGAAAACAAAAAACUCUGAAAAGAAAGCAAAGACAACGACAACUAGUAGAACAAGAGAGUACCACAUCAAAGGUUUUGCCUUUGUAUUUCCGGUGAGCAAAUUUCCAUUCAUGUUUAAGUUAAAUUUCAUUUGUUUACAGUGAGUGAUGUUUUCUUCUUCAAACCAGAUUUGGGCUUAUGAGGUCUUCCAGCGUUGGAUGCACUGUAUUUGGUCGUGCACGAAGAGAAUGCCUACAUCCCUCGUAUACUACAUUGGAGGAGCAAUACUUCGGAUCGUUUUCAUGAGCUAAUGAGCCAAGUAUUCGAGAACCAUGAGGUUAGUUAUGUUUUUUUAUGAUAAUGUUAGGCAUAUGAAAAUAUAAUAAGUUUACUGAUAUGUAUAUUGUAUGUGUAAAUUGCAGGUUGAUGUGCAACUUCUCCGGCCAACUGUAAUUGACAAGCAGUAGCCCUAUUGGCCUUGGGGUGACAGUGUUAAUGACACUGAAGAAAUUGUUGAGUUGUUUGGCAAUGACGUCGAAGAAAAAACCAGCACAUCUGCCUCUGUAGAAGAAAAAGAUGAUGACAUUGACGAAAUUGCUACCCUUUCGUCGUCGUCUAAGGUAAGCAUUACCUUUUUCCAAUACAUAUGUCAUACUACAAUAGGAAAACAGUAGCUGUAUUUGGGUUAUAUUUUGGAAAUAUUGUAACUGUUGCAUUAUAAUUGAAUGGAGGGUAAAGCCCCGUCCACUGAGUUACGCACUUUGAAGCGUGACUUUCAAAGGACAAAGGAUGAAUUAGCCAAUGUAGUCAGUUCAAAUCGAGCGCUUCGAAACAGAGUGCAUGCCUUGGAAGAAAUUGUAUGGAAGGAGCCGUUGAAACUUGAAAAAGAGUCUGCAAAAAAUAGAAAGUGUGUGGAGGAUUUCGGCAAGACCCUCUUUUCAAUCGAACACUAUUUUAAGCUGGAGAUAGAGGAGUUGAAAAAACGAAAUGGUGGGUUGAAUGAAGGUGGGGAAGGACAUGAGGAACUCGGUAGUCCUCAUAUGAAUGAAGGAGGCGACAAUGACAUGCCGCUAUUACAUGAAUAUGUUAGUCCGCCUACAGCACCGGCAGCAAUGGAAGCACAAGUCCCCGGUGAUGGAGCCGAACCCUUCGCAGCCAUGGUAGUCGAAGAGGCAGAAAUGGCCGCUUCAGUUCUUUACAUACAAGUGCAUGAAGCAACUAAGCAUGCAGAAUCCGAGAAGCUGCCUACCCCAGAAGAUGUGGCCGGGUGCAACAAAAUCUGCAAAAGACUGUUGUUUUUGUUAGAAGAUUGGAAAAUAACCGACAGUAUGCCAUCGGGAGGUCCGAUGAAUCCUCCAAGAAUACCCAAAGUUAGUGUGGCUGGUGAUGAAGAAGGUAGUGCGAGUGUUGAAAAACAAGACGUGGAAGCUAAAGGGUGCAGAAAGAAGCGCCCAGCGCAGACAUUGUUGAGUCCAUUUACUGAUCCUUUGAGGAAGAAAAGGACGACGACUGUGUCGGAUGCGGCUGCAACCCCGCCAUGUUUUGAUCCAACAAAACCCCUGCCCAUUGAAGAUGUGAAGGCAGUAAUAGAGUUUUGCACUGCCUGGAAAAACGAUAUCAUAUUAGGAUUCUUUACCUUCGAAAUCCAAUCUUCAUGUUAUUGUAGUAUGUAGUCAUAUAGCAAUGAGAAAAUGUAGAGUUUGCUUUAAUAUACAUGUGUGUAUUUGUCAUCAUUUACCAAGUCAGAAUUAUGAGAUGAGUACAAAAUUCACUGUUGCAAGUUUGCCUAUUGUAGUGUGGAGGUGCAGCAGGAAUCAUGUUCAGUGGGCCCUGAGUUUUUCUACAAACUGAUCGAUGAUACGGAAUGGAUUAGCUCAAGGGUAAGAAUACACAAAGCUCUACUUCAUUACGAUAAUGCAAUUGUUUUCUCACCUUUGUUAAGUGUACAUUUGUAUGAAAUUGUGCUCAUAUUAUAUAUGUCAACUUCCAGCACCUUGACAUGGUAACCUUUCUUAUCCGGAAAAGGUAACUCUCUCAUCCGUCGAUAUUUGGAACUCACCGAACAAUGGCAGAUUAUUGCUUGCAGGUAAACAUGUUACCAUGUUACAUUCACUGCAUCAUUUGCUUCUGGUUGUCAUUCUGUAAUAUGUCUUCAUUUCAAUGUCUGCAGCAAUUUCUAGAGCCGGUCAAGGGCCUGCCAAGAAACGAGGAUCGAAUAAGGCAGCUGCUUCAAACACCAUUGACCUUCCACCUAGCAACUUGAACAAUAUACAUCACUAUGUGCGCAGUACGUGGCAACACGGGUAUGGGCAAGCUUGGACAAAAGUCCGGAAGGUCUAUUUUCUAUAUAAUCUUCAAGGGUCCUACUGGGUUGCAAUCGAAAUUGACUUCGUAUGACAUACUGCAACUGUGUAUGACUCCUACAUUGCUUUUACCUCCACUUCGAAGCUAGUUAAAUAUCUGCACCCUAUUAGCGAUACGCUGGCACGGGUACUGUACGAGAUGCACUUUUACAAUGCUUCUGAGGUUCAAGAGGUUAAACAAAAGGGGAUGAAGAUGUCGACGUUUACGCCAUUCACAGUUUGCAGCAUUGGAGAUGUGCCACAACAACGGGAUGGGCAAGCUUUGUGAAUUUAGUGCAGUUUAUCUACAUAACUGCAGUUCUAAUUUCCGAACUUAUUUCUCGACAGUACCUCUUACGGAAUCUUGACCGUCAAAUUCAUCGAGUAUCUCAGUGCUGGCAUUUCAUUGGAUAAAGUUGACCCUUUGAAGAUCAAAUAUUACCGACUCAAGCUUGCAAUCGAGAGUUUAAAGGGAGAGGCAUAUAUAUGAGGUAAAUGUCAUAAUGUCUGUGAAUUGAGUUCAGUCUGGACUUAUGACUUGGUAAUUCACUUUCUUCAUGAUUUUCUUCGACAGAUUGAUUUGUGGUCUUGAUUUGUGUGUUAAUUGGGUAUUAUAGCUAUUGCUAAAAAAUUAUGGGUGAGGUUUCUUUCUGGGUUCAAUUCAAAUGAACAAGUGCAUAUGUGGUGCAACAGGGUCUUUAAUUUUUGUAGAUGUUUACUAGUCCUCUUAUGUGAAAAUAUAGGUUCUUUACUUUGUAAGAUGGUGCAAAGUUUCAAAUCUAAAUGAAAUCAAUUCCAUUCAUAAUUAAGGUUGGAAUGUAUAUUUUUUUAUUCACUAGGUAGAUGUGUUAGAUGGACUGGUAUUACUGCAUGACAUGACAAACUAGGCAACCCCUCACUUUGACUGUCAUCAUAUGAUGGUUUUCUAGUACAGAGUUCUUCGACAGAGCAGUGACUCUGCUACUCUCACUAUGAAGUUAUUUUUGCUUGUGAUCUAGCCUGGUUACUUCUUCGUCAUGUUUUUUGGCUCAGAAGGAAUUGUUUUAACAUCAUUCUGUUUUUGGGUGUCAUUCGAGCAUGGUUCGAAUGGGUAAUGAGGAGACUUGUUUUUGUAGCUUGUUGAUACUGCUCUAUGACUGAUCAUGUCAUGGGUGCAUGAAUAGGGAUAGAAUUCAAGGCAUGGAAGGAAAGAAAUUUGAGGAAGGGGAUGGUUAAGUAUUAAUGUAUUUCUUCUUCUUAAGAACUAAGUUGGCUAACGAUGAAUGAAGAAAUUCUACCUCAGCCUAUUAACCUAUAUGUUGUUUAUUCAAUUUACCCAUUAAAUGCUUCUGUGAUUGAAGAAAUAGAUUUGCCCAUCCUGGUUUCAUUUAAUUUCCAGCUCCUUUGUUUAUUGCAUAUGUAUCAUGUAAGUAAUUAUUCCUUUAGCUGCAAAGUUCUAUUUGAUGAGACAUCCACUUGUUAUGCAUUAUUUCUCAGUGAAGUCUGACACAACUGAAGUAUUUAAGAUAACUAGUGGGGAGAUGAUAUCUGUUCUUUCUGAGUUCAUGGAUACUAGUGAAAAUAAAGAUAUUAGGGUUGAAGAAUAUUUAGAUUUCAUUGUUAAGAAGUGAUCAGUUGCAAGCAAGGAAUCUAGAAAUUUCCACUCUAAAGCAAUCAGAGAAAGCAUUUCAGCCAAAUUCAUAUAAAAAGGAUAGGAAGUUUCCACUUUUAUCCGCAGAGAAAAAGGAGCUGGACAAACGUUUCAGCACUAUUUCUCAGCGCUAUCUUUUUGUUUUGUUUUACAUGUAGUAUUUUAUUUAAUUUUUCGCAGAUUUUGUUUGUCAUUCCAUUCUUGAGAUGUUAUAUGCGUACUUGCAGGCUUGAGAAAUUUUCCCAUGUUUGGAGGUCAAAACAACUUGUGUAGUCAACCAUGCAUAUAAUUUCAAAGUUGAAGCUGAUGGUGUCUUUUGAGCCAAUGGAUUUUCCUAGAUAUCAGAAGUGCAAUGGAAAAUUAACGAGUUGAUCUAGACAAAGAGUCAAACAUUUUUUCUGUUGGAUGCUGGAAAUGCCUCAUAUAAUUAUUGGCUAUGUUGCAAGAUGUGGUGUCAUCAAAUGCUGAGAAGAGAGACCUCAAGUGAUACACAUCGACCAUUUUCUGUGAGCUAAUUCGAUAAAUAGAAAUUGUCUGGUGCUUUUUUGUCUUAAGAAGGGUGGUUUAACUUUGCCUUGUUUGCUUUUGGUCUGUAACAUUAUUUCUCAUUGGUUGUUCUUGGAAUUUUUUUUUCUUUCUUUCCUUAUGUAUCUCUUAGAACUUGCCUUUUGCCUUAUGGAAUUGUGGAUGUUUAUUUGUAUGUAUUAAUGGUGGAUUUGUGUGCAGUGAGAAUUUCUAAUUUCGAGUCAUGUGGUUGACUUUUGCAUAUAUGAAGAAUUAUUUGUUAUUGAUACAUUAAUCGAAUUCUUUGAGUUUGCAUACACUCAAUUAUUAUACAUAAACUUUGUGGAAUUUUUAAAAACCUUUGGUUUGGGGAAAAGAAAUGUACAUGUCAAUUUGAUAACUAUAAAGUAUGUUCAUAGUUUUAAGAUCUUCAAUUACAUUUAAUUAGCUAAAAAUUAUUAUAUUUAAAUAUUUAAAUAAAUUUUUUUAUAGUCCGACUUAGUACCAAACAUAGGUCUUCAUUAUUUUUACAAUCCAGCUUCUUAGUCCGACACAGCACCAAAAGUAGGUCAGUAUUUAAUCUAGCUUAGGCCAAUCUGAACUAAUCCAAGACAGUCUCAGGAUUUGGUCUAGUCCAUAAUAGACCGCCGUACCAAACGACCCCUAAGUAUAGAGAUGGUUAGCAAAUAUCAUGUUGAGCACUGUGACCCGUGCAAAGUUAAACUGCAUAAAUUAGUUUACUAGUUGUUCUUUAUCUUUUUGAAGAUUCAUUACUUGUUCCAAAAAUUAGUUAUCUGUAUUAGAUCGCAUAAUGUUUGAACUAAUGGUCAUCAACUCAAUCCUGCCUUUGCUUGCUUGGAGAAGCUCUACUAUUUACUUUCUUUUUUUUGUGAAAAGGUUUAAUGGAAAGCUAUCUAUCCAUUCCAAAUUAAGUUCAUGUGUUCUUUGUUUUCCUUACAGGAAAAUGGAGGUCAAACAAUGAACAUAUGUAAAAAAUGAAAAACAGAGGAAGUGCAUAAUUCGUUUCUGGCUAAAACGCAAUAAACUGGUGAUAGGUUGGUGAUACAGUAGUGAUACAGAAGCGAUAAAAGGGUGCUAGAAAUUGCUGUUUCUGUUUAUUUUGGGCUUCUUCUUUUGUUUCAUUUCAUUUACUUAGCUUUAAUAAUUGGAUGAUUACGAGAUCAAUUUGUGUGAAUUAUUAAUACAACAAUUACAUAUAUGAAGAUUAAGACGAACAACAUAUCGUAUCACCAAACAUAAUCAAACACCAAAUGUAAUCAUCCUUUUUUUCAACCAAUCACGAAGCAUUUGCAUAUUUAUUCAUACCUUCCUUUUCGUGUACAUUAUUUUUUAGUUGUUAUUAUUUUUAAAAAUAAUUUCUUACAAUGUCUUAUGGUGCAAUUAUAAUGCACCUGACUGCCUGUUUUUGAAAGGCACAUCUUUCUCGUCGUCGUCUUCUUUUUUAAUGAAGUAGGGCCUAAACCAUAAACCUAUUGAUGAGCCGUAGUCAAUAUACAUACAAUAUAAUAGCAAUAUUAGGCCAAUAUACAGGCACUAGAGAGUCAAUAUUAGGGCAAUAUAACCGCAAUGCAAUAGCAAUAGUAUCACAAUAUACAUGCAAUAGGGUGGCAAUAUGCACAACAAUAUCUAUACAAUACACGGGCAAUAUUAGUACAAUACACAUGCAAUAGGAGAGCAAUAUUAAGUCAAUCUACAUACAAUACACACACAUCCAUUACAAACUACAAUUUACACAUGCAAAAUAAAUUGCCACCGAACCCUAACAAUACUAUCCCGCGAAGGGAAAAGGAAGGCAACACUUUGACAUCGCAUCACCCAGCACCACAUGAACCGAACCAGCAUUGACCCUUACUAGUGGUCCAUCAAAAGAUCCAUGUCUUUGGCCUUCCUCCUCGCUGCAUGCACGAGGCUAUAAUGAGCCAUUCCCUAUCCACCCAUAUUCAGCACCUACCAGAUACCAACUACAUCAAUUUCACUCCAAUUGUAGUCUGGUGAGAUGACCGAAGCAUAAUCUCGGAACAUUUCGAAGCCGUUGUUGAAACAUUCAACCAUGUCAUGGUUAUAUUCUUCAGAUUUUGUGAAUUUUUCGACAACAUAUUUCUUUGUCUCUUCCAAUUUUAACUUGAGGGACUCUAACUCUUUGCUCCGACUUAUUGCUUUUAGAGUUUGCUUCACUUCUCCAGCAUAUGCUUUGUUCAACUUGUUGGCCAAGUUUCCCAUCACUUGGCCAUGAAUAUCACAUUUUCUCUCCCACCAAUCUGUUGCCUUAGACAAAUAUUGGAGGUCAUGCAUGACGGCGGAGAUGUUGUCAAGUGGAUAAUUGCUCUCAGUCUCACUUCUAGAUGAAGUAGAAUCGUGAUUGGGAGUCAGAUGUGGAGAUGGGAACGGCACACCCCACAGCUGGUCUCCCGGUUAACUGACAUGCUCGUUUGGAGGGCGUACAUCCGACAUCUUUAAGUAUUGGUGGGACAAUUCACAGCUGCAGACUGCAUAAAAACAAAUAAAGGUACAUUCAAUCUCCAAUUUGACGUUAUGAACACUUGUACACAAAAAUAACAGCAAGAAUAAUUACCUUAGUUGUUAAGAAGGUGCAUAUGAUGUAGAAAUGGUAGGAAGCCUUAGUUAUAUGUAGGAACUUGUCUGAACUAUAUUGGGUAUUUAGUUGGUGCAUUAAAUUGAUGGGAUUGCAAACUACACCAUUUACUACUUGGCUGUCAUUUACAGCAGUACAACAUUACAAUAACAACAAUAAAAGUGCCUUGGAAACGGAAAAAAACCAAACCUAAAUGAGAAAAUGGAAAUUGUGGAUUUCAUGCCAAAAAAGGACUAUGUAACUAACCAAUUAUUGGGAAAUUGGAAAACGAAAAUUGGAACAAAGGAAAUUGGGGAAAAUACGAAAUUUGCCACAAAGGGAAUUGGAAUAUAGGAAAAAGGAUAUUAGGCAAAUACGAUUAUUACCGUACUAAACAAAUUGAAUAAGUUGGUACUUUUGCCAAAGUAGGCAAUUUCUUUAAAUACAAAAAUUGGGAAAACUAGGAAAUUGGGAAUAUUGGAAAUAAGGAAACUUGGUACAUAGAAAAAGUAAAUUAGGCAAAUAUGAAAUAGGCAAAUUAGAAAAUUAGAAAAUUGGAAAAUUGGAAAAUUGGAAAUAGGGCAAAAGGAAAAUUGGAAAACAAGAAAAUUGGAAAUAAGGAAACUUGGAAAAUAGAAAAAUUGGAAAAUUGGAAAUAGGACAAAAGGAAAAUUGGAAAAUUGGAAAUAAAGAAAGUUGGAAAAUAGAAAAAUAGAAAAAUUGGAAAUAGGACAAAAGGAAACUUGGAAAAUAGGAAAAUGGGAAAAUAGGAAAUAGGAAAAAAGGAAAAUUGGAAAAUUGAAAAAUUAGAAACUUGAAAAUUGGAAAAUUGGAAAUAGAAAAAAAAAAAAGGAAACUUGGAAAUUUGGAAAUUUGGAAAUAGAAAAAACAAAAGGAAAAAUGAAAAAUUAGAAACAAGAAUAAAGGAAACUUGGAAAAUUGGAAAUAGGAAAAAAGGAAACUUGGAAAAUUGGAAAUAGGAAAAAACGAAACUUGGAGAAUAGGAAAAUAGGAAAAUAUGAAAAUUGGAAAAUUGGAAAUAGGAAAAAAGGAAACUUGCAAAAUAGGAAAAUAGGAACAUUGGCAAAAUGGAAAAUUGGAAACUUGGAAAAUUGGAUAAUUGGAUAAUUGGAUAAUAGGAAAAAUGGAAAAUUGGAAACAAAUUGAAAUUGUGGAAAUGGGAAAUAAGAAAAUUACCAUAUUGGACAAUUUGUAUUAGUUGGUCAAUUUGGCAAAUUAGGCAAAUUAUUUAAAUUACAUAAUGGGAAAUUUACCAAAUUCGGAAAAUCCAAAAUCCCUAUGUAUUAAAAAAAGGCAUACAGCCAACUAGGCAAUAACUCCCGCCCAAGACUCCCGCCAAUCCCUCCUCCCGCCAAUUACUCCCCCCAAUCCCUCCCGCCAAUGACUCUGAUUUACUCCACAUCAUUAAUGCCUGCCUAUAUGAAUCAACCCAGCUGUAUGAUGGGAUUUGGACCACAAAAAAAAAGAUGUCUGAAGGGAAAACUUGCAUGACAUUAACUCCUUGCAACCAUUACCUUCCCCACUGAUUUCACUCACAUUGCAUUUAGUCCCAUUUUUCUCCAAUUAAGUCCUACACCAGCCAACAAUAAAUAUCCAAAAUCAUGGACAAUAAUCUCACACCAAACCCAACGCUUUCAAUUACUGAAGGAAGGGAGACUGAAACACAAGCCAAGUCGCCCAAUUCACUCACUGCAGACUUGGUCCAUGACAUGCAGCAAUGUCGAGACAAUACCAUGUUUUGGAAAAAUCUCCAUGCAGACAUGUUCACCCGUUUUAUAUUUGUUACUGUGAUGGUAGGGUAAAGUUCUCCAUUGUCUCGAAAACCCUUGACUAGUCAACAAGUCAACUUUCUUUUGUGUGCGAAAGUGCCACUACUAGCGAUGAAAAUCCUAGAAGACUUCUUAAAAAUAGAUAACCUGAGCCCCAAGUUACUGAUUUCUAAACAAGAGAUUGUGAAUUUGGGUGAGGAAUAUCCCCCAAGUAAGUUCUUUUCUUGCCUCAGACUGGUGAGGACUUCACAAUUUUUCACAGUACAAAACUGGUAGUUCUGGCCAUAAUAAAUGAUAAGAAAGUGGACUUUUUAGGCAGAACUGUCUUUUACAAAGUUUAGAAAGGAAAGACCAACUCUUAAAAGUGACAAAAGAGCGUUGGACUUCAAUUUUUGCCUGGAUAAAUGCUUCUGAUCCGGGCUGGACUGGGUAUGUCUGUGCUGGAUUGGACUGUCAACACCUUCAACUGUCAAGUUUCAACUAUAAAUCGAUACCAACGUUCGAGUUUGGCAGAGCAUUAAUCUAUUUCAAGCCUUGGAAGGCUUUUGGCAUGGGCAGAAUUGGAGCCUCCUCAGUCUGAAAGGGGCAGAAGUGGCUGGAUUUGCUUAUUACUGAGAUGGGGCUGCACUGUAGUACCUGUUCUGCUUUAUCAAGGCUCUCCAUAAAUUUGUUGAGGUUUUCAUGUUUGUAAAAACAGAACUCUGCUUGAUUUGGCUUAUGCUGAACCAAAUUUGUAACGAGAGAAAUCUCGCUUUGAAUGACUAUUUCUCUGAAACUGAACUGAAGUUAGAGAUUCUGGAUUAUAGCUGACUUGUUUUUUGUGGCUCAAUGAGCUUUUGGUUGCUUCAGUGUUUUGAAGGUUUUUAAGAUCAAGUGAUCAUUUUUGAGUUUUUGUCUUCGAUUAAUUUUUUGGCUGUCUGUUGAUCUAUUCACCUCCUCUCAUAUUUAUAGAAAAUGCUGGAGUGGGAUUUCUAAUCUUUUAAUAAUAGGCGGCAGAUUUUCCAAAAGAAAGAUCUUUUAUUUUAAAUGCAAAGAAAAAAGGGAAGUUAUCUGUUCUGGCAGAAAAGAACCAUCAAUAAUCAGUUUUCAUGGAGAUCUUUUCCUUGCUUUUCUGAAAGAAAGACCAACUCUUCUUUGUUCUCUGUUUGUUCUUGGUAAAGAGAAAGAACACAAUCUGACGUGAUGGUCAGUUUGCUUUUCUAGAUGAACAGCUCUCUGCUCCCUACUUAUCUCUUUAGAAAAUAUAGCUUGCUUAUCCCUUGGCAAUGACACCUGCUUUGGAGCAGAAUUUUUCUGAAUAUAGAAAAGGAUUUUGGUCUUCUUUCUUGAUUGUAAAGACUGGAGAAAUCUUCCUGUAAGGCCUGCCUUCAUUAAUUCCCCAUCAACUCUCUUGUGACUAGUUGAAUUUGCUAACUUUUCAAAGUCAAGUAGUCACGUGGGUUUUGCUUCAAUUUUAGGCUCUUCUCUUAUUUUCAUUUGAUCACGCCAAGCCCAGGUUGAGUUUUGGGAUUUGUGGGCUGAUUCCUUUUCUCUGUUUUCCAAAGCCCAAGUCUAUUCUUGUGGGCUGACAGGUCUUGAGCUAGGCUUUCUCGAUUUUGGGCUGCUCUCUCAGUUUCUUUAAAUCAAGCCCAAGUUGUGCUUAUGUUUUGUGCAUUUCAAAAAUGGGCUAGGCUUCGCACAAUUUUUAGGCCCAAACAGGACAUAGUUUCAAAAAUUGUGGAGGGCCAAGCUAGGUGAGGUGUCAUAAAAAAGCGCACAAUCCGCACUCGUUAUCAUGCCCACAUGCAUCUCCUCCAUAUAAAGGGUAUGAAAGCCAAAAUUGAAAUUGCCCCUGCCACUGCAAUUAUGGUAUUCAAGGAAUCUGAUGAAAUGCCCCAGUUGAAGCAACAAGAAGUGGAAACCGGAUUCGACCUAUUUCGUAAGUUUGCAAAAAUAGUGGAUCCAGAAGGAAACUGGGACAACAUCAUUGUGGGCGAGGUCAUGAAUUUCAUGGGUCGUAGUCGCCGCAAUUGAAGAGUAUGCAACUUUGAAUGUGUCAACAGCAAGAAAUUUGUGACACAUUAAUAUGACUCUGGACUGGGUGUAAAAUGUAGUCGAAACAACAUGUAAAAUGGAAUCAUGUUCAGGUGGCCUCUUUUUGUAUUAUGUAACUAUGGGGUGGCCUCUUGUUGUAUUACGUAAGUUUCGAAAUUAGAUUUUAUGGAUUUAUGAUGCUUCUUUUUGUAUUUCUGCAUAUACAGUUUAUCCAUGUCCAGUUCAGUGGCGAUAUAGAGGCAAUAACUCCACAAUAAGCAUGUGUAUAAUGGCAAUAUGAUGUCAAUAAGAGUGCAAUAGAGUUAUAAUACGAUCCUAUUGCAGUAGGUACUGCAUCAACAUGGUUUUAAAAUAUCUUAGAUGAAAAAAUUACAAAAAAUUAAACCAAAAUUAAAUUAAAAAUUGGAAAAGGGAUGAAGUAUACAUCCCUUAAAAGACAUAUGGCCUACAUUACACACCUUCUAUAUGGACUCUAUAUAUACAAAUCAUGCCUUGCAUCACCAUCACAUCCCCCCCUAAAUUACAGAAACAUGACACCACAAAACCUCAUGCUCCUUCCUCUUUCAACCCCUAAAUUAUCCAUCGGAUGCCCAAUACUAGAUGGCUGCUUGGGUAGUGGGAUACCCUGCAACUCCAUAACAGAAUUAGUAGGGGAGAGCGGUUCCGGAAAGACGCAACUUUGUCUCCAACUUACGGUUAGAGCUCAGCUCCCACCCUCACAUGGCGGACUAGGGGGCUCCUCCCUCUACAUAUUCACAGAAUUCAGCUUCUCAUUUCAUCGAUUGCAACAACUAGGCAACCUUUAUCAUGCAUCAUACCCCAACUUAAUAGGGAUGGAGCCAUUGGAAGACAUAUAUGUUCAUGGCGUUCAUGAUGCUCAACAACUCAUCCAUGUCCUUAGAGACAUACAAGCAUUCAUUGCCAUUGAUCACACCCGGUUACCUGUGAAACCAUUGAUUCCAUUGCUGCAUUGUUCAGAUCACAAUAUCAGACAACACCGGCAGAUUUGAAACGGCGGUCUGAAAUGUUCUUCAAGAUAUCUGGGACAUUGAAGGCUUUAGCAAAUAAGUUUGGGUUGGCCGUGGUUGUGACCAACCAAGUGGUGGAUUUUAUUGGUCCACAUGAUGGAGUGAAUAGGGUGAGGUUGGGAAACUUAGAGUGCCUGCACACAUCAGGUAGACGGGUGAGUUCAGUUUUGGGACUGGCUUGGGCACAUUGCAUAAAUUCAAGGGUGUUCUUAGCAAGACAUGAGCAAUCUGUUGGGGUUAACAGUCGUAAUGCUCAUUCACCAACUAUAUCAAGUCAAACACAUAGGACAUUUGACAUUGUAUUUGCCCCCCAUUUGCCCUAUGCAUUGGCUGAAUUUGUAAUCAUAAAAGAAGGUAUAGUAUGAGUAUCACAGUAACUAUGUAAUAAUGGAAUUCUAAGAACUUUAAUGUUUUGGAUCCAUUUGGAGUUACAUUCCAGGCCCUUUAAUUUCGUACUCAUAGUUUACAUUGCAAUAGCAAUACCAGUACAAUAAAUGUACAAUAUAAUGACAAUCUGAAGGCAAUACAAGUACAAUGUGAUAGCGAUACUGUCGCAAUAAAUAGGAAACACAACAUGCUGUAUAACAUUGUAACCCAAAUGAUGCAAAUUUAACACAAUUCACAUUCAACAAACACGAAACCCAUGUCAAAUAAAAUUAAAGUUGAUAUUACCUAACAAAGCAACAGAAAUCAUAUUGUCUAAGAUACAUUGCACAAUGGAAUAUUGUUUUUACAGGUGGUUUUAUUGUGGCCUGUGGAACCGCACCUUGAGCACUUUCAUGUAAUGGUGCCCUUUCCUUGCGAGGGAAUUCUUAGCUUCUUUUGUCUGCCUGGCAUGACCUUUGCCAUGGGAGGAAGCACAACUCGACUUCGAACAUGUUCAGGAAUAACUCACAUUGCGUGAGGCUGUACCGGGUAGAUGCUAUCCAAAUAAGCAUCCAACCAGGUAUUCCGAGUGUAAUACCGAGAAGCCUUCGAGUAUACAUUUAGUUUCAAGAAGCGGCAAACUGCAACUACAUGCUUGCAAUUUAGCUGCUCAAGCUAAAAAUUUCUACAACUACAACUGUUGUUCGUCAAAUCCACGAGGCCGUCCAUAUCACCGUCCAAAACAUUAAACUGUACAUUAUUUAGUUUAACGAGAUUCAUCCUUGCAACAUCCUCCAACCUAUUCCUCAACUUUUUCUCACCAAAAUUGGGGCACAAUGUUGUUGUGCAAUUCAUAGCCAACUCACGACGUUCGGUGAACCAUUUCAAAGGGAGAUUAAUAAUUUCCCCUAUCAAAUGAACCACUGGCAACAUUCUUGCAUACGUAAGGACUGAGUUUAUUGACUCCACAAUAUUUGUUGUCAUUACAUUGUAGCGGCAUCCAUCCAUGUGAGCUCUAGACCACUUAUGUAACCCUGCAUGUUCAAGAUAUUGAGCAACAUGUUCCUUUCUCUUGAUCUUCCGAAAAUGACAAUCAAACUCAGCAAUGGAAUAAGAUUUCGCAGCCUGCUCAAAGUGCAUAAGUAUUUGAUCACGCUUUUUCAACUUGCAAGUGCGUUUCAUGUUCCCUUUCAUAUGAUAAAAGCAUAUGCCAUGUUGCACUGUUGGAAAAACUUUGUUCCACACAUUCUCCAUGAAAAACCAAUGCCAUGAUGCAUCCGUCUCCAAAUCCCUGAUCCCAAAAGCAAGAGGAUAUGUAUUUCAAUUGCCAUCGAAUGCAUUUGCUACAAACAUAACACCCUUGUACUUGGAUUUUAAAUUAGUGGCAUCCAUGGCUAUCACUGGACACAUGGAAGAACGAAACCCUCUAAUACAUGGGCCAGCUGCCAUAAAUAAAUACACAAAGUGAUUGUUUUCAUCAGUUUGGAUGUGUGUCUUUGUGCCGGGAUUCAUAUGCUCCAAUUCAUAGGAAUAGGCUAGAAGGAUAUAAUAAGCCUCCUCGGUUGAUCCUCUAAUGGAUAAUAGAGCUAACUCCCUUGCUUUCCAAGCUUUCGAAUAAUGGAUGGUGAAACCAAAGUUGUGUUUCACAUCUCUCAUUAUGUCACUUGGUGUGUAUAUUGUCCGAAAAUCCUUCAACUUCCUUUUAAAUGAAGUGGCUACAAGUGCUGCGGUUGCUUGACGAUGGUCGUCAUGUACGAACCUCAAAUCACCUUCAUGGACAGUUGUACACCUCACAAUCAUGAAGUUGUAUUCUCCAAUUCUCGAUGCUCGGACCCGCCAUGGGCAUGGAUGGUGACAACAAACCAUAAGCAACCUCUUAGUCCAAGCUAAUUGCACCUUAAAUUUAAAGUGGCCUCUCAAUGCCGUCAACCGUAACUCGGUCAACAAUGCUCCCUUACUAGAGAAAAUUUCCCCAAUUGUAAUUUUCGGAUUCCAAUCACUUCGCGAAUACACUGUGUCCAAAUAUGCUUCUCCAUCAUUUACACCGGCCACAUUGUACCGGUUCUAUUCACCCAUUUGACUCAAAUACUGUUCAAGAAUGGGUUCAGAUUCUCCUCCUAAACGCAUUAUUGGAAAUUGGGCAGAUGUGUUCAAGGGGCCCAAAAUAGGAGAGGCAGAGUACACUAACACUUCAUUUCUUUCAGUACUAUUAUCUCCACCAUGCAUCUCCUCCACCUCACCAAAAUCAAUCAUGUCAUUAAAAUCUUUCCCAACAUCACCUCCCACAUCAGUGACAUUUGUAUUAUUCCGAGUUACUUCAUUGCUUUCAACAAUGGCAGCUAAAGAACGACCCAUCCGACUACUAUCUGUCGUGAUAUGCAUACUAACAACUACAUCAUUUGUUAGUCCAUUAUCUUCUAUACUCACGAGUAAGUUACGUAACAAUUGUACUUCAUAAAAAAUUUGACAUCAUCAUCAUCCUCUAUCUUUAUAUGCUUCUACUCAUUCGAGGCCACCAAAACUGAGAACUUUAAGCAAACCUUGUCUUCCCUGCUGUUUGUAUUACCAAUCUGAUGCACACAAUCCAAUAUUUCAGCAAAUGUGAUGGUCCGUGGAACUAUUAAGCCUUUUGAGUCACCCUCUUCGUAUUUGCACAUCUUCUUUGAGGUUACCCAUUUUCCAUUGUAACAAACCAGAAUAACAAUUGUCUCCAUUUCUGACCAUGAAAAAAAUUAUUUCAUUAACACAAUACAACCACAAUAACCAAGCAAUACAAUGGCAACAUAACAGCAAUAUAACAUCAAUAUAUUAGCAAUAUAACGGCAAUAUAACAGCAAUACCACAACAAAAUAAUAGGAACACAAUAGCAAUACAACACUAACACAGCAGUGAACAAGGAAUCAUCACAACUAUACAAAUCCACUACAUCAAAUGGAAAAUCCAAAGUUUCAAGAUUCACAUAUCCAGAGCAAUCUAAAUGCAAUUAGUAAAAACCCAGAUGGAUGAGCAUGAAGAUUCAAAAAAACCUAACCCAAAGCAAUUACAGCCAUAACCAAUUUAACAGAAGCCCAAGCGAAGAAAAUAAAACCAAUUUCAAAGAAUCCAACAGAUAUUAAGAAAAUAACCAUCAACACUACCUAUUUGAGGUCGACGAUCCAGUAGAGCUUCAAGGUUGUAAGCAGUUAUUCAGAAGACAUACCUAAAAUAUGGGGUCGAGGGUGGGGUUCAUGAUUCAGAAGAGAGAGUGAGACAGAGCUACGUGAGAGAGAGAGAGAGAGAGAGAGAGAGAGAGAGCAAAGAGAGACAAAGAUCUGCGCUAGAGCAAAGAGAGAGAUAGAAAGCUGCGCUAGAGAGAGAGCAAAGAGAGACACAGAGAGAUAGACAAAGAGAGAAAAGGGGGCUGAGCGAGCUGAGAGAGAACCAAAUUUCUGAAAAUGUAAUAUGGGUGCAAUCAGUCGACAAUGAAGGUGUAUUUAUAGGUGGUAGUUUAAAAAUUUUAGGGGAGAGGUGGUAUUUUCAGAAAAAAUUAUAAAAUGGGUGGCAUUUUGAGCUAUUUCCCUUUUUUCUCAGAGUAAAAUUGUCUUUUACUUAAUUAAAUUAAUAAUUAAAUAUUAAUUUAAGUUCGGGUUAUUACAGCAUACAUAUGAAUCGAAGUUCCUUUUCUAACUUUCCAAGCUAAAGGCAUUCUCUUGGUUACCCCAUCCUCAUCAGUCACGGGUUGAACAAUGCAAAUAAUUGUCAUAUAGGUUUGCUUUAAGGGACCAUCAGUGAACUAAAAAAAGUAUUGUGCCAAAAGUUGGAGUCGUAUCUCUUUAAGUCCCAAGGGCUCCAAGAAAUAAACGACAUCUUAGAUGACAUUUGGUAUGUUUUGACGACCCACCUUUUCUUCAUGGGCACAUAUCUAUGUGCUUGAAUAGAUGUAGACGAUCAUUCCUCCCCACCAUUUUUUUUUAAUAGGUUUGCAUGUGAAUUAUAUUUAUACAAAUUUAGUUAUAUAUCCAAUCUUAGACAUAUUCUUAUAAAGAAACCUUAUAUCAUUUAAAAACUAUAAACACACCCGUCAAUUUUUUCAAUUUAAUAGCCAUUUUUAAGUUUAUUUGUGUGUGUAAAAUACUUAUAUUGCCCUUAUACUAUGGAUUUGAGAGAGAAAAAUCAUAUCUACCCAGAUCUGCCAAAAAAACCAAAUCAGCCAAAGAACCAAAUCAGAUUUAUUUUCUCCUUUCUCGCUGGUGCUUUCUCGGUAUUGGCGCAAGAAGAGCUUCCGUUGAAGCUCAGUCUCAAGUCCAACUAUAUUCUUUAUCUCUGAUCUACAAUUUACAAUAUUUCACCUUUGAUUUCUUGUUCUAAAAUCGUGCUUCUAUUGAUAUUUUUUAUUGGAUUGUUCGGAACCUCGAUUAGAUGCUCUUAGCUAUACUCCUCAUCUUUAAGCUAUACCCGUCUUUCAACACGUCAUCGUCGUUGUUGUCAUCAUCAUCAUCAUCGUUGUUGUCGUCGUCAUUGUCGUUUGGUUUGGACUUGAGAUUUUUGAUCUUUUGCUUCAAUUAUGUGUUUCUCUUCGAAUUUUAGUUGAUUUUCGAAACGUAUUUUAAGCUUUGAUGAUCGAUUUAUCUUUUGUUACUAUUUCAGUUAUGGAUCUCAUUUUUGUUUAACAAUGUACUUCUAUAACAGAAUAGUAACAAUGUACUUCUAUGACAUAGUAGUAUUAACAAUCUGAGCUCGGCUUGUUUUGAGUUGGUCUGGUUUGUUCUUUCUUCAUCUUUUCUUUGGUGGACAUGUAUUAGAAAUAGCAACAUAACAAGCAUUAAUUAACAUGACAGUAAACUAGCAGUGUUAUUACCCUAGACUGGAACAUUACAGGGGUAUACAUGCAUUAGAAAUAGGAUGUCAUAGGAAACUAGUAGCGUCAUUAUCCUAGACUGGAACAUUACAGCCAUUAAUCAACAUGACAAUAAAAGUGUGGAACAUUACAGUCAUUAAUCAACAUGACACGUAAUGAAGCUACGGUUUUCAAGACAUUUUGUUUGUAAUGAAUUGUUUGCGUUUUUUUAUAAAAUUGGGCUGGGCUUGUUUUGGGUGCUAUUUAAGUUUUUUGUGUUGGGCUUCUUUUAAGUUGAUCAAUGGUAGUCAAUAAUUUAGAGGAACUUCAACACCAAUUUCUUAUGUAGUAAAUGAGUUUUGAGUGUGUUUCUAAAGUGCAUUCCAUGUGGGGCUUUUUAUAAUUUCAGCCCCUAUUUUAGGUAUAUUAGUGAAGCUCCCUUAUAUUUAUAAUGCAUGUGAUUACUUUCAAUGAUUCUGAAAUUGAAGUUGACAUAUGUACAUAUGUGUACAAAGAGACACAUAUCAUGAACAGUCUAAAUGAUAAUAUGUGAUUGGUGGCCGAUUUAUACUUUCAUGUAUAGUAUUACUAUUAAUAAAUAACAUGUUCUUUAUUUUCAGUUUUUUUGUUUUAGUACAAGCGAUAUUCUAAACAUAAACCCUAAACAGUUGUGCCUCUUCAUUUGAUCGCGUUGAUCUUACAUCCCGCUAUUCUCUACUACUUUUUUCUCAUAAUAGACCAUAGAAGAAAGUAAUUCAUCAGUCUCGUUCUCCUGGACUCUUGCAGUUCAAGGAAACCCUUGAAUUUAAUCUAAGGGUUUAAAAAAGACCUAAUUUAAAAUAAUAAUUUAUCUUUUUACAGCAGGAAAAUUGAUUAUUAAAAGUAAAUUUAAAAAAAUUGAUUUAAGAUAAAGACACCAAACCACCACCACCACCUCUGCUCUUUUAUAUCGUUCCCACAAAACUUCAUAUUUUAUUUAUAAUUUAUUUCAAGCAUUUCAUUUACUGCCAUAAUUGUAAUUAAUACUCCGUCUUAAUAGCAUAUCAAUCAACCCAUUUCUUUUGGUUGUCAUUCCCUUUCACAUAUCACCCCUAAAGUUGCAAACCCAAAAAAACAAAACAAAAACAAAACAAAAAAACCAAAAAAAAAUCUGUAAAUUAUAUAUCCAAUAAUGUACCUAUGAAAAAUAUAAAUAUAAAUAUAUGCGUAUAAAAAUAAAAUAUAGGUAUAUUAUUUACCAAGAAAAUUUUAAAAACACCUAAGUCAGUUACUUUGUAACUGAAAUUUCCACACAUUUUUCAUAAGUUAAAAAUAGGUGCACAAUAAUUUAUAAAAAAAUAUAGGUAUAUUAUUUACUCAUAGUAAAUUAUUUUAUAAUAUACCUAUAAAUGUGGAUUAUUUGGAGAGGAAAAAUAGGUUCAUUUCACCAAAAAAAAAAAAAAAAGUUAAGUACACUGUUUUACUAGGUACAUUAUUAGAGGAAAAAAAUAGGUACAUUAUUUGGAGAGAGAAAAUAAGGUCAUUUAAAAAAAUGAUUUUCAUAAAACAAAUAAUAGGAACGUUAUUCAGAGAAAAAAAGGCAUAUUAUUUAUAUAAAAAAAAAAAUAGGUACAUUAUUUAGAGAAAAAUAAGUUCAUUUUAAAAAAAAAGUUUUUCACAAAACAAACAAUAAAUAGAUUAUCAAAAUAUUUUUCAACAUAAUUAGUAUUUACACUAUUAUUCAUAAAACUAUAAUAAAACAGAUUACUAGUGACAGGACUCGGCCCAAAUUCCUUGGAAGCCGGGACGACUUCUGUGGUUAUUCCGACGUCAUACUGAUGCCGGGCUCACUUGCUAAGAAACGAGACUUUCUACUGAAAUUUCAACAGGGUCUCUACUGAAAAAUGGACAUUUUCCAAAUUUCUCAACAUGUUAAAGCCACAUUUAAUAUCACCAACCGGUAGCAAACACAAGAUAAAUUCAUGCAGUUUACAUAAAUGAUCUCCAACCUCACAAUCAAACCCUAACGGGGCGACAUCAGAGCAUAACUACUAGAAUUCAGUUUACAAACAGUGGUAAAGUUUAAUGGGAGAGAAACGAAUAAAAGAGUCCUACGAAAGCUCGAGGUUCGGAAGUUCGGGGGCUUGGUUCUGCUACUCAGCUUGGUCAAAUACUGUAUGGGGGGCGCAAAACAGAAUAGUGUGAGUGGACAAAAACAAAGUUGCCAUUAGUUGAAAACAACGUAUAAUAACCCCACCGUUUAGAAGUAUACAUAUAUGCAUUCAAACCAUCAUAAAUAUAUACAUAUAUAUAGUCACAUCAAGACCAUGGUGAAAUCCAAUCCUCAUAAAGAUAUCCAAAUACCCAUCUCAUACAAAACCAUUUUCCCAAACCACUCUCUCAAAAUGAGUAUCCGUUGGCACGGCGAACGAGGAAGUAUCCCCACCGAUAAACAAGAAGGAAUGUAUAGGUAUAUAUAUAUAACAUAAUAUAUCUAUAUAUAUAAGUAUGACCACUACGAAGUUUGCAUCGGGGAAGCAAUCCAGCUGGGGGAUUGUUUGACUAGUCCACAUGGAAGAAUCAUCAAUUGACUAUGUGUGGCUAGGGAACGAACCGUCCAACUGGGACUAAGCUCACCAGCACGUAUAGAAGAAUCCUCAAUACUCGUACGCCUGUGAAAAAGUCCUACGUGCGCAGACUACCCCGCUAAAGGUCAAUGAAACACCCCGCUAAGGGUGUCUGGGUUCCAUCAUAUCCAAGUAUCACCAAUCAUUCCAAUCAUCCAAUCCAUAGUUUCCAUAUCCGAAGAGGUACAUAAGGUAGUGCUUAUAGCACUUCAAACUGAUAUAACUAUAAUCCACUCUCUUUCCAUAAUUCUCAUUACCGACACCCAGGUGCCCCACACAUGACCAAGCAUAGAUAGAAAUUCUCGAACUCAAUAUAUAUAAACUCAAGACACUCGAAUAUGCCAAAACCCGAACAUAUUGCAAAUACUUUACAAAAAAUAUCAAGUUCAACAAUUGAUUAUAUAAUAAAUUCAAUAAACCAUUAAAUCAAUAUCCAUAGAUUUUCCGUCAUAAAAUAAUACUUAUUAUUUGAAAACAAAGUUCACUCAGAGGUAGUCCCACGCUGCUUGACCCUGAGAGGGUCUCGCCUGCUGAGUACCAGUAGAUGGAGCACCUAUUUAGAAAUACGAGGGCGAGAUUAAUAUGAAGUGCUUCAAAUGAGAACUUUAAAAUAAAUUCCUAAUUUCCAGGGACUAAAGUGUGUAUACGACGAACAAGGCAUCCUAAGGUCCAAUUACGUGUUUCGAAUGGUGGAAUAGCCUUAGAAGACGCUCGGUCGACCGAGUGGUUAAACUUUCCAAAGUUGGUCAACCGGGCCCACAGGGCCCACGACCUCCGAUUUCCGAUCCGAAAGUUCUUGUGGGUUCAACAAGGUAUAAUAUGCAUGUCCCGCAAGUUUGGUCCAAAAUCAAAAAGUCGAAUCACUCGCGAUCACACGAUCGGACAGUUACCGUUAAUCCUAAUUUUUGAAUCAUUGAAUUGGAGCAUUCGGAAUUCUGAUUCAUGAUCUGCAAUAUCCUACACGAUCCUAAAGAUGCCUAAAUCAACAUAUAUGAAAAUGGAGUCGAUUCAACGGUCCAAACAUAUCGAACCCAGAUAACGCCCAAUAUGCGAUAUCCAAUUGAUAGUCAAACGAUAAUCAAAUUCAUAUCCGAGCUUACCGUUAUGCUCAGGACAACAUAGGGAUCAUUUUAGGACCAAGAGGGACACCCAAACAGUGCCCAUGCGCCGCCACAUGUGCCAACAGAGCAUAGGUGCCCAAAGUAAUUCCGGAGAUCGUAAUAUCUCCAAAGCGCCAUCAAGACCUAUACUCACAUGAUCAGAAUAAUGAAUAGAGCAACUUUUGUUCUUGGACUAUGGCCAAAAAGUGGCUGGAGAUGGCCGAAAUUGCUAGCGGAAAAACAGCCAAAAGGGUUUAGGUCAAAAUUGCAGAAAUCGUCUAUCCAACCAUCAGCUUGAACACAUUCAGAGGAUGAAAAAGUAUACCAAGAUUGAAGAAAUUGGUGGCCGGAAUAGCCAGAACGAGCUCCAGAAGUUUCAAUCAAUAUAAUUAUUUAACCAUUUAUUUAAUCUAUGUAAUUAUUUAAUUUAUUUAAUUAUGAAAUUACAACUUUGCCCAAGGAAUAGGGUCAUUUUUGUCCCUUUUUAAUUUGGUAGGAUUUGGGGAAAAUGAAUGGCACCGUUGCGUAGAGCGCAUUGAUACGAGUUCAUAGAGACGUAGUGGGCUCAAAUCGGAGUUUUAACGAAGUUAGAUUUUAAAAACUCAAUCAGAUUCUUCUCUCUCUCUCUCUCUCUCUCUCUCUCUCUCUCUCACGAAACCCCCCAACCAUCCACUGUUUUGGCAUACAGUUUUUUCCUCCAACCCCCUCCGGAGACGAGACCAGUCCCAAAUGAACUAGCCCACCUUCCUCUCUCUGUCCCACCCCACCUCUGGCAAAACCAGUUGUUAUCGACGAUUCUGGCCACCAAAUUUAUCGAUCUAGGUAUGCUUUCUCAUUCUUUCAACUUGAUCUAGCUGAUGGUCGGGUUGGUUAGGAUCGAUUUUAAAGUUUUUCAACUCGUUUCACGAUCUUUGUUUUCACUGGUUUUUGGCUCGAAUUUCCGGCAAGCUCCGGCCACUUUUUCAAAGUGGCCCAAGAACAAAAGUUGCUCCACUAGUUGUCAUGAUCACAUAGGUAUGGAUAUUGAAGGGUGUUUUGAGAAUUUUUCGGCCGCCAGAAUUUUCUCAAGUCACCCAAGUGAUGGCGAUGCUUGUAGCGGCGCGGGGGCCAUGGUUGGGUGGCCCAUUUGGUUCUAAAAUGUUCCUCAUGUUGUCCCGAGUACAACGGUAUGCUCGAAUUGAAAUUGGUUAUCAUUUGACGAUCGAACAGAUUUACGCAUAUUAGGCGAUAUUCGGGUUCAAUAUGUUCAAACGGUUGGAUCGACUCCAUUUCCAAAUAUGUUCAUCUAGGUAUCUCUAGGAUCGUGUAGGAACUCAAGGAUCGAGAAUCGACUCCAUUUCCAAAAAUUAUGUAAAACGGUGAUCGUCUGAUCUUUCGAUCACGAGCUAUCCGACUGCUCAAUCUGGACCAAAUUUGCAGGAUGUGUUUAGUAAACUUUGUUAAACCCGUAGGAUUCGGAUCGGAAAUCGGAGAUCUUGGGCCCCACGGUCCCAGUUAACCAAAUUUGGGAACACGUAGUUGGAUUAUUUUGAGGUUAUUUCACCUUUCGAUUGAGGAUUCUUCCAUGUGGUCUAGUUAAACAAUCCCCUGGUUGGAUUGUUUCCUCGAUACAACUUUAGUAUAUAUAUAUAUAUAUACAUAUACCUUCAUUCUUAUUUAUUGGUGAGGAUCCUUCCUCUCUUGUUGUGUCAACAGGCACGCGUUUUGGGUGAGAGUGGUUUGGGCAAAGUUUUCAGUGAGUUUGAGCAUUAGUAAAUAAGGUACGGGAUAUAAGUUCUACCUUGGUUCUAGCUUAAUUAUAAAUUUAGUAUCGGCUUUGAAUGCUUGUUUUUUAGAAUUGUUUUUCCAAACGAUGGGGUCAAUAUGUUGUUUUUAAUUAUAACAAAACUUCAUUUUUGUCCACUCACAAUUUUCUGUUUUGCGCCCCCAGGCAGUAGUUGACCUGAGCUGAGCGGCCGAGCUGAGCCCUGAACUUCCUAGCCUUGAAACUUCAGUAGGGCAACCUUUGUUCGUUUCUUUUGCAUUAAACUUGUUUUCGUUUGUAAACUGAAUCCCUUUAGAAUUUCUCGGUUAUUGCCCAUGUUAGGGUUGAUGUAAAGCCGGAGGCCUAUUAUGUAAAUUGUGUGUUUAUACAUUGUGCAUGCUGCUGGAUGGGAUUUAUUAAUGUGCUUGCCAUGUUAAUUUUUUUUUGGGAAAGUCCGUUUUUCAGGGGAGAUUUUGCCGAAAUUUCAGUAGAAAAUCUCGUCCCUCUUUUCCUUAAUUUGGAAAAGAGGCUUUGAUGUUAGUAAGCGGGCCCGACAUCUGUUUGAUGUCAGAAAUAUCACAGAGUCUGUCAUGGAUUUCAAGGAAUAUCACAGGAUUCAUCUAGAAGCAUCUCACUGCCCAACUCGACUGAGAAUUGGUCAUCAUCUUAGGAAACUCGCCCCUAUUCCGACUAAGAAUUGCUCGUCAACCAAUCCAUAUGCAUCUCACCACCCAAGCUCUCUUGUUGCACUAGGAGCGUGUUUUGCUCUCUAAUUUUAGUUUUUUAGUUUUUUAGUUUUUUUUCAUUUUAGUUGUUGUUUAAUUUUUAAACAUGUUUUUUAAAUAACCCUUAUAUUAUAAUUUAUAUCCAAGGGUGGGUGACCACAAUUUCCUUGGACCACAGGAAUUCAGAAGAACGAGACUGAGUAAUUCAUAUACUAAUCCUUUAACGAGCAACAAAACAAAUCAAAUCAAACAAUCCGAAUGCAAAGUGAAAGAAGCUGCUCAGAAACUCUAUGAUCAAAUAUCCAACACUAAAUAUACUUAAGUGUUUCGUGUUCAUCACUAUAAUACGAGAAACUUUCGUGUGUAUUUGUAAGACACUACUACAAAAAGUGAAAAAGACGACAAGAAAAAAAACGACGGUUCAACAAAAAACCGUCGUUGUGUUUGAAAAGACAAUGGUUUCAUAAAACCACCGUGUAUGAUUAACUUAAACACCUAAAAAUGGAGAUUCCAAUGGGUUUUUAAAAAAAAAUGACACACCUAAUUAAAAAAGCGUCGUCAUAUUGAAAAGGCAUUCCUCAGAAUAAACUCUGAGCCCACAAACAACUGCAGAAGGUAUGAAUCCACCGACGUAGAAAGUAAAGACGAUGGUUUACAGCAACAGCCGCCGUUUUUACUCCAUAAUAAACACGACCAAGUUUUCGUAUCAUGCACCAUAUAAAUUCAAAACAAUCCACGGCGGUAUAUUAUAAAUACCACCGUAUUAAAUAAAUAUACAACGACGGUAAAGAUAAAUUUAUCGAUUUAUUUUUGUUAGUGUACUACGACGGUAUCUAUAACUCUAACCACAUUGGUUUGUUCAAUUAACGCUGUAUAAUAAAAUUUACCACGUCGUGAAGGUAAAAUUACCAUCGUAUUUAUUCAAUUUAUAUGUCUACCCUUAUAUCUAAACCGUCGUCUUAAUAUUAUUAUUGUUUUACAAUUUAUUUCUUGAAUUUUGGUAUCCUACGACGGUAGAUCAACUUAAUGACAAGAAUUUAGAAUAACCACGAUGGUUUAUAUAGAAAACCGCCGACAGAAUCAUAUUUUUCUGAGAUCCCAAGAGAUAUGAAAUCUUACCAGAUGGAACUCUAUUCCUCAUCAUAAUCGGACCAUCAAUGUGAGAGAAAGACAAUAUUUUAGACGUUGAUGAUUUAUGUGUCUUUGUGUCUUUGAGAUACACAAAGGCACAUACACAUCAACAUCCAAAAAUUUGCCUCUAAAAUUUGAAGACGGCAGCCACAUAUUUGCAUUCAGAUAGACAAUUUUUUGGAAGUUGAUGAUGUGUGUAUGUUUGUGUCUUUCAGAUACACAAACGCACACACGCAUCAACAUCCAAAUAAUUGCCUCCAAAAUUUGAUGACGGCAGAAACGGAUUUGCAUUCAGAGAGACAAUUUUUUGAACGUUGGUGAUGUAUGUAUGUUUGUGUCUUUCAGAUACACAAGCAUACACACACACCAACAUCCAAACAAUUGCCUCCUAAGAGGUGAGACAGAACCAAGGGCAAGAAGAAGUUUGAACCCUAAUUGAAAACUGAAACUGAAAGAACUCGUGAAAAAAAACUCAAUUUAUUAUAUAAAAAAUUUCAUAUCCACGCCGGUUUUAUUACACCUAACGCCAUUUAACAAAUGGAAUCGACGUCAGUUCUUACCAACCCUUUAGACGUAUAAAAGAAUAACGACGUCGGUUAUGUUAGUUUCACAACGUAGUAAAGACAUAUUAGGGCGGUUUUUUAGAGAUACCACGACGCGAAUAAAUAAAAUGCGUCAUCUUAUUCUCAGAGGGAAAAACCAACGCCAUAAGCUAUUAAGUAACUGACGUAGAAAGUAAAGACGUCGGUACUAGUAAACUUACCGACUUAGUACUUGAAAUAUACUAUGACGACAUCUGUAACACUACUGACGCAUAAGUUAAACUAACCACGUCGGAAUUGUGUGUGUCGUUUAAUAUAUGUAUCAGGGCGUAAACAACAUAUUUACCGCCGUGUAAAAUCAUUUACUAGGGCGGUAAAUUAAUAGCGUCGUGUUAUGAAACGGUUCGUUAAUAUUUUAAACUUUUCGCCUUGACUGACCUAUACUUAUACUGUUUCCAAACCAGAGAAAAAAUUUCAUGCUGUCCUCAUUUUUACUUCCCAAAGCGCCGUGUCUGAAUCUCAUCGGCUUCCUCUCCUCUUCGUCUUCGUCCCUGAAAAAUAAUUUUUGUUCCUGUUUUGCAACUCCAAGCGAAAACUUUCAUUGCAAGCAAAAGGUAAGCAUUUCUCAUCUUUGUUCAUGUUUUGCAUAUGCAUAUAAUCUGUUUUACAUUUGUCAUCUUUGUUCCUGUUCAUGCGAAAAUCAUUUUACUUUUUGGAUAAAAUCUACUGACAAAGAACAAAGUGUCAUUGACCACGAUGAUAAAAUGUACUCUGUCUUUGUGUGUUUGAAGUAGUAAACCAAACGGUCUUGGAACAAUUUAUGAAUUUCAUAUUAUUACUAACGUCGGUAUUUUAUUACUAACGUCAUUGUAAUUGAAAACCACGACGUUUGUUGAAAAAUAUAUUUACUUUUUUCCCUCUUGAAAAUCAUUUUAAGUUUUUAAGUUUUUCCAAAUAUAAAGACAAGAAGCAAAAAGUCUGGAAACACUGCUUUAGACAACUGUGUUUUAUAUAUUACGUCGUUUGUAAUGUAAAACCACGACGUUUUCUUUCCACAGUAGUGAAAAUUUAAAAUUUACAUCGUUUACUAUCAAACCACAUCGGUAGUUAACUACUGUCGUUAUAUAUAUCUUAUUGCAUCGGUUGUUUUUAUAUUCCGUCGUGUGAAAUCUUAUACUACGUCGUUUUUUUAAAUAAGCGUCAUUUUUUUAUUGACUUUUAUUUUAUUUUUUCUCUGCUUGCAGGUCUAAUUUCUCUGUAACCAUGGUUUCUCAAGCGCCAAGUAAGGAUUCUAGCUUGAACAAAAAUGAAUGUAAGGAGCUUAAAGUUUCAAAACCUCAAACCAAGCCCUCAAAGAAGAUGAAAUUUGUUUCAUCUGCUGAGACAGAACCAGGCAGCAUGACAACAUUUUCUGAGGAGCCAAAGUCUAGUCGUGGUAUAAACACAAUGCCCCGUGUUGUGAAGAGAAAAUUGCAGAAAAUCAAGCCAGUUAUUGAGUACAACAAAAGGGGGAAACCAUAUGGCCCUGCACAUACUGAGAUGCAGUCCUACAUUGGUGUGCUGGCACGAUCCAGAGUCCUAAUUGUGGACAAGAAACGAACUGAAAUCCCUAAGGAUAUAAAAGAGCAGAUUUGGGAAGCCGUUGACAUGGCUUAUGUGGUAGGGCAAGGGGGUAAAAAAAUGGUGUUAUCAUCUGCUGGCAAGAAAUGGAAGGAUUUGAAGUCUACAUUAACGAGGCAUCAUAUUCUUCCAUUCAUCAAUGAGAAGGAGAAGUUAAGACAACCCCCUGAAUUAUAUAAAUUCAUAGAGAAAGCAGAGUGGGAUGCCUUUGUAGCUUCAAGGUUAUCCGAACAAUUUGAGUCUGUCCAUGCUGAACAAGCAUAGAGGAGAGGGAAAUGCGAGUACAAUCAUCGAUUGUCUCGAAAAGGAUAUGUUGGUUUGGAGGAUGAUUUGGAAGAAAGCAUGCCAGGGGUAGAAAUUGAUCGAUCUACCUUUUGGAAGAAAGCUAGAGAAGACAAACACGGUAACAUCCCCGAUCCAAAGUUUGCGGAGAAAGAAAAAUUAAUUGUAAGCCUAAAUUCACUUCACUCUGUUUUAAAUUUGUAUUAAACUACAUUGGAAUUUUAAUUAGACUUGCAUAUGGAACUAACUUUCUGUUUUUAUUGACUUUAAUGUGUCUUUGUGUUAAUUAGGAUGAAUUGCAAAAACAAGUCAGUGAAGGCACUCUUACUGUCUCUAGAAGUAAUGAUGUGUUGACUAUGGCUUUGGGUCCCGAGCAUCUAGGGAGAGUUAGAGGUGUCGGGGCUGGGAUUUCCACUAGGCAAUACUUCAAUUUACCUAGACAAUAGAGGGUAAAGUUUAACGAUCAAUUAAGGGAAAGUGUAAGAGAUGUCCUUAAAGAAGAGACCUUGAAGAUGGAGGCUAGAACCAAGCAAUUGGUAGAAGCUGAGAGGGAGAAUUAGCUAAAUCAGCUGUGCCAACUAAUUCCAAAUUUUGAUCCAAGCGUGCUGAAACUGACAACUUUCCAAGGUCCUGAGCAAAGUCCCAAAAAUCCAAUGUCGGAUAAAGCAAGCUGCUCUGGGGCGCUAGAUGUCAGAGCCCUCAAUUUUGCGAAUGAUAAUGCCAAAGAUGGAGAAAAGCAAGAAGAAAUGGUAACUUCUAUGAACUCUGCAUACUGCUUUUGAAAACCAAUUAGACGUCGUUAUCUUAAUUACAGACGUUAGAACCAACCCACAACGACGUCUUUUAUUUACCGUCGUCUCAAUUUAAAUUAGAUAGUGUUUUCUCGUAUUAACCGUCAUCUGUAUUCCUUACCAUGAUGGUAUGUUUGUGCAAUAUUUCAUUUUGUACAAACAGUCUUAUCUAUCUUUCUUUAUUUCUUAAAACAGAAAUCCAAGGAUACAGAACAGCAAGCUGACAUGGUAAAUUCUCUGAAAUUUGAAAUACGCUCUUUCUCUCUCUCUCUCUCUUUAUCUGCAAUUGAUGUUAUCUGCAUUUCUGCGAACGCAUGCUUUUAAAUUUGUAUUUGCAUUUGUUAAUUUUUGAGGGCUCUGUUUUAUACCGACGUAAUAAAGACAUAAGACGACGGUUUUUAGUAACCGUCGUUUUAACUUCAUAUUACGUCUGUUUUUUAAAUAAACCGUCGUUGGAAUUCUAGUACCACGACGGUGUUGUGGAUUCAAAUAGUGUUUUUUUUUUUCAAUCUUUUCUUCACUCACUCUAUUCCACUCUCUCUUUCUCUAUCUCUCUUUAUCUGCAUUUCAUCUUAUUUGUAUUUCUGCUAAAGCAUACUUUUAAAUUGAUAUUGGCAAUUGUUAAUUUUCUAGGGCUCUGUUUUCUACCGACAUGAUUGAUACAUACGACGACAGUUUUCACUUGCCGUCGUGGUUAUUUAAUUUACACGUCAUUUUUUUAUCUUCCCCGUCGUUUUAUCUCAAUUACCACGACGUUUAAGUUUGUGUAGUUUACUCUGGUUUUUUCACUUCUGUAUUAUAUAUCUUUUCUUAUUUCUUCAAGCAAAAAGACAAGUGCUUGGACGUUUCUGAGAAGGAACAACAAGUACCAGAUUACUCAAACCUAGUCUUGCCAUCUUCUUUACAAGCCCUUUGUCGUUAUAUGGAGACGACAUUAAGGGUUCAUGAGAAGGCUAUGAUAUUUACAAUUGAGAAGGAGGUGUUUGGUUUUGAGCAUCAAACCUUCGUCUUGAUUGAAGAUAUUACACAGUUUGCAGCCAUGGAUGAAAUUGGGGCUACUGUGGUUGCUGUAUACAUGAGGUUUGUCCUUAACAACUCAUUGUCAUUUCACACUCUCCUUUCUUUAAAAAAAUUAAAAAACUCAUGACAUCAUUUUAUAUAUGUAGGUGCCUAUUUGAUGUAUUGAAAACAGCAAAUAUGGUGAACAUUGUUGGCUUUGUUGACCCCGCUCAAGUUAGUGCUAACUCUGGAUCAUUAACUCAAAGAUCACGUUUGUUAGCCAAUCGACUUCAAAAGAUAGAUGGGGAACAGAUUUUCUUUAUGCCUUACAAUCCAGGGUACGUUAGUCAACAUGAUUUUCUUUGUAUGAUGCAGUGUAUAUAAAACUGUUUAACCUCUAUGUUUAUUUUGUGUAGCCAUCAUUGGGUCUUGCUCAUUGUGAGACCAAAGAGGGAGACUGUGUAUUUUCUGGAUCCACUACCCGGAAAUUGAGUGGUUGAUGACAAGUGCAAAAACAUAGUGAACACGUAAGUUGAUCUACUCAAGUGUAAUGUGUGUUUGUAGCCUUUUUUUUUUUUUUGAAAUAACACUUUAUUGUCAUGAAACAGUGCUAUCAAGAUGUAUAAUUCACACAUUGGCAGACAAGGCCGUAAAGCACCUAUUUGGAAAACUCUACAAGGCACACCAAAGCAACCUAGCAGUGUAGAGUGUGGCUAUUAUGUCAUGCUCUUUAUGAGAGACAUCAUCACAGAUCCUUCUUUGGAAUUUGAGAAGAAGGUAAAUGGAAAACUUUAGGAUUUUAAUUUCUGUGGUUUUUGUAAGUGGACGACCGAAAAUAUAAUUACCGUCAUGUGAAUCUAUAUACCACGACGGUAAUUCUAUUUACUCUGCCACAGAUCCUACGAAACCAUUCAUGAAGGCUAAAUAAUGAUGUUUUAUUGAUUUGCAGUUUGAAAAGGGCAAAGAUCAAGCACCAUACCCCCAAGAAGCCAUUGAAGAAGUGAGGAAAGAACGGGCAGAUUUUGUUUGCCUUCAUAUGGAGUAGAGGAUUUUUACAAACAACUAUGAAAAAUGUACAAUUUUUUUUUUUUCAAUAGACAAUUUUUUGUACAGGGUUUCGGGUAUAAUGUAUAUGUUUUUUUUGGCUGUCAAUAAAAAUUGGUUUUCAGUUUUUAAAACUAAAGUAACUCCUUAAACCGUCGUCUGAAGACCCUUCCAACGACAUAAUAGUUUCAACAACAGUCAUCUUAUGAAACUUGAAAAUAAACAAACGACGGUAAAUUCAUUUAAUGACAUGUAAACUCAUGUAACACGGCGGUAUAUUUUAAAAGACAAUAAACGACGUUGAUAACACAAAAAGAGCCUUGAAGCAAAUAUCACGUCGAUAACUUGAUAACAGUCGACGUCUUAUGCAAUUUCAAUGACCUUCCCUAAACCCUAAUGCCAUGUAAGCUCGUGUAACACGACGGUAUAUUUUAAAAGGCAAUAAACGACGUUGAUAUCACAAAAAGAGCCUUAAAGCAAAUACCACGUCGAUAACUUGAUAAUAGUCGACGUCUUAUGCAAUUUCAACGACCUUCCCUAAACACUAAUGCCAUGUAAACUCGUGUAACACGACAGUAUAUUUUAAAAGACAAUAAACAACGUUGAUAUCACAAAAAGAGCCUUGAAGCAAAUACCACGUCGAUAACUUGAUAAUAGUCGACGUCUUAUGUAAUUUCACCGACCUUCCUUUUUAAACACCGUCGUCUGGUCAACUUAUGAAUUUUCAAAUGAAUAUUGAAACACUUAAAACGACGUUAUUUUAUUUAAGCGACGUAUAAAGCCCUAACGUCUUAUAUUAUAUUUAGUGGUAGUUUUGACUUAUUUUCUGACUUUUGAACUUCACUACAACGUCGGUUCAUUUAUAAGAGGCUGUGUGACGUCUAUUCUCUUUAUCCCGUCAGUUCGUACCAUAGACGACGUGAGAGUAACAAAACAACAUCCCGAUCCUGCGAUGUUGUAAAUUUUUUACAACGUCAGUAUUUGUAUAAAUACCGAAGUUUAACAUUCAUACAACGUCGGUAUCUGUAUCUAAAACCGACGUGGUUUGUUGUGUUUAUAACAAUUUUUUAUUGACCUUAAUUCAUAAUAUUCAUAAUAAAUUUGUAAAUUUUCAAAAAAUACACCACAACUGCUAUGCAGUCAUUAAGAUAUUUUCUUUGUCCUAAAGCUUUCAAAAAUGUAAUUUGAGUUAUAAAAAUGAAAUAUGUCCACAUAAACAAAUAAAUCACAACAUCCCUUAUAGUUUCUUCAAGCAAUCAUAUGGCUUGUGUCAUUCAUUGGUGGGGAUAUAUAUAUAUAUAUAUAUAUUUUUUAAAUACUGGUUUUAGCAAUCUAAUUUAGAGGGCAUUGUCGUAAGGACUCCGUAGCAAUUUUCAGUUUAUUUUUCUCAAACAUUGGUAUUUUUUAAAACAUUUUAAAUAUAUAUAUAUUACUAUUUAGGGUUUAGGGUUAGGGUUUAUGGUUGAGGGUUUAGGGUUUAGGGGUUUAGGUAUUUAUGGUUUAGGGUUUAGUAUAUGACCACCCUAAACCCUAAACUUUUUUUACAAUUUUGUUUUACAAAUUUGUUUACACCAUAAUGAACCGAGCAGACCCAGCAUCAAAGCGCCUAGCACCAAGGCAGCCACGCCUUCUCCCAUGCCGAAGGAAGACACACUUCCGAGGUGCCAGACACCUGCCGAAGCUCUCAGCUGCCAAACCUAAUCUCCAGGACACGUGUCGUCACCACAACAACUUGCACAAAGUCCCACAUUGGAACUUUGUGCAAAGCUCCCACUUUCACUUCCCUAUAAAUAGGGAACAGUACCCAGGUAAAACCAAGGGCUAUUCCCCCACUUUUACUGUUACUCUGCCAGAAUUACUACCCGUAACUGACUUAGGCAUCGGAGAGCCUUCGGCCGGCACCACACCGGUGUCCGAAGCUUAACGGUUGCUUCUCCUCUUUUUACCUUCUACAGGUCUCUCACCAACCCAUUUCACCGGGGGCCUCAGCCCUCUUCCCUGCUGAAGACCCAGCACAUCUAAUCACUAAGUUGUACUCAAUAUUGGCCGGGCCAUUUUGAGCAUCAACAGUUUGGCGCCGUCUGUGGGAAUCUGACACUUGAAUCCCCUCUUUCUCUAUCAGCCCAGCUGGCUCCUUCACCCCUCAGGCCCCGUCGCCUCUUCUUCACCCCACAUUCUGCUAUGCCGACCGAGGAUAGCCGCGAUACCCAGCACCAUACCCCCCGCGAUGGUACUUCUAGAAGGCAAUCUUCGGAAGAUGCCACUCUCCAGGCAGAAGUGGAGCGCCUCCGCGACAGUGUCACUAAGAUGUCGGAGAAAUACGAGCACCUUCAUUGCAAGAAUGUUGAGCUAGAACAUGACUACCGUGUUUUAAAGCGGAACUGGGAAAGGACUCGCACCCAGGAUGCCCAGCAAGACCUCACCUAGAACGUUGGGCUUAUUCAGCCGAACCAGCCAGUACAUUCCAGCCACAGUGCCUCGGCCCAAGCUAGGCUCCGCAAGGGUAAAGACCACCUUCAUCCGGAGAUAACCCAGUCACGACCCCUUUGCGUUCCCCCACCGAGGGACCGGCCCCACGAACCAGUCAGGAUCUACCAAGAUUGCAGGGAUCGCCUCUCGGACCGUCAGCCAAGGCCGAUCCCUAUCCCUGUCAACCUCGAGGACCCACGGGUGACACACCUGGGCCCCUCGCCAGCCCCCGUCCGCAUACCCGACGAGGAAGGUGUCGGGGACUCGGAUACUUGGGAAUUUUAUAAUUCAAACACCUGGCCAAAUUACCACACCGGGGCGCUGGAAAAUUGGGAACAAUCCCCAGCCCCUGUCUGCCCCGCCCCCAGGCCUUUGGCACCUGAAACUCUUCCUCAUGCCGACCCGGCCAUGAGGCUUCUCUUUGAAAAGGUUCGGCGCCUGGAAAGCGAACAACAUCGCAGCCAUCAACCCCUCUGGGCAAAACCACGACCAGGGCCCUUUACCGAACGCAUCCUCAACUACCACCAGGAGAAAGAUAUCCAGCCACUCCGCAUCGCUUUCUACACUGGCACGGAGGACCCUCUCACCCACAUCCACUCCUUCCAGUCUGCCCUUGGGUUCAAAGGCCUCACUGAUGAAGGCAUGUGCCUCCUUUUCCCUUCCACCCUCAGCGGCGCAGCCCUGAAUUGGUUCUACAGGCUCUACCCCCGCACCAUCAACUCCUUCGAUAGUCUCAAGCAGACAUUCCUGGACCAUUUUAUGAUCCAGACUGAUCGCCUAUACUCUGCCGACGACUUGUAUAUGCUUAGGCAGGCUGAGGACGAACCCCUUCGAGAAUAUGCAGCUCGGUUCAGUCAUGAAUACUCCCGCUGCCCAGACACUGACGAUCGCGCUGCCUUCGGCGCUUUUAAGAGCGGCCUCCGCGAGUCCAACUUCCGCUACCUGGUUCAUAGCAACAGUUGGAACACAUAUGUAGAGCUGAUGAAGCAGGCGGCGAUCCAUGCUAAGGCUGAAUACUUCAAUUCCAAGCGUGGCCCAGCCAACCUGGCGCGCAACACUUUCGCUGACCCUCCACCUGCUUCAACACCCGCCCCAGCCCCACCUCAGCAUUCUACCCCUGCCCCGAGUGCCCAGGACAACCAACAUAAGCGGAAGGAUAGCUACCAGCAUCCCUUCGGUAAUAACAAACGUGGCAGACAUGGCAACCAGCACUCUAGCGGAGGCAACCCUCCUAGGCCUGGUGAUCGGGCCCCUCUUUCCUUCACACCCAAGCCCAGGUUUGAGGUUUUUACGACCCUCAACACCACCUACGAGAACGUCCUGGUGCGUGAAGCCCCCAUCAUCCCCAAGCCACCCCCCCGGAGACCAUCCAACAAGCCUAUGCCAAACACGGGGGUCUUCUACCGCUUUCAUCAAUUCAGCGGCCAUGACACCGAGUCUUGUGUUGCGUUGCGCAACAUAAUUGAAGGGCUCAUCCGGGAGGGUAAGCUGGACAACUAUGUGCGCAACAUACCAGCCCCGCCUAACCCCCACCAACGACAAAUCAACAUGAUCUCCACCAUCAGCGGAAGUCCUACCCUGGCUGGCACCUCCAACAACUCCAUCAAACAUUAUGUCCGCUCCACCUAUGCGCACCAGGUCUUCAGCACCGAGCAGGGACGCUUGCCGAAGACCCACAGGACUGGCUGGGCCCCCAUUACCUUCUGCGAGGAGGAGGAGCGUGGUGUUAUCCUCCCCCAUGACGAUCCACUCAUUAUCCGGGCUGACAUUUCUAACUUUGACGUUGGGCGUAUCCUGAUGGACACUGGCAGCUCGGUCAGUGUGAUGUUUGCCGAGGCCUUCAAUGAACUCCAGGUCCCGCCUCACCUACUCGACCGAAGCAUCACACCCCUUGUGAGCUUCUCGGGUGAUGUGGUCCAGCCCAUUGGCAGCAUUCAUCUCCCUAUAACAAUUGGGGCCGCACCCCAGCGGACGACGAUCACUACCCCCUUCCUUAUCGUCGACUGUCCCACAGCCUACAACGUCAUCCUCGGCCGCCCAGCCUUGGCCCAAAUGAAGGCUUUUAUUUCCACACAUAUGCUGUUGUUGAAGUUUCCCACUCCUAAUGGCCCAGGCACGGUGCGCGGCGACCAACUCGGAGCCCGAAGCUGCUAUGCUUCAGCCGUCAAAUCCACCAAUCGCCAACAUAGGAAUGAAGCCCUAGCAGUAACCAAGGCUCCCGCCCCUCCUCAAGCUGGCACAGAACCACCUGAAGACCCAAGGGAGGAGUCCAUCGCCCCACAGGCCGAACCUAUGGAGGACCUGGAGCUGGUUACCCUCCAUGACGAUAUCCCGGAUCGACAAGUCCGGAUCGGCACCUCCAUCUCGCCAGAGCUUCGCUCUGACCUGGUCGCCUUCCUCCGCCUCAACUCCGAAGUCUUCGCUUGGUCCUACAAUGACAUGCCUGGCAUAUCAUCAGACAUCAUAUCUCAUAGGCUUAGCGUCAAUCCUGCCGUCAGACCAGUCCGACAGAAGCGUCGCGCUUAUGAUCCCGAGCGCUAUGAGGCCAUGAGGGCGGAGGUGGAACGAUUGAGUAGCAUCGGAUUCAUCAGGGAGGUUGACUAUCCUACAUGGCUGGCUAAUGUCGUGAUGGUCCGCAAGCCAAGAAAGGGCUGGCGCAUGUUUGUCGACUACACCAACCUUAAUCGGGCUUGCCCAAAGGACAGCUUCCCGCUACCCCGCAUUGACCAGCUAGUCGACGCCACAGCUGGCCACGCCCUCCUUAGCUUCAUGGAUGCUUAUUCAGCGUACAACCAGAUCUUCAUGCACCCCGAAGAUCAGGCCCACACCUCUUUCAUUACGGACCGAGGCCUCUACUGCUAUAAGGUGAUGCCCUUUGGCCUCAAAAACGCCGGGGCUACUUAUCAGCGUCUGGUGAAUCAGCUCUUUGCCCCACUGAUUGGCAAUACCAUGGAGGUCUAUGUCGAUGACAUGCUAGUCAAGAGUCGCACGGCUGACCAACACAUCCCUAACCUCUCUGCCAUGUUCACCAUCCUGAAGCGGUACAAAAUGAGGCUUAACCCCACCAAAUGUGCAUUCGGGGUGGCUUCCGGCAAAUUCCUGGGCUUCAUGAUCAGCCAGAGGGGUAUUGAGGCCAAUCCAGAAAAGAUCCAGGCCAUCUUAGACAUGACGGUGCCUCAGACGGUCAAAGAUAUCCAAAGCCUUACAGGGCGUGUCGCAGCCCUGACCAGAUUUAUCUCCAAAGCCACUGACCGCUGCGCCCCAUUCUUCAAGGCCCUUAAAGGCACCAAAAGAAACAUCACCUGGACUGCUGAAUGCGACACGGCUUUCAGCGAGCUCAAAGAGUAUAUGGGCCGGGCCCCUUUAUUGUCAACCCCUGAGCACGGAGACAUCCUCGUGAUUUAUCUCUCCAUUUCAGCUUCGGCUGUUAGCUCUGUGCUCAUCCGAUCAAAGGAUAACGCGGAACACCCAGUGCAUUAUGUUAGCAAGGCUUUGCAAGAUGCAGAAGUUCGAUACCCAGACAUCAAAAAAUUAGCGUUCGCCCUGGUUGUCUCGGCAAGACGCCUCCGACCAUAUUUCCAAGCUCACACCAUCCAUGUCUUAACUAACCAACCGCUCCGACAGGUGUUGCAGAACCCAGACACUUCUGGGAGGCUGGUCAAAUGGGCCAUUGAACUGGGUGAGUUUGAUAUUCAUUACAAACCUCGCCCGGCUAUGAGGGGACAGGCCGUUGCUGACUUCCUAUCCGAAUUCACGGAGCCCCAAGCUUCCGCAGCUACCCAGCUCAUAACCGAACCCAAUCCCCCGCCCAGCCAGGACCAAACCCCCACCGAAGGCAAUCUCGACCUAACCCAGCCCCUGUGGACCUUAUUCGUAGACGGCUCUUCUAAUGCCCGGGGCUGUGGGGCCGGCCUCGUUCUCAUCUCCCCAGACAAGGUUGCCCUCGAGUACGCCCUUCACUUCAAAUUCCAAGCCUCCAACAAUGAGGCCGAAUAUGAAGCACUCUUAGCUGGUCUUCGACUAGCCAAAGAGAUGGACGCCAGACAAAUUCAGAUCUUCAGCGAUUCCCAACUCGUGGUCCACCAGGUCAACCAGGACUUCACGGCUAAGGAUGCCUCUAUGACGGCUUACCUCCAGCACGCUCGGCACCUGCUGGCAACCUUCCACACCCACUCCAUCAAGCAAGUGCCACGCUCAGAGAAUAGCCAUGCCGAUGCACUAGCCAGAUUGGCAUCAGCCUUGGAGCAAGGAAUGGGUCGCCACAUCCACAUCGAGUUUUUGGCCCAGCCCAGCACACAAGCCCCACUCAUCUGCACUAUUGAUCACAGCCCUACAUGGAUGGACCCCAUCCUCCAGUUCUUACAAAACCAAACACUACCGGCUAACCCGGCAGAAGCACGACGCGUUCGCCAUCGCUCCGCCCGUUACUUGAUCAUUAACGGCUCCUUAUACAAGCGUGGCUUCAGCCUUCCUUACCUUCGAUGCCUGACUCCAGAGGAGGGUCACUAUGUCCUCCGAGAAAUCCAUGAAGGCAUCUGCGGCAACCACUCGGGCGCACGCUCGCUAGCCCAUAAAGCAAUCCGCCAAGGAUACUUCUGGCCUUCACUCCACACUGACGCCCAGGCCUUCACCCAAAAAUGCGACAAGUGUCAGCGAUUUGCCAACAUCCCACAACUCCCGGCUGAACCGUUGACUGCCAUGGUCAGCCCUUGGCCAUUUGCCCAAUGGGGACUGGAUCUCAUUGGACCUAUGCCAGAGGGCAAGGGCCAAGUCAAGUAUGCAGUUGUGGCCGUAGACUACUUCACCAAGUGGGCUGAGGCCGAGGCCUUGGCCACCAUCACUGCGGCUCGCAUCGAAUCCUUUGUGUGGCAGAACAUUGUAUGUCGCUUCGGCAUCCCCAACUUCAUCGUCACCGACAAUGGCCGGCAAUUUGACAACGCCAAAUUCAAACAAUUUUGUUCCAACCUCAAGAUUCGUCUGUGUUUCGCCUCCCCAGCCCAUCCUCAGUCCAAUGGCCAGGUCGAAGCCGUGAACAAAAUUAUCAAGAAGACCCUCAAGACAAAACUUGACAAAGCCAAGGGCUGCUGGCCAGAACUACUCCCAGAAGUACUCUGGUCCUACCGCACCACCUUCCGCACAUCCACAGGUGAAACGCCGUUCUCCCUAUCAUUUGGAACCGAGGCCGUGGCUCCGGUAGAGAUUGGCCAGCCCACAUACCGAACCUCCACUUACGAUGCCACGGCCAAUGACGAGCAGUUGGCCCUCAACCUCGACUUCAUUGACGAACUCCGGGACCAAUCGAGCAUGCGCAAUGCCGCGUACAAGCAACGCAUCGCCAAGUACUAUGACUCCCGAGUCAAGCCCCGUGCUUUCAAAAUGGGGGACUGGGUCAUGCGCAAGGUUUCCUUGGCUACCAAAAAUCCUAACGAAGGUACUCUCGGCCCUACAUGGGAAGGUCCUUACGAGAUUAUCAAAAUCUACCGCCCUGGCACUUAUCAGCUUCGCGAUUCCACAGGCAAGACGCUGCCUCACCCGUGGAAUGCUGACCACCUCAAGUAUUAUUACAAGUAAACAUAUCUAGACCCUAGGACAAUACUUUGGUCUUGAUUAUUUACUGUAAGGUAGAAGUAAGGUAUCUAGACCCUAGACCACUUGUACCUUCUGCCUUUCGGCAUCUAUUUCAAUGAAAUGCCUGACUCCGGCUCAUUCUCAUGCAUUCACAUUGUUAUCAUUUUUACUAACACAAUUGAUAUCAAGCUAAGUUCAUAUCAUAAAUAAAAACAGCCUUGCUCCAGGCAAGGACAAAUGUUCAUACAUAACCAAAAUAAACAAGUGUUCCAACACAAUCACUAGAGUACAAAAUAGCUAUAACACAUCACGAAGGCAACGCCUUCAGGACUCGGUCGAAGGGGCAUCCUCAGUGGCUGGCUCAGCCUCUGGUGUCGGGGCGCUAGCAUCAGCAGGAGGGGUCUGUGCAGGAGGCUCGCCACUGGUGUCAAAGUUAAUCUCCACCGAGGGGUUGAACCUAACCAACCUAUCUUCCCAGCAAAGCUGCUCAUCAACCAGUCGAUCCAUGAUAUAGCUCUUCAGCUCCUCUGAGGAUCGGAAGGACUCAAUCGCCUCGACUCGGGCAGCAGCCACCUCCUCGGCCUUCGAUCUCUUCAGCUCCUCCACCUCCUUGACCAAGGCCGCCUUUUGGACUCUCCAUAGUUCUUCCAUAGCCCUUGCCAUUCGGCAAGGGUCUAGCCAUUUUUUUUUUUUUUUUUUUUGAGCUUCGGGAGCUAGGCCUUCGAGGGAGCUGGGUCUUGAAAAUUUUAGACUUCGGGAGCUAGGCCUUCGAGGGAGCCGGGUCUUGAAAAUUUUAGACUUCAGGGGCUAGGCCUUCGAGGGAGCCGGGUCUUGAAAAUUUUAGACUUCGGGAGCUAGGCCUUCGAGGGAGCCGGGUCUUGAAAAUUUUAGACUUCGGGGGCUAGGCCUUCGAGGGAGCCGGGUCUUGAAAAUUUUAGACUUCGGGGGCUAGGCCUUCGAGGGAGCCGGGUCUUGAAAAUUUUAGACCUUCGAGGAGCCGGGUCCAUUGAAAAUUUUGGAGACUCGCCACUUCGUCAAUGGCCCUUGCCGUUCGGCAAGGGUCUAGCCAAAAAUUUUUUUUGGAGCUUCGGGAGCUAGACCUUCGAGGAGCCGGGUCCGUUGAAAAUUUUGGAGACUCGCCACUUCGUCAAUGGCCCUUGCCGUUCGGCAAGGGUCUAGCCAUUUUUUUUUGGAGCUUCGGGAGCUAGACCUUCGAGGGAGCCGGGCCAUUCGAAAAUUCAAGACUCUCAAAAUUUUGCCAUGGCCCUUGCCGUUCGGCAAGGGUUUAGCCAUAUACAUAUAUUUUUUGUUUUGAAUGGCCGGGCCUUCUUGAGUUGGGGCUUGGGCAUGUGGAAAGAGUUGGGCCCGUGAUGGGCUUCAGCAAGUAACAAGGCCUAGGGUUUUGGGAGGAGGAGGUAUACAAAUAAGAGGGUGGCCACCAUGCCGUUCGGCAUUUCCUCAUUCGGCACCUUGGAGUAGAACAAAUUCUUGAAAUCCCAUCUUGCCGUUCGGCAAGUUCUUGGAGUCACGGUUUUGGGCUUGUAUUGAUUUUGGCUUCGGGCAAGGGAACAAUGCUUCGGCAAGCGGCACAAACUUGGAAGGGUUGGUGACGGCUGGCCAAACUUGGAAGGGGCUGGACAGCCGGUGGCGCAAAGAAACUGCUGGGGUGAAAUUGCCGUUUGGUUGGAAACGGCUGGGCUGUUUUGGCUAGGCGUCGGGGUGGUGCUUCGGCAGCAAGACUCGGCAGGCUAGUUGGGUUGUGCUGUGCCGAUCGGCAGGGUUGGUCCGAAGAGGUGUUGCUGUGCUGCGAGCACAUCGGUUGUGGCUGGACACUUGCCGUUCGGCAAGGGUGAUUGGGGAGCAGGGCAAGUGUGCGAGAUCCUUGCUGGGGCUUCGGCAUGUGGGCUGCGAUUUGAGCAGGGCUCGGUGUGAGCGAAGUCUGCGGGAAGAGAUUGGCUUCGGCAAUUGAGCUUGCCGUUCGGCAGGAGCCUUGGGGAUGGCGGGGGUUGUGCUUCGGCAGUUGUGAGCACGGCUGCGGCAGUUGUGAGCACGGGUUGGCUUCGGCAGCUGGGUUAGUGCUGUGCCGAUCGGUAGUUGUGCAGGUGCAGAUCGGCAGGCCGUGGGUGAUUGGCGAGAGGUCUGCAGGUGGCUGAGCUUCGGCAAGGCAGCUGGAGGAGUUGGGCGGUGCAGCUUUGCUUCGGCAGGGGCAAGUCUGUGGUGGUUUUUAGGUAUUCCGUCGGCAAGAAGACCUUGGCGGUGCAGCUGGGGCCUAGGCACGAGGGUGCCAAAGGUGACGUAAAGCUUGCAUGUUUGCAAGGCGAUGUGGCUAGGCACGGGGGUGCUGAAGGUGACACAAGGUGUGGUUGGGCACGAGGGUGCCGAAGGCAACACAGAGCUUGCGUGUCGCAAGGCGAUGUGGCUAGGCAAGGGGGUGCCGAAGGCAACACAAAGCUAGUAUUUUGCCAGGUAAUGUGGCUAGGCACGAGGGUGUCGAAGGCGACACAAAGCUUACAUGUUUGCAAGGCAAUGCAGCUAGGCAUGGGGGUGCCGAAGAUAACACAGAGCUUGCGUGUCGCAAGGCAAUGUGGCUAGGCACGGGGGUGCCGAAGGCAAAGGGGAUGCCGAAGGUGACACAAAGCUUGCAUGUCGCAAGGCAAUGUGGCUUGGGCACAAGGGGUGUCGAAGGUAUAAAACUUGCAUGUUGCAAGAUGGUUGCCGAAGACACUUGCAUGGCACAAGGAAAUUGCCGAAAUGCAUGAAACUUGGAAAGAUUCUGAAGGGAAGAAAUGAAAAUGUGCAUUUGGCACAAUGCUUGCCGUUCGGCAGGCAGGUGGGGGAGGUUGAUGAGCUCGGCCUUCGGGUACCUGGGGUGUGCACGAAGGGGACUUGGGGUGUGUCUGUGUGUGAGCCCACAUGGUAUGGCCAACCCUUUGUUGUUCGGCAAAGGGCCGAGAGCCUUGGGCCUGGGCCUUGGUCUUCGGUGGCUAGGGUGCGCUUCUAUUUCAUGGGUGCCGAAGGGCACUGAAGAAGGGGAGGAUCGACAAAGGCUUUUUGUGUCAAUUCCCACAGACGGCGCCAAACUGUUGAUGCUCAAAAUGGUUCAGCCAAGAUUGAGUCCAACUUAGUGAUGAGGUGUGAUGGAUGAUGGAUGAAGGUGAGGACCUACGUGGUUCACCCGAAUGAUGGGCUACGUCCACGGAGAAGGGUGUUCUCAUUAUGAUAAUGUUUGUUUACAUUUGUACAAGGGGAUUAGACCCAAAUAUAAAGAUAACAAGUGAGAAGCCCAGCCCAGAGAUGGAUCCAGAAGAGAGAGUCCAAGGCCUAAGGGUCUAGAUCCAAGACCAGGAUCCCUUCUAAGGAAAGAGUAGUCUUCUUUUAUAGGUGAGGGGGAGUCUUCACUUCUUGUAGUUUUCCGAUGUGGGACUCCUCUUGCUUUGCUUAGAGUUGUGACUUGUGGUAAUGCCUCUUUGGCUAAGGUGGUGACCUCUCAAAACAUGGUACGUGGAUGAUCUAGCCAAGCUAGUUGCUCGGUCAGUUAUGGUACAAACAAUAUGUUUAGGGUUUAGAAGAUUAUUCUGAAAUCAUUGACUGUAUUGUUGGGUUUUAGAUAUAUGUUUUGCGAUCUUUUGAUGUUUUCGUAGGUAUGUUCUUCAUCAAUCUAUGUUGUUAUGAAUAGGGAAUGGCUUCAAUAUUUGCAUGCUCUUCUUGGAAAUGGUCUGAAUAAAAGAAGAUUUAGCCUCCUUUUCUUUAAGUGUUUGACGACGGUUUUUCAUAUAACCAUCGUCUUUAUUUCAUCUACAAGGCGAUGUUUAUUUUGCUAUUUUCAGAAUCACUGUUUACUAGCUUAAAACGUCGGUUUUGGAAAAAAACCGAUGUCUGUAUAAGUACAAAACGUCAGAUGUUUUAAAAAAACCGUCGUCUUUAUGUUAAAUUACUUUCUUUCAAAGUAAUUAUAAUCUGCUAUAGUGAUGUCAUUGCUUGUCUUUUCACCUUAUUAUAAAUAAUAGGGUAUUUUUUCGGAGAUGGAUAAGUCAUGGAUGCACCCGGAUAGAAGAUCGAAGGCAUAUGAGUUAGGGGUGGAAGCAUUGAAAAUCUUCUAACCACAACACAUAUUCACUAUCCAUGUGUUAAAUGUGGGAAUGUUCCAUUGUUUGGGGUUGGAAUUAUAAGGGACCACUUAUACUUUAAUGGAGUUCACCAAAGUUAUAAGAAUUGGACAUUUCACGGAGAACCUUGGCAAGCAACUACUAAUGCUAGUAGAAAUGUGGAAGAAGAUGAUGAACAUAGUAGGUACAGUUUUGUGUCUGAAGAAAUAGAGAUGGAUGAUAAUGAUUUAGGCGAUUUUGGAUCCGAUCCUUAUAAGUUCGCCAAUUUCAUUGGCGAUGGAGAUUCACCCUUGUACCCUGGUUGUAGUAAGUACACCAAGUUGUCGGCAUUAGUAAAGUUAUAUAAUUUAAAGGCAAAACAUGGGAUGAGUGAUGUCUGUUUUAUAUAAUUGUUGAUACUUCAAGGAGAAUUGCUUCCAGAAGGAAAUACAAUACAUUCCUCUAUGUAUGAGGCAAAAAAGACUUUGUUUGCAUUGGAGCUGAGUUAUGAGAAAAUCCACACAUGCUCCAAUGAUUGCAUCUUGUAUAGGAAGGAGUAUGAACAUUCAACUCAUUGUCCUACUUGUGGAAUCUCACGAUGGAAGGAAGGCAAAGAUUCAAUCUUGAAAUAGGGUGUCCCAGCAAAGGUAGUGUGGUAUUUUCCACCAAUUCCAAGAUUUAAAAAGAUGUUUCAAUCACACAAGACAGCUAAAAGUUUGACUUGGCAUGCUAAUAGAAAAGCAAUUGAAGGUCAGAUGUCUCAUCCGGCUGAUUCUCCCUCUUGGAAACUCGUUGAUGAUAAAUGGCCCGAGUUUGGUAAUGAGUCGAGAAACUUGAGAUUGGCUCUCUCAUCUGAUGGAUUCAAUCCCCACAGUUCUCUAAGUACCAGAUACAGUUGUUGGCCUGUUAUCUUAAUUACAUAUAAUCUCCCAUCAUGGCUAUGCAUGAAACGAAAGUUCAUGAUGUUGACCUUAAUGAUUUCCGGUCUGAAACAACCCGAAAAUGAUAUAGAUGUCUACUUAGAGCCUUUGAUUGAUGAUUUAAAAUCUUUGUGGGAUGGGAUUAAAAGUGUGUAUGAUGCUCAUAUAGGAGAAUACUUUACACUCAGCUGCAUUAUUGUGGACAAUUAAUGAUUUUCCCGCUUAUGGAAACUUAUCUGGUUGUAUCGUAAAAGGAUAUAAAGCUUGUCCAAUAUGCAGUGAUGAUACACCUAGUCACAGGUUGAAAAAUGGCCACAAAAUAUGUUACAUCGGGUAUAGCAAAUGGUUACCAAUAUAUCAUCCAUUUCGGAGGCAAUGUGCAGCUUUUAAUGGGAAACCUGAAUAUGACACGCCUCCAAAGCCAUUAACCAAAGAAGAAGUGUUACAAAUGGUUGAAGGUAUUAAUUAUAAAUGGGGCUCGAAAAAAGGGGGAGAUGGAAGUGAAAAUGAUGGUGACAGAGUUUGUUGGAAGAAGAAGUCAAAAUUCUUUGAUCUCGAGUACUAGAAAUACCUUCCUGUGAGGCAUGCCCUUGAUGUUAUGCACAUCGAGAAAAAAGUUUGCGAUAGUAUCAUUGGUACGUUGUUGGAGAUCCCUGGAAAAAAUAAAGAUGGGAUUGCUGCUCGUUUGGAUUUAUUGAACAUGGGGGUGAAGACUUAUUUGCAACCCGAGUAUGGAGAAAGAUGUACUCGCUUGCCUCCAGGGCAUUGGAAUUUGUCAAGAGCAAGAAGAGACGGUUUGCAAUUCUUUCUAUGGUAAUGAAAGUCCCUGAAGGUUACUCUUCAAAUAUUAAAAAUCUUGUAUCUUUACAAGAUUCAAGACUUCUUUGGCUUAAAUCACAUGAUUGUCAUACCGUGAUGCAACAAUUGCUCCCUGUGGCAAUUCGUUCUGUCCAGGAGAAGCCUGCAAGGUAUGCAAUAACUCGAUUGUGCUUCUUCUUCAAUGCUAUAUGUGCAAAGACGGUAGAUGUUUCCAAGCUAGAUAAGUUGGAAGAAGAUGUAGUAGUAACUUUGUGUUUGCUUAAGAAGUACUUUCCCCCUUCAUUCUUCUAUAUCAUGGUUCAUCUAGUAGUACAUCUUGUCUGAGAAGUUUGUCUAUGUGGGCCAGUUUAUUUUAGAUGGAUGUAUCCGUUCAAAAGAUAUAUGAAAGUGCUAAAGGGGUAUGUUCAAAACCGAAAUCAUCCUGAAGGUUGCAUUACUCAACUGUAUAUAGCUGAAGAAGCUGUAGAGUUUUGCACCGAGCAUUUAUCUGAUGUUAGUACAGUUGGAGUGCCAUCAAAUCAGAAGAUGGGACUUUCAAAGCCCUUAUCAGGUUGCACAGUGAGUUUAGUUGAUCGGGACUUGUUGAAUCAGGCACAUCUAUAUGUCUUGGAGAAUACGGAGGAAGUUCUACCUUAUAUCGAGUAUGAGUUUUAUUCUUAAGUAGUCAUUUUAAAUUAUAGUCCUUAUGUUUAUCUGAUAUGUUUGGGACUGUAAUGCUUGAAUUUUUCGUGUUAAGUAGAGAACAUAUGAUCCACAUCAAGACCACUUAUCCAAAAUUUAGAAAGAGAACAAAGUGGCUACAAGAUAAGCACAAUACCACUUUCAUUCAAUGGCUACGCUUUAAGGUAUAUGGAAUUGAAUAACAUAUUGCACUUUUAAUUUUCUUCUUUUUAUGUUAGAUUGAAUUAAGAUAUGAUUCAUUUGCAGGUUCAAAGUCAACUUAAUGGGGAAGACAAUAAUGGUGUAUCAGAAAAUUUGAGGUGGCUAGCAGCUAGUCCAAGCAAGAGACGACCUUUAAAAGAAGAUAAAACGACCACGUAACAAAUAUACCGUCGUCUUACUUAACAAACACGACGAUACACUCUUAUUACUAAACGUCUUUACAAUAUACCACGUCAAUUUAUGUCUUUAGGACUUGGUGAGAAAAUGAAUUACGUCGUCUUUAGAAAUAAAAAUGACGUAGAAAAUGGUAACCACGUCGCCUUUUAUAUGCACACCGACGUUGUAAGGUCUUUUCACCGUCAUCAUUUAAAAUAAAGGAGACGUACAAAACCUCGUUCUUCCCAUAUUUACUGUCAUCAUUAAAUGUUUUCACGUCUCCCUAGUGACAAUGUGUCGUGCAAUACUACACACAAACGUCGUCUAUAAAAACAAAGAUGACGUAGUAGAGCGUAACCACGUCGUCUUUGAUAGGUUAUGCGAUAUUUGUAACACGACAAACAACACGGUGUUUAUAAUAACUGACGUUGUAAAUCACAUUUCACCGUCAGUGUUUAAAGUAAAAGAGACGUACGAAUCUGUUUAUUCCCAUAUUUACUGACGUAACUAACAGUUUUCACGUCUACUUUUUGACCAUGUGUCGUGAAAUGUUCUAAAACAACAUUUCCUGUGGAAAAAGAUGUGCCGUGGUAUGUUUUCCUAACGUCGACUCAGACAUACUAAUAGACGUGUGUAUGUCUUUUAAUACGUCAACUUCUGAGCUAACACUGACGUUGUACAUCAUUUUCAAUGGGAUAUCUAGAAACAAAAGUAACGUAAUAUAUCAUCACGUGUCAUGGAAUGUCUUCAUCAACAGCGUCAGAUUGAUUGUUUAGAGGUGGUAUUUUAAUAAACAACGUCAUGUUUUAUUAUUUAGACGACGGUUGUUUCCCUAAUUGAGUCAUUUAUAGGUUCACUAUUAGUUAUUUUGGUGGUCAUUUUCUUUACUUUUAUGUCGGCUUUUAUUUAUUUCGAUGUUGUUUCUCUACAAACAACGUCUCCGAUUUACCGUCAUGGUUUGUUUUUUAAAAAGAUGUCGAUCGAGUUAACGAUGGUCAGAAAACUUGCUAGACGACAGUGAAUUCCCGUCGUCUAUUGCCCUUUUUGUAGUAGUGAGACCCCAUGUAAUAUUAACCUAUAUUAUAGGAGCAUUUCAAAAUAGACUUGGUCAAUAACCAAAGUGUUAUUAUUAUCAACAAAUAUAUAGGUAAUCUAUUAAUAUUGGGUUGGACAGAGAUAUUUCCAUAUGUUUCACUUAAGUCAAGUCCAUAUUUGCAGAAGAUAUUUGUAGCCUCAGAGAAGAAGUUGGCCACAGCCACAACCACAGCCACAGCCUCAGAGAUGCUAAAGUGACAGUGAGGUGCAUAGAGAGGGAAAGGCAAGCACUAUAUCAAAUCACCAUACUAAGUCCAAGUCAAGCCGAAUUAAUAUCUGCAAGUUGGGGCACGCGUUGGAAUACAAAUCACCAUAUUAAGUCUAAGUCAAUAGUUGGUUGCAAGGCAAAUCACCAUAUCAAAUCUAAGUCACAAGUCUUCGAUCUCAUCCAUUAAUUUCUCCAAUAUUUAAUGAUUUAUUACUUGUUUACAUGGACCACUGACAAAUUUUUCUUUAAUUAUCUUUUUCCACAUAGUGACGUGCAUCAGAAUCAGUUGAACGUUGUAUAGAUUUUUUAUUCCUUUUAGAAAAUUUGGUAUAGUCCACUUCUGAUGACAUAAAUGAAAUUGGACCUAUAUCUAAGAGCUCCUUUUUCCUUUUUGUAAAUUAUAAGUAGAGAGUUCUCCUCAUUACAAAUUACAAGACACCACCCUAGAUUCUUAUUUUUUGUUGGACCCACCUUUGACUCUUAACUAUAAAAAACCUAAACUUUGUAUGACAUUAUGAUACAAAAAAUUAAAAGAAAAAUAACUUGUGUAAGAAGCAAAACCCUUCAAAGCACGAACAAUGGGGAAACAAAAAAAAAAACAUUAUACAAUUGUUAAAAACCAAUUUGGUUGCUGUUGAGAAUUAAAGUAGUUGAAUAUUAAUUUAAGUAUUGUGAUCAUCAUUCAUUUCAUCCAAGCCAUUACAAUUAAAAAAUAAAAAUAAAAUACCCAGCCCACCCCCAUCCCCUAUCCCAUGUCUCUGAUGCACCUCCCCUUUUCCCCCUUUUUGUACGCCCAUCUCUCUGUCUUCUCUCCCUCUCUCUCAUAUGGGUUGGGUAUGGUCAGAAAAAAAAUCCAGAUGCAUCUCACUACCCAACCCGACUGAGAAUUGGUCAUCGUCUUCAGCAUCUCGCCCCUAUUCCGACUGAGAAUUGCUCGUCAACCCAUCCAUAUGCAUCUGAUGACCCAAGCUCUCUUGCUUUAGUGGGAGCGUGUUUUGCUCCUUAGUUUUAUUUUAGUAAAUUUAGGUUUUAGCCACAAAAAAACUUUCACUUUUGGAAAAAGCCAAAGCUUUUUCAAAAAAGACAGAAAAACCUCUCAACUUUCAAAUCAAAGACAUGCAAAUGUAAAGGAUUCCUUAGGAAAUCCAAAAAUAAAUAAGGGCAAUUUUGUCCAUUUUAGCUUCUUUUAAAAAAUUUCUCUCUCCUUUGGGUUUUUCCAAAGUCUCCCUUUUAUUUUUUCAUUUUAGUUAUUUUUUCAUUUUAGUUGUUGUUUAAUUUUUAAAUUUGUUUUUUUAAUUACCCUUAUAGUAUAAUUUAUAUCCAAGGGUAGGUGACCACAAUUUCCUUGGACCAUAGGAAUCCAGAAGAACAGGACUGAGUAAUUCAUAUACUAAUCAUCUAAUGAGCAACAAAACAAAUCAAAUCAAAGAAUCCGAAUGCAAAAUGAAGGAAGCUGCUCCGAAACUCUAUGAUGAGAUAUCCAACACUAAAUAUACUUAAGUGUUUCCUGAUCAUCACUAUAAUACGAAAAACUUUCAUGUGGAAUUGUAAGAACCCAUGUAAUAUUAACCUAAAUUAUAGGAGCGUUUCAAAAUAGACUUGGUCAAUAACCAAAGUGUUUUGAAAAACUCUCGUAUUAUAGUUAUUGAAUAAAAACCCAAUUUUCAUUUAUUAGUAUCAAUAAAUAUAUAGGUAUUAUAUUAAUAUUGGGUUGGGCAAAGAUAUUUCCAUAUGUUUCACUUAAAGUCAAGUCCACAUUUGCAAGAAGAUAUUUGUAGCUUGUGCCUAGGGGGAUGGGAUGCAAACUCAAUGGUUGAGUGGACACGGGAAGGCACCUUACCAAGUCAAGCCGAGUUAAUACCUGCAAGUCAAUUGGGGCACGCGUUGGAAGAAAAAUCACCAUAUUAAGUCCAAGUCAAUAGUUGCGUUGAAAGGCAAAUCACCAUAUCAAGUCUAAGUCACAAGUCUUUGCGAUCUCAUCCAUUAAUUUCCCCAAUAUUCAUUGAUUUAUUACUUGUUUACUUGGACCACUGACAAAUUUUUGGGCUUCUUAGAUCAAGGUCCAAAACGAUUAGCUGUCAUUGGAUUUAGUCCUCGAGUUUUUGACAUUUAGAUGUAGGUCCUUUGACAUUUAUGGAUAAAAUACAAUUUAAUCAAUAAAAAGUAAAGACCCACAUAUUAUACCAAUCGAUCAGACAAGCACCCACAUUAAAUUAUGUAUCUGACAUACAGGUAAAUAGUGUUAUUAUUAGCAAUGAAAAAUACUUGGUGAUAAAUCAUAUUACCUAUAAGUUAGGAACGUAAAUUAGAAGACUACCUAUAAGUCAGAUACAAAAAUAGAAAAAAUAAAAUUGUAUGUUACCUAUAAAAUAAAAAAUAAAAAAAAGGUACAUAAAAUACUAUUACACAUUGUCGAAAAUAUGAAAAAAAAAAUAUAUAUAUAUAUAUAUAUAUAUACACAAUAGGCAAUAGGCAAUGUGACAUAAAUGAUUAUUACACGAUUCAAGUCAUUAUGGGCAACAUUAGAACAAAAAAUGAUUUUUAAAAUAAAAUAAUAAAAAUAUUACAUAAAAAAAUAUUUUAAAAGGAAUGUAAUUCUAUGUGGCACAAAAGUUAAAGGACUUGUAUCAAAGUCAUCAAAUCCGAGGAUUAAACCCAACUCCUCAAUAAGAAUUUGGAUCUACAUCAACUUUUCUACAAAUUUUUCUUCAAUUAUCUUUUUCCACAUAGUGACAUGAAUAAGAGUCAGUUGUACGUUGUACAGUUUUUUUCUUCUUCUUUUUAGAAAAUUUGGUAUAGUCCAAUUUUGAUGACAUAAGUGAAAUUGAAAAUUUGGUAUAGUCCAAUUCUGAUGACAUAAGUGAAAUUGAACAUAUAUUCUGUCAGCCACAACCACAGCCACAGCCUCAGAGAUGCUAAAGUGACAGUAAGGUGCAUAGAGAGGGAAAGGCAAGCACUAUAUCAAAUCACCAUACUAAGUCCAAGUCAAGCCGAAUUAAUAUCUGCAAGUUGGGGCACGCGUUGGAAUACAAAUCACCAUAUUAAGUCUAAGUCAAUAGUUGGUUGCAAGGCAAAUCACCAUAUCAAAUCUAAGUCACAAGUCUUCGAUCUCAUCCAUUAAUUUCUCCAAUAUUUAAUGAUUUAUUACUUGUUUACAUGGACCACUGACAAAUUUUUCUUUAAUUAUCUUUUUCUACAUAGUGACAUGCAUAAGAGUCAGUUGUACGUUGUAUAGUUUUUUUAUUCUUUUUAGAAAAUUUGGUAUAGUCUACUUCUGAUGACAUAAGUGAAAUUGGACCUAUAUCUAAGAGCUCCUUUUUUCUUUUUGUAAAUUAUAAGUAGAGAGUUCUCCUAAUUACAAAUUACAAGACGCCACCCUAGAUUCUUAUUUUUUGUUGGACCCACCUUUCACUCUUAACUAUAAAAAACCUAAACUUUGUAUGACAUUAUGAUCCAAAAAAUUAAAAGAAAAAUAACACGGUGUAAGAAGCAAAACCCUUCAAAGCACGAAAAAUGGGGAAACAAAAAAAAACAUGAUACAAUUGUUAAAAAUCAAUUUGGUUGCUGUUGAGAAUUAAAGUAGUGGAACAUUAAUUUAAGUGUUGUGAUCAUCAUUCAUUUCAUCAAAGCCAUUAUAAUUAAAAAUAAAAAUAAAAUACCCAGCCCACCCCAAAUCUCCCCUAUCCCAUGUCUCUGAUGCACCUCCCCUUCCCCCUUUCUGUAUGCCUAUCUCUCUGUCUUCUCUCCCUCUCUCUCGUAUGGGUUGGGAAUGGUGAGAAAAAAAUCCAGAUGCAUCUCACUACCCAACCCGACUGAGAAUUGGUCAUCGUCUUCAGCAUCUCGCCCCAAUUCCGACUAAGAAUUGCUUGUCAACCAAUCCAUAUGCAUCUCACCACCCAAGCUCUCUUGCUUCAAUGGGAGCGUGUUUUACUCCUUAGUUUUAGUUUUUUCAUUUUAGUUGUUGUUUAAUUUUUAAACUAGUUUUUUUAAUAACCCUUAUAUUAUAAUUUAUAUUCAAGGGUGGGUGACCAUAAUUUCCUUGGACCAAAGGAAUCCAGAAGAAUGGGACUGAGUAAUUCAUAUACUAAUCAUUUAACGAGCACCAAAGCAAAUCAAAUCAAAGAAACCGAAUGCAAAAUGAAGGAAGCUACUCCGAAACUCUAUGAUCAGAUAUCGAACACUAAAUAUGCUUAAGUGUUUCGUGAUCAUCGCUAUAAUACGAGAAACUUUCAUGUGUAAUUGUAAGACCCCAUGUAAUAUUAAACUAAAUUAUAGGAGCAUUUCGAAAUAGACUUGGUCAAUAACCAAAGUGUUUUGAAAAGCUCUCGUAUUAUAGUUGAAUAAAAACCCAAUUUUCAUUUAUUAGUAUCAAUAAAUAUAUGGGUAUUAUAUUAGUAUUGGGUUGGGCAAAGAUAUUGCCAUAUGUUUCACUUAAGUCAAGUCCACAUUUGUAAGAAGAUAUUUGUAGCUUGUGUCCAGGGGGAUAAGACUCAAAGUCAAUGGUUGAGUGGACACGGGAAGGCACCUUACCAAGUCAAGCCAAAUUAAUACCUGCAAGUUGGGGCACGCGUUGGAAUACAAAUCACCAUAUUAAGUCUAAGUCAAUAGUUGGUUGCAAGGCAAAUCACCAUAUCAAAUCUAAGUCACAAGUCAUCGAUCUCAUCCAUUAAUUUCUCCAAUAUUUAAUGAUUUAUUACUUGUUUACAUGGACCACUGACAAAUUUUUCUUUAAUUAUCUUUUUCCACAUAGUGACAUGCAUAAGAGUCAGUUGUACGUUGUAUAGUUUUUUUAUUCUUUUUAGAAAAUUUGGUAUAGUCCACUUCUGAUGACAUAAGUGAAAUUGGACCUUUAUCUAAGAGCUCCUUUUUUCUUUUUGUAAAUUAUAAGUAGAGAGUUCUCCUCAUUACAAAUUACAAGACGCCACCCAAGAUUCUUAUUUUUUGUUGAACCCACCUUUGACUCUUAACUAUAAAAAACCUAAACUUUGUAUGACAUUUUGAUACAAAAAAUUAAAAGAAAAAUAACAUGUGUAAGAAGCAAAACCCUUCAAAGCACGAACAAUGGGGAAACGAAAAAAAAACAUGUUAAAAAUCAAUUUGGUUGUUGUUGAGAAUUAAAGUAGUGGAAUAUUAAUUUAAGUAUUGUGAUCAUCAUUCAUUUCAUCCAAGCUAUUAUAAUUAAAAAUAAAAAUAAAAUAUCCAGCCCACCCCAAAACUCCCUUAUCCCAUGUAUCUGAUGCACCUCCCCUUCCCCCUUUUUGCACGCCUUAUCUCUCUGUCUUCUCUACCUCUCUCUCAUAUGGGUUGGGCAUGGUGAGAAAAAAAAAUCCAGAUGCAUCUCACUACCCAACCCAACUGAGAAUUGGUCAUCGUCUUCAGCAUCUCGCCCCUAUUCUGACUGAGAAUUGCUCGUCAACUAAUCCAUAUGCAUCUCACCACCCAAGCUCUCUUGCUUCAGUGGGAGCGUAUUUUGCUCCUUAGUUUUAGUUUGUUCAUUUUAGUUGUUUAAUUUUUAAACUUCUUUUUUUAAUAACCCCUAUAUUAUAAUUUAUAUACAGGGGUGAGUGACCACAAUUUCCUUGAACCACAGGAAUCCAGAAGAACGGGAUUGAGUAAUUCAUGUACUAAUCAUUUAACGAGCACAAAACAUAUCAAAUCAAAGAAUCCGAAUACAAUAUAAAGGAAGCUGCUCCGAAACUCUAUCAUCAGAUAUCGAACACUAAAUAUACUUAAGUGUUUCGUGAUCAUCACUAUAAUACGAGAAACUUUCAUGUGUAAUUGUAAGACCCCAUGUGAUAUUAACCUAAAUUAUAGGAGCAUUUCGAAAUAGACUUGGUCAAAAACCAAAGUGUUUUGAAAAACUCUCGUAUUAUAGUUGUUGAAUAACAACCCAAUUUUCAUUUAUUAGUAUCAAUAAAUAUAUAAAUAUUAUAUUAAUAUCGGGUUGGGCAGAGAUAUUUCCAUAUGUAUCACUAAAGUCAAGUCCAAAUGUGCAAGAAGAUAUUUCUUUGUAACGGCUUUCUUCCUUUUCUCCUAUAUAUAUCUGAUGCAAGCUAGCAUAUAUGGAAAAACACGGAGACAACCAUAUCUCAAUAUAUACCUGCAGUAUUUUUGCAUUAUCGAUCAAUUAACAUGAAGGGCGACGGAAGGUGCUUGAAACUCUUUCUUGCAUUAUCGAUCCUUUUCCUACAAAACGUAAAAGGAGGAGAAGUUGGCCACAGCCACAGCCACAGCCACAGCCUCAGAGAUGCUAAAGUGACAGUGAGGAGGUGCAUAGAGAGGGAAAGGCAAGCACUACUUGCAUUCAAACGUGGCCUGGUGGAUGACAGUGAGGUGGAUGAGUCCAAUCCUCUCUCAACUUGGGGUUCAGAAGCCGAGAAACAAGAUUGUUGCAGAUGGGAAGGAGUCUAUUGUAGCAACCAAACUGGCCAUGUGAUUCAACUUCAUCUUGAAUAUUCUUCCUAUGAUGAGAUGAUUCUUGGAUAUUCUUUCCAAGGUAAGAUGAUUAGUCCUAAACUGAUUGAGUUGCAGCAUUUACAAUAUUUGCACCUUGCAUCCAUUGAUUUCUAUGAGAGCCAAAUUCCUGAUUUCAUUGGUUCUCUAACCAAUCUAAGAAACCUCAGUCUCUCUUCCUGUAAUUUGGUUGGUCAAAUUCCAAGUUCGUUUGGAAACCUCACGCAAUUGCAAUAUCUCGACCUCAGCUAUAAUUAUCAGCUUCAACCAGAAAAUCUCAAUUGGCUCCCUGCCCUUUCUUCUUUAACGUAUUUGGACCUUUCAGUCAUUGAUUUCAAUGGGAGCCAAAUUCCCGAUUUCAUUGGUUCUCUAACCAAUCUAAGAAACCUCAGUCUCAGAUUCUGUGAUUUGGUUGGUCCAAUUCCAAGUUCGUUUGGAAACCUCACGCAAUUGCAACAUCUCAACCUCGGCUAUAAUCAGCUUCAACCAGAAAAUCUCAAUUGGCUCCCUGCUCUUUCUUCUUUAACGUUUUUGGACCUAAGCGAAAACUUCAAUGGGAGCCAAAUUCCCGAUUUCAUUGGUUCUCUAACCAAUCUAAGGUACCUCAGUCUCAGUUUCUGUAAUUUGGUUGGUCCAAUUCCAAGUUCGUUUGGAAACCUCACGCAAUUGCAACAUCUCAACCUCGGCUAUAAUCAGCUUCAACCAGAAAAUCUCAAUUGGCUCCCUGCUCUUUCUUCUUUAACGGAUUUGUACCUAGCCGGAAACUUCAAUGGGAGCCAAAUUCCCGAUUUCAUUGGUUCUCUAACCAAUCUAAGAAACCUCAGUCUCAGAUUCUGUGAUUUGGUUGGUCCAAUUCCAAGUUCGUUUGGAAACCUCACGCAAUUGCAACAUCUCGACCUCAGCUAUAAUCAGCUUCAACCAGAAAAUCUCAAUUGGCUCCCUGCUCUUUCUUCUUUAACGUUUUUGGACCUAAGCGAAAACUUCAAUGGGAGCCAAAUUCCCGAUUUCAUUGGUUCUCUAACCAAUCUAAGGUACCUCAGUCUCAGUUUCUGUAAUUUGGUUGGUCAAAUUCCAAGUUCUUUUGGAAACCUGACGCAAUUGCAAAAUCUCGACCUCAGCAAUAAUCAGCUUCAACCAGAAAAUCUCAAUUGGCUCCCUGCUCUUUCUUCGUUAACGGAUUUGGACCUAAGCAGAAACAAUCUCAGUACUGUUUUCGAUUGGCCAGAAGCAGUACUUAAUAAGCUCCCUAAACUAGUAGUAUUGGCCUUGGAGAACUGUAGUCUUCCUCCUCCUCCUCCUCCUCCUACUCUUUACAAAACAAAUUCUUCUACAUCUCUUGCGUAUGUUGAUCUCUCUGACAACCAUCUCACUUCUUCAAUAUUUCUUUGGUUGUCCAACUACAGUACAAGCCUUGUUGCUCUUGGCCUCUCCAACAAUCAUCUAUCUGGUUUCAUUCCCAAUUUCAUUGGAAACAUGAGCUCUCUUGUGGAUCUGGAUCUCUCCAACAAUAAUCUAACUGGUUUCAUUCCCGAUUUCAUUGGAAACAUGAGCUCUCUUGUGCAUCUGGAUCUCUCUGACAACCACAUUGAAGGAGCGAAUCCAAAUUCGUUUGCAAGGCUGUGUAAUUUGCAAACAUUGUCGCUUCAAACAAAUCAUCUGAGUGGACAAUUAUCCAAGUUUGUUCAACUAUUGCCUAGAUGUGCACAAAACUCGUUAAAGGAUUUGCAACUGUCUGAGAAUGUUCUUGCGGGGUCAUUAAACAAUCUUACAAGCUUCUCAUCUUUGGGAUUCUUGAAUCUUAGCGCCAAUCAAUUAAGCGGAAAAAUACCUGAAAGUAUUGGGCAAAUGUCCAAACUAUGGUGCAUCGAUUUCAGCAUGAACUCUUUGGAAGGGGUGGUUUCUGAAACUCAUUUCUCAAAACUCUCUGAUUUAUAUCAGUUGGAUUUAUCCUAUAACUCACUAGUUUUAAAUUUUCAUUCUGAUUGGGUUCCUCCCUUCCAGUUGAAUUACAUAUAUUUGGCCUCCUGCAAUGUCGGUCCUCUUUUCCCAAAAUGGCUUCAAACUCAAAAUGAUUCUUACCAUCUUGAUAUUUCUAAUGCUGGAAUUUCUGAUAUCCUUCCAAGUUGGUUUUGGAGUAAUUUUCGUAACGCGGAAAUUAUUAAUCUCUCACAAAACCAAAUAAGAGGAAUAGAAGGUUCAAUUCCCUCAAUUCCGUCAGAAGUCCAUCAUCUGGAUCUCUCUAAUAAUAACAUUUCAGGGUCGCUUUCUUUCCUAUGUGCAAGUGCAGAUAUGAGUUUAACAAUUCUUAAUCUUUCAAGCAACAGUUUUUCUGGAGAACUUCCAGAUUGCUGGAGCCAUUUGGAGACUCUAGUCAUGCUUGAUUUGAGUUACAAUGCUUUUUCUGGAAAAAUGCCCAUGACAAUAGGCUCUUUAUUUCAAAUGCAAACUUUGAAAUUAAGACGCAACCGAUUUGUUGGAGAAUUGCCUUCAUCGUUGAAGAACUGCGCAAGUUUAGAAGUUAUUGAUCUGGGAGAUAAUAAAUUAUCAGGACCAAUACCUGCAUGGUUAGGUGUGAGCUUCAAGAAUUUGGUUAUCCUUAUGCUUUCUACUAAUCACUUCAAUGGAAGCAUGCCCUCGCAAUUAUGCCAUCUAACACACAUUCAAAUUAUGGAUUUCUCUAUGAACAACAUCUCUGGAAGCAUACCCAAAUGCCUCAAAAAUUUGACUACUCUGGCUCAAAAAGGAAAUCCAAGUCUAUCCAGCACACGUAUUCAUGGCGGAAGUGAGGUUAAUGGGUCAAUUGCUCCUACUAAUUAUGACAAUGAUGCAAGCUUCAUAUGGAAAGGAAGAAUGCAGACAUACAAAAGCACUUUGGGCCUUGUGAAGAGAAUUGAUCUCUCAAGCAACAGAUUAACAGGGGAGAUUCCAGGUGAAAUCAUGCAUCUUGUUGGGUUGAUUUCUUUAAACCUUUCGAGAAACCAGUUAAUGGGUCAAAUAACUCCAGAGAUCGGAAACUUGGAGUCAUUGGAUUCGCUUGAUUUAUCAAGAAACCGGAUAGAUGGAAGAAUUCCGACAAGCCUUGCUCAGAUAUAUCGUCUUAGUUUCUUGGACCUGUCAUAUAACAACUUGUCUGGCAAAAUACCAACAGGCACCCAGCUCCAAAGCUUUGAUCCCCUUGAUUAUGCUGGAAAUCCUCAACUCUGUGGACCUCCACUUAAAAAGAUGUGUGCUGAUCAAAAUGAGCCAACUGACUUGAGCAAUGAAGAGGAUAAGGAUGAGUUUAUAACGCUGGGAUUUUACAUCAGUAUGGCGAUUGGAUUUGCUGUUGGAUUUUGGGGAGUUUGCGGCACUUUGAUAUUCAACAGGUCAUGGAGAUAUGCAUACUUGAAGUUCUUGAAUGGUUUAAAUGAUUGGCUCUAUGUGAAGAUAGCUUUGAGCAAGCGGCAACUGAAGCCAACAUAAACUUAAUAGAUAAGCUCGCCACGGUACUCUUUCUCUCUCAUCAUUAAUUUUGUUUUAUAAUUAUUUUUCUUAUUGCAUUUUUUCCUUUUCUCCAAACUGACGGGUAUUAAUUUGUUUACUUCGAUAUUUAGCUGCAGCAUCUAAAUUAGGAGAAAAGUAGCUGUAGCUGAAUGCUUCCUUUUAGUUCAAGUGAGGAAGAUUGCCAGUACGCGCAUGCACAGGUAUCUGGAGAAGAGUUUAUGAGUUAAUUUGGAGUGCUUAGUAGGAAUAAACGUGAUUUAUAUUGGUGUUAAUUACUUGUCAGAACAAUUAAUUCGGAGUUCUCCGAUUUAUGUAUUUUUUUUUUUUUUUGUUUAUUUAGAGAAAUAAACAGAUCCAUGCAGAUCCAAUCAUAACAUGGGCAAUUAUAAUUAUACAUGAAGAACACUGCCCCAGAGGACGGUUCUUGCAAACAAUAAAUCAUACAAAUAAGCAAGACAGUACAAUUAAAGCAAGAACAGUGAGCAAAAGCCAAGCUCACUCCGAUUAAUGUAUUAAUUCCAGCUAUAGUGUUAUUUUAAUUACCUAAGCCAAAGCCAAAGCAGACUUGAUUUCAAAUUACAAUGUGUGGCUCUGUUUUGGUCAUCUAUUUGCAACGUACAGCUUCUCCUUGUAAAUUGGGGGUCAGCUUCUCCUUGUAAAUUUGUGGCUCUGUUUUGGUCAUUCUUUCCUUUCAUAAUUCAACAUCUUGUUCUGGCCACAUGGUAGAAGAUGCCUUUUUGUAAACAGACUUUCUGUAUUUGGCCAGGCUUGCAAUGCUCUAUUUUGUGGAUUUUAAGAUUGUAUUAGGCUUACUUGUGAGCUGCAAAAUGCCUUGUACCAAAAUUUAUGUAUAAAAUGUGUGCUAAAUUGUGUGGAGUAGAAGAUUGAAGGUCUUCCUAGGCAAGCAAUCACAAGCAUUUUCUCUCUUUUCAAUUUGUAGAAAUGUUCAAGUUCUUGCCCAUUACUUGCAGAUAUAUAGUGUUGUAUAGCAUAAAGGCUCCAACAUAUGCAAUUCCAUCAAGGCCUGCAGGCCAAUCACUGCUUUCUCUUGGAUAUUACAAACAUUUGUAGAGCCAUAAUGAAAACUUGGUAGGCAAACCCAAAUACUCGCAUUGACCAUUUGCUUAAACUUGAUAGGCUAGCAAGGGGCUUGUAGCCCAAGCAAUUAAGAGCAUCUAUCUCUGAACUCGAGGUCCUAGAUGUGAUUCCGACAAACAAAAAACUUGGUAGGCCAGACCCAAAUGAACCUAGUUUUCAUAAACUUGUUUGUCAGCUUGAUAGUGGCUUAUUAGAAGUCCAAAUUGGUUGGGAAAGUAAUGUCCACCAAUUUUAGCAGAUACCCUUUUGGACAAUGUUGAACAGAGCACUUAACUUGAUUGUUAAUGACUAGGGCCCCUGAUAACAGAGAGAGAGAGAGAGAGAGAGAGAAGAGAGUUGAAGAAGAAAGAGAGUAUUUUUAGAGAGAUUUGUAUAUUGAUCUUUUCAUCAUGACUGAUUACAAUAAUGACUCUGUUAUAUACAGAGUUGAAGAAGAAACAUUCGGAUGAUCCCGGAAGCAAAUGAUCGACAAACGUCAAUGUGCAAUAUUGAACUUUGGGUUAAAGUAGCUUGAAUUCCACCAACAUCAUGACAUUGUACGACCUUUGUACUGAUGGAGCCCGGAAGCAAAUGAUCGACAAACGUCUAGAUCCAAGAACAAUCAAAUGAGAACGACAAACAUCUAGAUCCAACUUCCAAGAACAAGCAAAUGAUCGACAAACAUCUAGACCUAUUUAAUAAUGCAGUCCCGCUCACCUAAGGUCCUAAAAAUGAGGUCCUGUGAGGUCCUCUUUAAAAACGGCCCUUAAAUUAAUGUAACGGCCCAUAUCUUCAUUAUAAUGAAGGUGUUUGCUUUGAAUGUUCAACGGUAGAGUGGGAUGAGCCAGGGUGUUGUGGUAAACAGAACAGGGUUAGUUCAUGGGAAAUUGAGACUCACUGAAAAUUCAUAUUUCCUUCUCUGCCUUUGAGUCUUAAACGACCAUUACACUCUGUAUUCUUGGGUAAGUUUUUUAUUCUGUUUCCAAGCAGGGAAGUCUGUUACAUGCUUUUUUAAUGACUUUUUUGUGCUACUAGGAGCAGAAACUGAGUGGGGAAAUUUGAUUAAAAGACGAUACAUUCGGGUUCCUGAGAUUGGAAAUGGGAACUCUUUUCCUUACUCGAUUUCAAAUCUAUCUUUGGAACAGCUAGUCAAUAUGCUACUGAAACCUCAACUUGUUAAUCAUGCUUGAACUUUAGCUGCUCUACAACAGCAAUCGGCUGCUAAUGGAGAUUUAAUAGCAGAUAUGAAGACCAUGCAAGCCAAACUCAACCAAAAGAAUCCGGGUGUCUUUUCAGAAGGUAUAUCUCUACCGAAUCAAAACCCUCCCCAAUCAUCUAUGGAUCAAUCUGCUGCAAUAAACGUGAACACAUCUCAUGCAAUUCUACCAGGAAAGUUGAACAACCUAACAAAGUUUGGAAGUCAAACGCCCGUUGGAAAUAGUACUGACAAGACAAAAUUAGAUACUGAUUUUUCCGCAGAUCAAUUAAGCCAGUUGAAUUCUAGAGGACAGGGAAUUGAAGACAAAUUAGCUGCAGGGUUUGUAAGUCCCUAUAACCAUGUGAACCAGCUGACAUUUGCCAACCAAAACCAAAGUGCGGCGCAACUACAAACUAGCCCACGGCCCCUUUGGAAUCAUUACAGUACCACUCCCAACAAACUGAUAUGCCUCAUUUAGAUUUCAAUAGCACAAAUGGUUCGCUUCCAUUCCUAGACAAUGAUGAAUGCAUAUUUUUCCAGUCUUGUCAACCCUUUGCUGGGACACUUAGAUCACUGGGGCCUUUGUCUCUGUUUGAUUUGCAAGAUUCUUCAGCUGUUUUAACUGAAGCAAAUAAUUCCUCCCCAACUUCAAUUGGUCAGGAAAUGUGGGAUAAUAGCCUGAAUAAUUGUAGGCUCUUACCCCACGUGGAUCAGCUCACUUCAUCCCAUCGAGAUCCAGGUUGCCUUAAUUGUAUUUCUAACUCAAGCAGUCUAAGAGAUUUCUCAGAUGAGAGCAACAAUCAAAGUGGGAUUUACGGAACGUUGCUGUUGGUAGUGGUGUUAGCACUGUUAUUGACCUUUCUGUUUUCUACACUAAAGAAUGCAGAUUUCCACAACCCCUCAGAUUGCUUGGUUGGUAACCUGAGCUCGAGCCGGGAUCUUCAGUCUCAGUUUACCUCCGCCCGCCUAGGCGACUCCCAGGCUUUCUCCAGGCAAGACCAGGCAGACAACUCAGGCCAUGCUAACAAGCUAGGAUCAGAGGUCAUACAUAUUUGAGUGCUAAAAUACAUCAAAUAUUGAAUGCCUUAAUACAUUCAAGAAUACACUAUGAUUCCUUCAUUUCCUAACAAUUCAUUGUCCAGAGAACAGAACAGCUAAUAUCUCCUAAAGUAGAAAUCAAGAAAUAAAAUAGCUUUUAAAUUACACAACAGAUUCUACCCCCAGCUUGCUUGCAGUAACGAAAAUAAGCAAUUGAUGACGCCCUUAUUGCGACGUUGAAGGAAUUUCACGAGGAUGUUAAAAAGUAAUGAAGCCACACAAAUUUUGUGCACGUCAUGUCAAAAAUUAGCUCAAGUAAUUACAAGAUAUUCACAUUGAAUCCAUACAGAAAUACCAAAAGCAGCAGAUGACACACAUAUCAAGCACGUCGCUUACUAAGACGCCAAGAGUUAGGUUCAUGGUAUCUAUCAUAUAGCGGUUCAAUACGUUCUUGACGCUUGCGCUUGCUCAUCUUGGUGGGAUCUGCCACUUUGAAGAACCUGGGUGCCAGUUCCACAAGCCAUUUGGGGUCGACGACCGUCACCUCGCGCAUGUACUCCUUUGUGGUCAUAACCAGCUCAUGGUAGAUCACCCAAUCUGGUUGUCUCUGGAAGAGGGCGCUGCUUGGGUGUAUAUAAACUGGUUGGUUCUCCACUAGGGUUCUAUAACCCUCCUGCGGGUCCUUUCUAGCACCGUGGAAGAAAAACCCUGCUGUAAUUGCCUUCCUGAUCUUUGUAAAAUUCUUUCCAGCACUGACAACAUCUAGUUUAUACCUGAAAUUCACAAUCUAUAGUCAGAAUGCAAUUUCAUCUUCAAAUCAGAAUACUCAACUCAGAAAUUGUUGAUCACUGUUAUAAACUAAAGCAAGGGGUGCUAGUAGAGACAUUGGCAUGACAAUCUUUAUAAUAAUCUAUCCUAGAGCUUACAUGACAAUGCUAUGUCAAUCGAAGAAAUCUGUUAAUGGCGAUGGUAGGAUGUGUAAUAUGCCAUCUGAAUUUCCAUAUCAACUUAUAAAACAGUUUUGCAAUAUUUUGUACAAACAACACUUGACCAAGAAAAACAAUUCCAGUAUCAAAAUAACUAACAUGUCCGCACAAGAGAGCACAUUUGAAGAGCAUAUACUGGCAAUUUAGCUAUACACAAAAGGGUAGUUAUAAUUUAUAAAGAUACUAUACUUAACCACUGAAAAAAUGGUGGAAAAAAGCACUUCUGCUAAUAAUGCUCUGAAAACAGUGUAUGAGGUAACAUCAACAUGACAAUUCGUAAUGACCUAUUCGCUGCUCAGGUACCAUAUAUCUAGAUUUUAAAACACAAACUAGGCCUGAACAACAUUUCAGCAUUUCCGUCAAGUACAGACAGCAAAAGGCAUGCCCAAUUCACGACUACUACAAAAAUACAAUGUGCCAAACAUGAGCAAACCUAGAACAUUAAUCUACAUCUCUUAAAACCAUUCAUGCACACGUGAAACCAGAAAAAAAGAUCCAUACAACCACGAGUACGCAUCAAGAUAAAUUAGAAGAACAUACUUGUCCAUGAUGCUGAGAAGCUGUUUUCUGACAUCCUGUGCCCUCCUCAAGGAUCGAGACUGAACAAAAUUCUCAAAACACCAUGGCCCUGAAAAAUUCUUAGCUUUCCAUGCCUCAUAGACUGCAAGUAAAGUCAGAUGAUCUCCCUCUGGCUGGAAAAACUUGGCUCUCUUCUGAUCUGCCUGGGCUUGUUUUUCCCUAGGCCUGUAAAAAAUAUUACCAGUCUGAAUCAUUGCAAUGAUGAGCAAUAUGUAUAUGGCGGGAAGACGGCGUCGAAAAAUGGUUGAGAUGGGCGGAUUGUUCGUCGCUGACGGCUGGAGCGUUUCUGUUUCAAAAAUAAUCUCAACUGAGAGGAGGGAUUUUAGCGAUUAGGGUUGAGAAUUGAGUUGGAGUGCACCGGGCGUAUCGAUACGCCUAAAUUUGGAUCUGUGAAACUAGAGAAACUAAUAUAAUAAUAAUAUCAUUUAUCUUUCCAAAGGCAAAAAACUUGUAAGUAAAAAUUUAAUAAAUUACAGAGAAACUUUACUAAAUAGAAGAAUAUUAGGUUUUUUAAAAAGAUGAGGAAAAUUUUGGAAAAUAUAGUUAGUGGAGAUUUUUUUUUUUUUUUAUACAGACAAUAAUCUAGUUUUUUUAUUUUUAUAAUCAUUCUAGGCCUACUUUAAUUUUUAUUUUUUAACAGCUAAUAGGAUAUUGGCACAUGAGUUGAUCUAUAGUAUUUUUUUACUACUUUUUGUUAGGUUAUUUUUAAUUUAAAUAUUCACUAGCCUCUCUCCACGCGCUUCUGCGUCUGUGAGAGGCUUUUUUUAAAAAAAUUUGAAUUUAUUUUAGAAUUAAAAAAGAUAAUGAGUAGUUGUGUUCUAUAAAAAUAGGAUCCAUGAUCUGAUUUUUCUUUUAAUUUUAAUUUUUUUAAUAUGAAAAAGUGUGAAUUUACCAUAUUAUUCUCAUUUAAUUAAUAAUUUCAAUUCUUAAUGUUUGCAUUAAUCAAUGACAUUUUCUAGUAUUUUAAAUAUUUUAUCAUUCUCUAUCUUUUGCUUUGUAUAUAUGGAUAUAGAUAAUAAUAAAAUACUCCCUUUCAUUGAGAUAUUGUUAUGCUUAAAUCGUAUACACACCACAUUGUAUUGAAACGUUAUAGUGACUAAACUCUUCAAGUAUCUUGCAAUUAUCAGAUAAGGAGUUAGUAAUCACACAGGAAAAUAUUCAAUUUAUAUGUUUCUGGUUAUAAUAGUCAUGAUGCAUUUCACACCUUUGUUGGUCUAGUCAAUGCUGUUAUACUUCAGAAUUCAGAUAGAUAAAAAAAAAUGAAUCUUUUCACUUGUACUGUUUUUGCUCUCUUUGAUAUUUACUUUCUCAAUGAUUUUUUCAAGAAUAUCACUCACCAUGAAACGCACUGAACAAAACUCUAAAAUACAACUAUUCAUAUAUUGCUCGAACUUAAAUCGUUUUUUUCCUCCAAGCAUACAGACUCAAACACAACUUUAUUAAAUUGUUUAAAAUGGUUAAUUCCUAAUUUGUUUUGCCAUUAAGUUUUCUUGAUGAUUUUUUUGUUUAAACUUUCGUGAUUUAAUUUUCUAAUUAUUUUAACCUUAAAAAAAUUUAAAUUCCAAAACAUAAUGUAAUUCCACACUUAAUUGGGGUUUUCUCUUCAACAAGAAUGAAAGGAGAAUUACCAAAAUUAACAAAGUGAUGAACAAAAAAUAAUUUUGGUGGAUUAUUAUCGCGUUUGGAGUGAGUUUUGGUGUUUGAUUUGAUUUUGAUUAUUUAAUAAUACUAUUUUGGCCAUUGGAUUUGAUUUUGAGACAUUGGAAUUUUUUUUUUGGUACAGUUGGAUUUGCUCAAAUUAAAUCUUAGCCGUUAUAUAUAACGAUAGAAAUUAAAAUUGGAAAAGAAAACAAAACAGUAGUUUGAAGGAAGCCGUUGGAUUCCUACGAUCCUUUCAUUCCAGCUCGUUAUGUGUCCUGACGACACGGGCCCCACGUCUUCUCAUCCAUUAAUCCCAACUCAAUGAACUUCCUUUUCAAACCCAACAAAAAAGAAAAAAAAAAAAAAAAACAGCGAUCUGAUUUGAAUGCUCUUCUUUAUCAUGCAUUUUGUCCAGGAUAGGGGACUGAUUUUCCAGGCCAAGUGGGCAAAACAGUAGAGAUUUUAAAAUCAACUUUCCGAACGUAAAAUUAAAGUGGCGCGUUUAUGAAAAAGUUUCCCUCCCAUUUCCUCCCACUUUUCCCCCUCCCCUAGAAGAAUACCGGUAUAUAUUUUUCAUUUUCGGAAUUUCCAUUUUCUCUCAACUCAAACGUCAUUUGCUCGUCAUCCUCCUCCUUCAAUCCAACCACAGCCAUUUUUAGCUCGAAUCUUCUAAAACUACUACUUCGUUGUAAUUGGAUAUUAUUGAUUUUAUGGGUAGAGAGCGAGGUUAUGUUGAUGACGAUAUUGAUGAAAGUAAGUUCAAGACUUCGGAAGCAAUGAACCGCUACAAGAAAAUCUUCAGUGUUCAAGCUGUGACGGUUGAGCGGGAGGUCAAAUUGAGUGACUUCGAGGAUCUUGGGCUUCCCAGAAUCUUCAAAUCAAGAGGUUGGCUUUUGGCAAUGGGUCCUUCAGAGCCUGCUAAUAUCCAGAUUGUCCAAGAAUUCUACGCAAACAUUCCUCCUUUCUCCGCCGAGCAGAAAACCCCACCUGGGUUGGGCCCUUUUGGUUCUUGUUUGUGGGAUGAGACUCUGCAUUUCUCUAGCGGUCGAGAAUACCCUGACUCAUUUGAUGUGUAUUUGCGAGGUAAGGUGUUGAAUUUCUCUGUUUCUGGCAUUGCCCAGUUGCUUAAACUUACUAGGCCAAACCCAAAUGAAAAAUCACCUGGUUUUCCUGGGCUUGUUGUUGAUAAUCUUGACUUGAAGGUGGUGAAAUCUACUUUGGGUUGGAACAAGAAGGUCAGGGUUUUGCGUGAAAAUCGACUGAGUGAUUUGUACAAAGUGCUUAACAGCAUAGUGAGAUAUAAUAUCGAUCCUCCUUGUCACGUUAUCCCUUCUUUGCUUAGCCCUGAUAGAGCUCGCCUUCUUUAUGCCAUUGGGAACAAUGUACCUAUUGAUCUGGCCACCUACAUUUUUCGUGCCAUCUGCCGUGCUGCAUUCCCAACUUCCAUGCCCGACUCCCUGCCUUUUACUUCCUUGAUCACACGCUUCGCCAUGGCUUCUCACGUGCCAGUUGAGCCUACAGAUAAGCUUUAUUCUCCUUGGUCGCCUUUGGACAACGUGGAUGUUUUUGGCUAUAGCUUUACUCCAUCUUCUCCGGCAGUCAAGCAACCUCAAGCGGUGGUGAGCCACACGCCCAGUAUGGCCAUACUUACCAAUGGCGUUGCUGAGAACAGGGGCGAUGUGCACCCCGUUUCCACCCACUCGGUCAUCCCACCUUCUUCGAAACAGCCAUCUGCAGGUCAGUCAAAUGUUAAUAGACAGACGUUAACAACAACAAAUGUAAUUUUCCUUAGAUUACACUUGGACAUUCAGCUUAUUACUGUAAAAUGCAUAGGCCCUUAUUGUUUUUAAGUGCAGGUGGUAAAAAUUUCCGGGGGUUUUCGUUGGUAGCAUCAUAGUUAGUAACAGAGUUGAACUUAUAGUAAGCAAUUAGGCAUCAAACAUGGCACGUUUCUGUGAUUAGUACUUAUGUCCUUCAAUUGUGUAUAUAUUGUUUGCAUGGUAAGUGGAAACCUUUAGAAGAUAAGCUCUCUGUUUGAAAUCACAUCUGUAUUCUUUUAAGGUUUGGUGUGAAGGAUAAACCAUGAAGUAGUCUACUAAUGCGAUAAUGGCUUAUAUUUUCACAUUUUCCUGUCUUCGUUGCCUCUGUUCUUGAAAACGUAUAAAGUGAUGGAGAGGUCUUAUUAUUUUUGGAAAAUUUUACAAUGUUCCCACAUCCCUGUAAUCUGUAUUUGACAUUGUACAUUGAUAAUAAAAUGAACGACUCGGAUACUUCAUGUGACAAUGAGGUAUGAACUUCAUCACAUUUUGUCUCUUUAAGGUUAUAAUAGUCUCGAUGCAUUUCACACCUUUGCUGGUUUAGUCAAAGCUGUUAUACUUCAGAAUUCAGAUAGAUUAGAAUCAGAUGAUUGCUUUCUCUCUGCUUGUUACCAAAUACUCUGUCAGUUUAAUAUCUUUGUGUGUAAACAAUAUAAGAAAAACGAAUCUUUUCUCUUGUGCUGUUUUCGCUCUCUUUGAUAUUUACUUUCUCUCUGUGCUUGUGCUGAAGAAAUAAUGGAGGCUGAAGAAGAAAAUAACAGCAAUUUGAUUCCUAACUCGCAUGCUUGUAUAAAUCCGUUAACUUCAACUUCUGACUCGCAUCCAAAUAAGAAAGUGAAAAAAGAUCCAUUGGAACAUGCAGCUGGUGAGGUGUCAAAGUUACUGCAGGAGUUUUUGGCAAGUCAAAUGAAACUACUAGAUUGCAANNNNNNNNNNNNNNNNNNNNNNNNNNNNNNNNNNNNNNNNNNNNNNNNNNNNNNNNNNNNNNNNNNNNNNNNNNNNNNNNNNNNNNNNNNNNNNNNNNNNAAGACAAAGUGGAUACUCUUACUAAUUAGUCAAUCUGAAGGUAACUUUCUUGAUAAAAAUUGAGCCAAUAGCUCAGGGGAUAUAAAAUAGGUCUUAGACAUAAAGCCACUUAUCAACAUUUACUUUCUCUCAGGAAAAGAAGAAAGUUUGAGAUACGCUAUCCCUUCUGGCCAUGGUAUGGCUCUCUCUCUCUCUCUCUCUCUCUCUCUGUCUCUCUCUGUGUCUCUCUCUCUCUGUCUCUCUCUCUCACUUGUUAGCUAUGAAUUACAUGCUUCAAGAACAUAACUUAUAAUCCAUUCAAGUUUUCUUGUUUUAUGUUUUGAAAGGAGCUUUUAGGGUUCAAUUAUGUGGUUCAACUGAGAGAUUUGAACUGAAAUAUCCCAAUUGUAAAUCCUUCUACUCCAAAUUAAAGAGAAAAAGAAAAGUAUGAACCAAUUGGACAGAAUAUACUUGCACAUACUCCCUCCUUGAAUGAGUUUCAGUAAGAAAGCUAGUGUAGCCAAUUGGACAGAAUUUACUUGCACAUACUCCCUCCUUUGAUGUAGUUUCCAAGUGCAUCACCUUAUGAUACCUCUUCAUGUUUUCAAUUAGUAUUGCCUUGUGACAUGCCAAUUUUCUUCAAUGAUUAUAUACAGGGAGCAGAGUGGCCAAUUCUUUCCUUUCAUAAUUCAACAUCUUGUUCUGGGCACAUGGUAGAAGAUGCCUUCUUGUAAACAGACUUUUUGUAUUUGGUCAGGCUUGCAAUGCUCUAUUUUGUGGAUUUUAAGAUUGUAUUAGGCUUACUUGUGAGCUGCAAAAUGCCUUGUACCAAAGUUUAUGUAUAAAAUGUGUGCUAAAUCUUGUGUGUGGAGUACAAGAUUGAAGGUCUUCCUGGAAAAGCAAUCACAAGCAUAUUCUCUUUUCAAUUUGUAGAAAUGUUCAAGUUCUUGCCCAUUACUUGCAGAUAUAUAGUGUUGUGUACCAUAAAGGCUCCAUCAUAUGCAAUUCCAUCAAGGCCUGCAGGCCAAUCACUGCUUUCUCUUGGAUAUUACAAACAUUUGUAGAGCCAUAAUGAAAACUUGGUAGGCAAACCCAAAUACGUGCAUUGACCAUUUGCUUAAACUUGAUAGGCUAGCAAGAGCUUGUAGCUCAAGUGGUUAAGAGUAUCUAUCCUUACACUUGAGGUCCUAGAUGUGAUUCCCUCCUCCCAAUAUCGCUUGUAACCAAAAACAAGCAAAAAAACUUGAUAGGCCAGACCCAGAUGAACCUGGUUUUCAUAAACUUGUUUGUCAGCUUGAUAGUGGCUUAUUAGAGUCCAAAUUGGUUGGGAAAGUAAUGUCCACUAGUUUUAGCAGAUACCCUUUGGGAAAGUGUUGAACAGAGCACUUCACUUGAUUGUUAAUGACUAGGACCCCAAGGGUAUGUUCUUGGUAUGUUACCUUAGGCCUAAAACAACCCUUUUGUUGUGAUGAACUUUGAAAGGUGACCAAGAACAUACAAAAUUUUGUUCAUUAAGCCAUAGUGUAAGCUGAGAAUGAAGAAGGUGGAAAAAUAAGGCACAAAUGGAAAGAUAGCUUGCAUUCUUCUUAUUUUUAACAGACUUUUAUAUAUACCCUACAAUGUAAACUAGAAAAUAAUUAUAUAAAAUAAUGAAAUUCCAAAACUCUUUUGGAUCUGAAAGUCUAAACGUUUUCAUUUCUUCAGUUUUCCUCUCACUCUUUGGUUCUCCAUCAAUUUAUUUUUCAUCAUUCUCUCAUCUCAUCCCUCCUUUACAUGUAUGCAAUCAUUGUAUAUUAAAUUAGGAGAAGCGAGGAGAUGAGUAGAGCUGGGUUCAGGGUUGGUGACAAAGAAAAUGAAAUCAAUCAAUGAUGGAGAUAGAUGUCCAAAGAAAAAUAUUUUGAUGAAGUAGAGAAAUUGUAUUUUUGGGAAGAGUUGAGUGUCUAGAGAAUGGUGAGAAUAAAAAUAGAAACCCAUUGAAACACCGAGUGUAAACAGAAUUCUUGGUAAUAUGAAAUUUCUCUUUCACAUUCAAGCAGUCAAAUCACAUGAAAAGUUUUUGAAGGAACUAUGUUGUAACUACUCUUAACCACUUGAGCUAUACGUGUCAAGUUAGAUCUUCAAUAAUGUAGUAACACACUCUUCAAUAAUGUCUCACAAUGUUAGAUCUUUCAUAGUGAAAAUUAAAUUGAAGAGUGAGAAAGUGAUUUCUAAGAGCAACUCCACCGCUCUACACAAAACCGGGCAAAAGGCUGCCCUUGCAAGCCCAACACCCUCUAGCACGCAAGAUUGAGCCCGGGCAAUCAGUGGGUCCCACCAACCUGGGCAGGCCCAAAGGCAAUUCUCGCAUGGGCUUUAGCCCGAGGGUGGUGACAUCAGCGCACGGUAAUUCAAAUUUUUUUUACCAUUGGCGCGUGAAUUACACGCGCCAACGGUAAAAAAAAUUUGACUUCCGCGCGCUGACGUCACCAUGACGUCAGCCCUGACAGACCCCAACGGCCAUUUGACAAGUGUCGCAACCGGGCUUCUCCGAUGGGUUUUUUUCCAGAAAUUCGACGGUCAUUUCAAAAAAAUUCGAAAAAAUUCUGAAAUUUUUUUUUUUUAAAUACCAAAAUUUUUUGUAUUUUUUCACUAUAAAUACCUAACCAUUUUAUUUACUUUCCACACUAAAUCUUCAUACAAUUUCUUCUCCAUCCAAUAUUUUUUACUCUCCACUCACAUUAUUCACUUCCCACACCAAUUCUCCAAACAAACUCUUCUCCUUCCAAUAUUUUUUACUCUCCACUCAUAUUUUUCUACUACUUUCCAUUUGUAUAUAAAAAAUAAAAAAACAAAUGGCAUCUUCUGUCGAAACCAGAGGCUCGUGGUCAACUCAGGAAGAUAUUGCAUUGUGUCAGUCUUAGGUGAACGUUAGUCAUGACCCUAUCACGGGCAAUGAGAUGAAGUUCCAUCAUAUGUGGAGCAAAAUUCAUGGAGAAUUUUGUCAAAGAUCGGGUUCCAUUCGGACCGAAAUGGCCUUGUCUAGUAGAUGGAAACUUCUGAAUAAAGAGUUAGGAAAAUGGAGAAAUGCCUUGACAAAAACAAGGGAGAACAUUCGAAGCGGUCAAAAUCUAUCCGAUGAGGUAAAAUAUUUAUAAUUGUCAUUUUAAUAAAUUUAAUGUAAUUUUUUUUUAUUGCAUAUUCUAUGUCUUUUUGUUGCAUAAUCUUUUUUUUUUUCUUUUUGCAUUUCCUAUUUGUCUAUAUUUUCUUGCAUAAUCAAUUUCAUUCUUGCAUUUCAAAAUAGUUUAUAUUUUCUUGCAUAAUAAUUUUUUUUCUUGCACUUCCAAUUAUUUAUUUUUAAUAGAUCAUACAAGCACAAAUGUGGUUCGGUGCCAUGGGGCAAGGCAAAAAAAGUUUCGUGCAUUACCAAUGUUGGGAAGUUGUGAAGGAUUGUUCAAGAUUCAAAAUUAUUCCCACCGAUCCAACAGUUGUGUUGAAUGAGACGCCGCUUCACGAUUCACCAUCAACCGAUUCGCCAUUGGACUCCCCAAUGGAAACGGAGUCACCACUCCCACGUCCGCCAAGACCUAUUGGGAGAAAGGCGGCAAGGGCCAAGAGAGGGGGCACUUCAAACAAUGAAUGUAUACAAUUAUUGGAGCAAAUAGCUAAGAACACUUCACUAAGAAUUGAGAGAGACUUGAAAAGAGAUGAAGUGGACAAGGCACGAGAGGAAGCAUUUGUAAUUCAAUAGCAGCAGGCACAAGACAAAGACAUGGAUGAUAGAGAGAUGAAAAUCAUGGUCAUGGAUACGAGCCAUAUGUCUCCUGAAACAAAGGCCUAUUGGAAGCAUAGACGAAGGGAUGUGAUGAGAAGAAAACUUUUCCAUGACGACGGACCUAGCAAUACGGAUUGGUUAAAUGAUGAAAACCAUUAGGUUUUACUGAAACACCUUUGCCAUAUGUUGUAUUGUUGUAUUGUUGUAUUAUCCUUUAAUUUAUUGUAUUGUUUCCUUUUCAUUAAAUAAAAAAAGUAUUAAAUAAUAUGACUAUUUAUUAAAAACAUUUGAGCAUCAAAACAAAGAUUAAUUAAAAACAAACCUUAAUUUAUUGCAAACAAUACACAAAAUAAAUCAUACAUAAAAGCAUAAUAAUAAUAAAAAAGAUAGAGAUGGUGUAGUUUUAUAGAGGGAUUCAGAAGAUAGAAAUGACACGUUGCACAAUUUUAGAGGAUGAAAAUCUUAUCUGAAAUAUGAGAUUAUAAUUUUUUAAAAAUAUCUGAAAAUCUUAUCUAACAGAGAUAACACUUGACACAAUUUUAGAGGGUGAAAAUCUUAUCUGAAAUAUGAGAUUAUGAUUUUUUUUAAAUAUCUGAAAAUCUUAUCUGACAUGAGACAUGUGGCACAAUUUUAGAGGGUGAAAAUGUUAUCUGAAAUCUGAGAUUAUAAUUUUUUUUAAUGAAUAUCCGAAAAUUUUAUCUGGAAUAAGACAUGUGGCAACCAAGAUUCUCAUCCGAAAAUCUUUUCUGAAAAAUAAUAGACACGUGACAAUCAAAAAUAUUAUCCGAAAAUUUAAUUACAAAAGAUUAUCAAAAUUAAUAGUUUAAAGUAUAAAAAAAAUAGGAAAUAAAGUACAAUGAAUAGUAUUUGCCUUAGACUUGCCCUAGACUUAGCCCUCAUGGGUGGAACCACAAAUGGCAAGGCUGCCACUAUUCAUGCGAAUAGUGCCAGCCCUUGCUUGCCCUUGCCCUAGACUUAGCCCUUAGAGCAUGUCCACCGCAGCUCUUCUAGCCAGGGCAAGAGGCCCAUUUCUUCACUUUUGGACCUCCAGCGCAGCGCCUGCAGCCUGGGCAAGUCCUGGGUCCCACCAGCCUGGGCAAGCCCAAGGGCAGAUUUUGCCUGGGCUUCAGCCCGAGUUUGCUGAUGUCAGUGGUGAUGUCACGCUGACAUCAGCGAGUCAAAAAAAUUGAAAAAAAUUGAAAAAAAAUCAAAAAAUUUUUUUAAAAAAAACCAAAAAAAUUAUGGAUGUUUUCCCUAUAAAUACAUAACAAUUUUAUUCACUUUCCCUAUAAAUACAUAACAAGUUUAUAUUUUGUUGCAUAUUCUUUUAUUUUUCUUGCCCUUGCCCUAGCCUUUUGGGGUGGAACCAAAAAAGGCAAGGCUGCCACUAUUCAUAUGAAUAGUGGCAGCCCUUACUUGCCCUUGCCCUUGCCUUAGCCCUUAUGGGUGGAGAUGCUCUUAUGGGUGAAGUUGCUCUAGUCACGUGUCCAUUGUUUUCAGAAAAGAUUUUCGGAUGAGAAUCUCGAUUACCACGUGUCUUAUUCCAGAUAAAAUUUUCGGAUAUUCAUUAAAAAAAAAAUUAUAAUCUCAGAUUUCAUAUAACAUUUUCACCCUCUAAAAUUGUACCACGUGUCCCAUGUCAGAUAAGAUUUUCAGAUAUUAAAAAAAAAUUAUAAUAUCAUAUUUCAGAUAAUAUUUUCACCCUAUAAAAUUGUGCCACGUGUCAUCUCUGUCGUAUAAGAUUUUCAAAUAUUUUUUUUAAAAUUAUAAUCUCAGAUUUCAGAUAAGAUUUUUAUCCUCUAAAAUUGUGCCACGUGUCAUCUCUAUCUUUUGAAUCCCUCUAUAAAACUACACCAGAGGCCUCAUACCUCUCACACCAUCUCUUAUCUAUUCCUUCAUUUCUCAGAUUUUACAAAACACAUUCUACUCUCAAUGUCAAACUUGAGGAGGGUGUUAGAGAGGCAACAGAAAGAAAGGGAAGAAAUCCGGCGUAGACGUGCUGAAGAAGAUCGGGACGCCGAUGAAGAAGAGGAACAAAUGCUUGCAGUAGCGGUGUGUAUGCUUAAUCAAUCAAGACAACACCGUCGUCCUCGUGCCCCAAAUGUGGACAGACGUAGAGAGUCUCGGGGUAAGAAUCUCUUGGAGGAUUACUUUAUCCCAAAUUCGUUAUAUCCUGCUCAUAAGUUUCGAGAGAGAUAUAGAAUGCCGCCACAUUUGUUUCAAAAAAUCAUGCAUGAUAUUUAUAAUUACGACACAUACUUCAUUCAAAAGCAUGAUGCUGUUGGAGUUUUGGGUCUUAUCCCGGAGCAAAAACUUACAGCUGCUUUGUGGAUGCUUGCUUAUGGGGCAUCUGCAGAGUAGGUGGAUGAGAUUGCAAGGAUGAGAAAAUCAACUAUCCUAGAGUGUUUGGUGAGAUUCUGUGAUACAGUGGAAAAUUUGUACACGAGGGAGUACCUUUGCAAACCCACGCCGAGGGACCUGCAAAGGUUGCUACAAAAAGCAGAGGCUCGAGGUUUCCCAGGCAUGAUUGGAAGCAUUGAUUGCAUGCACUGGCAGUGGAAGAAUUAUCCUACUGCUUGGCAAGGAGACUACGGGAAUCGAAAGGGCCAAAAAAGUAUAAUCUUGGAGGUCGUAGCUUCAUUCGACUGUUGGGUUUGGCAUGCCUUCUUUGGGGUUGCCGGAUCUCAGAAUGACCUGAAUGUCCUUGGUCAAUCCCCGGUGUUCGACGAGGUAUUGCGAGGUCAUUCCCCCCAGGUCACGUACCAAAUCAACAAUACCGUAUACUCUGGUGCGUACUACCUUGCCGACGGAAUUUAUCCUAGGUGGACGACAUUCGUGAAAACAAUUCCGAAUCCCCAAUCCGAGAAGGAAAGAAACUUUGCUUCCUUUCAAGAAGGUUACAGGAAAGACGUGGAAAGGUGUUUCGGUAUCUUGCAAGCUCGUUGGGCAAUUAUCAGGGGUGCUGCUCGGAUGCUAGACGAAGAGGUGCUGAGGAGUAUUAUGAUGACUUGCAUCAUCCUCCACAACAUGAUUGUGGAGGAUGAGUAUGACUACGAUGCUCCAGAGGUGUUUGAACCCGAUCCCAUGAACACGGCAUUGACAAGAAUAUAUGAAAGGCCGAUGGGACCAAAUGGACUACCAAUGGAGCCCGAACCGUUAGUUCGGGAUGGUCGAUUCAACAACUCCAUGAUUGACCGUUAUGAAGAAAUGCAAUCUUCAUAUGUUCACGAGAGACGUCAAGUUGACUUGAUCGAGCACUUGUGGGAGAUGAAAGGCAAUCACAAUGGAUGAAGUCAAGAUUAGUGCUUUGUUUGGAAUUAUGCUUUGUUUUUUAUUAUGCUUUAUUUUGUGUGUGUUGUUUUAUUGGAAUUAAUGCUUUGUUUUUUAUUAUUAUUAUGCUUUUGUGUAUGGUUUGUUUUGUGUGUUGUUUACAAUAAAUUAAGGUUUGAUUUUAAUUAAUCUUUGUUUUGAUGCUCAAAUGUUUUUAAUAAAUAGUCAUAUUAUUUAAUGCUUUGUUUAUUUAAUGAAAAGGAAACAAUACAACAAAUUAAGGAUAAUACAACAAUACAACAAUACAACAAAUUAAAGGAUAAUACAACAAUACAACAAUACAACAUAUGGCAAAGGUGUUUCAAUACAACCUAAUGGUUUUCAUCAUUUAACCAAUCCGUAUUGCUAGGUCCGUCGUCAUGGAAAAGUCUUCUUCUCAUCACAUCCCUUCGUCUAUGCUUCCAAUAUGCCUUUGUUUCAGGAGACAUAUAGCUCGUAUCCAUGGCCAUGAUUUUCAUCUCUUUAUCAUCCAUGUCUUUUUCUUGUGCAUGCUGCUGUUGAAUUGCAAAUGCUUCCUCUCGUGCCUUGUCCACUUCAUCUCUUUUCAAGUCUCUCUCAAUUCUUAGUGAGGUGUUCUUAUCUAUUUGCUCCAAUAAUUGUAUACAUUCAUUGUUUGAAGUGUCCCCUUUCUUGGCCUUUGCCGCCUUUCUCCCAAUUGGUCUCGGCGGACGUGGGAGUGGUGACUCCGUUUCCAUUGGGGAGUCCAAUGGCGAAUCGGUUGAUGGUGAAUCGUGGAGUGGCAUCUCAUUCAACACAACCGAAGGACCGGUGGGAAUAAUUUUGAAUCUCGAACAAUCCUUCACAACUUCCCAACAUUGGAAAUGCACGAAACUUUUUUUGCCUUGCCCCAUGGCACCGAACCACAUUUGUGCUUGUAUGAUCUAUUAAAAAUAAAUAAUUGAAAGUGCAAGAAAAAAAAAUUAUUAUGCAAGAAAAUUAAACUAAUUUGAAAUGCAACAAUAAAAUUAAUUAUGCAAGAAAAUAUAGACAAAUUGGACAUGCAAAAAGAAAAAAAAAAUUAUGCAAGAAAAAGAAAUAGAAUAUGCCAAAAAAAAAAAGUUACAUUAAAUUGAUGAAAAUGGUAUUAUAAAUAUUUUACCUCAUCGGAUAGAUUUUGACCGCUUCGAAUGUUCUCCCUUGCUUUUAUCAAGGCAUUUCUCCAUUUGCCUAACUCUUUAUUCAGAAGUUUCCAUCUACUAGACAACGCCAUUUCAGUCCGAAUGGAACCCGAUCUUUGACAAAAUUCUCCAUGAAUUUUGCUCCACAUAUGAUGGAACUUCAUUUCAUUGCCCGUGAUAGGGUUAUGACUAAUGUUCACCCAAGAGUGACACAGCGCAAUAUCUUCCUGAGUUGACCACGAACCCCCGGUUUCGACAGAAGCUGCCAUUUGUUUUUUUUUUUUUUUUUUUUUAAUACAAAUGGAAAGUAGUAGAAAAAUGUGAGUGGAGGAUAAAAAAUAUUGGAAGGAGAAGAGUUUGUAUGGAGAAUUGGUGUGGGAAGUGAAUAAUGUGAGUGGAGAGUAAAAAAUAUUGGGGAUGGAGAAGAAUUGUAUGAAGAUUUUGUGUGGAAAGUAAAUAAAAUGGUUAGGUAUUUAUAGGGAAAAAAUACAAAAUUUUUUGGUAUUUUUUUAAAAAAAUUUCAGAAUUUUUCAGAAUUUUUUUAGCAAAAAAAACGAGGAUCGUCGGAUUUCUAGAAAAAAAUCCAUCGGAGUGUCCCUGGCGCGACACGUGGCUUUUUACCGUUGGUUGCUGUCAGGGCUGACGUCAGCGCGCGGAGUUUAAAUUUUUUUUUANNNNNNNNNNNNNNNNNNNNNNNNNNNNNNNNNNNNNNNNNNNNNNNNNNNNNNNNNNNNNNNNNNNNNNNNNNNNNNNNNNNNNNNNNNNNNNNNNNNNGAAAUGGAUUUUGUGAAGUAACCCAUCAUACACUGGUCAUGGAUCCGUAUGAAUCCAUGUGUGAAGUUGAUUUUCUUAAGCAUCAAAUGGGCAAAAGUAUGCUCUGAUGGAGUAACCAUUAUUUGUUUCUGAUAGGAUCAUGACAGUGUGCAUUCCCUUUUCCUUUUCUCCUGCAUAUUUUAUUUGUUUCUUUAUUGGUAAUUACUCCAAAUUGAAUGAUUUUGCGUUGGAAUUCUGUAGAGCUUGAAAGACAUUUCUGGAGAAGAGAAGCUGAAGAUCAAACCAUGCUCUGUUGUAUGGCCAUGAGGUAAAAAAAAUUUAAACUCCUCGUGCGCUGAUGUCAGCAUUACGUCAUCCAACUCGGGCUCAAGCCCAGGCUGAAGUUGCCCUUGGGCCUACCCGGGCUCGUGGGACCCAGCUGCUGCCCGGGCUGUCUUCCUCGCGUUGGAGCGACUUCGGGCUCGCCUAGGGGCCCUUUCACCCGGUUUGGGUCAUGCGCUGGGCUCGCUCUAAAGAGCUAACAUCAAAAGACCCUUAAAAGUAUGUGAUCAUUCUCAAUAUGGACCCCCAUAUUUCAAUUUCAUUAUUUUACUCCCACGGUUUUCAAAUUUGCUCAAUUUACUUUCCGUUAAAUUCACCGUUUGAUUAGACAUUAACUGCUAACGUGUCUACUGUGAGACAUAGCCACUUAUCAAUCCCCAUCCCAUCUAACAUGUAAUUAAACAAAAACUAAAUAUAUAAUAUUUAAAAAAAAGAAAAAAAAAAAAAGAGGCAUAUAGCCUUCCCCAUCCCUCUCACCGACGCACAGUCGCACCACCCGAUCCCCCUCCCUUUCUUCGUCCUUUGUAUCUCUCUCUCUCUCUCUCUCUCUCUCUCCCUCUCCGUCCCUUUCUCCCCCAUCCCAUCUUCUCGAGUUCUCUGAUAUCCCCCCCCUUUCGCGAUCUACCUCUCCUUCGAGAGGCUUCUCGAGUCCAGGCCCUGCGAUGCCGAUCAGACCGAGCUCAUCGAUCGCUCUCUCCAAUUGGGCUCUGUGCUCCUCGAGGCUGCUAAUCGUUCUGCGAGAAAACCAGCCUCCAAGCACAACUCUCUCACCUGUACUCUCCCCCCAAACCCCCCUCCAAGCACAAUUUGUAUAUAUUGAUAGGGAUGGGGAGCUGGGAGGAGAGUGGGACGGAGAGAGAGAGUGGGGGACGAAGAGAGGGAGAGUGCUCUGGUGGGGAAGAGGCAGGUGCGCCGCUAUCACGAACACAUUCAGACCACGAGCUGACGCAAGUUGAAAUCAUGCUUCUCUGUUUUUCUAGUUCUGUAGUCGCCGCUAAUCAUGCUGCUUUGAUUUUCCAUUGAUGUUUGCUUUGUUACUCUCAAAAAGUUUCCUUCCUUUAUUUAUUUAUUUAUUUCGAUAAUGAAAUUUGAAAUUUGAAUUGUGUGUUGCUUUGUUACUCUCAAUAAAUCUUCCUUCUUUUUCUUUUUUCUUACAGGAAUUGGGUUUUGGUGUUUCACCGACGAGCUGACGCCAGAGAGAGAGGGAUGGGGUUGGUGUGGGUGCGAGUGGGGGGCUGAACAAGGGGUGCUGGGUUUGUUGGGCUGAGGAGGGGCUGGGAUUUUUUAAGGUAUUUUUUUAAAUUUGAUUUAAUUUUAUCAUUUUAUAUAAAUUGUUUAGGAACUGAUUAGUUAGUGGGUGGGUCCCGAUUGCCCAUAUUGAGAAUGACCCCAAACGUUUUUUGAUGUUAGCUCAUUUCUAAAUUUGUAGAGUGAGGGAGUGACCACAGUUUUGAUAUAUUGGUGUCUAUUUUUAUUGGAGCUGAUUUUGUUUGCCUAACCUUACCAACACUCAGGGUAGAUUCCUGGUAAAUAAUAUUGCAACUCUUGCGCUUUUAGAAAUUGUGUGUAUAGUUUUGAGAAAUAGUACUAGAGAAACUAACUUUUAAGAUAUAUCAACUGAUGUGGCAGUGUUUUAAUUUUAGAACUUAUUUAUUCAUAAUAAAUAAGAUAUUGUCAUAUAUUAGUUGACACUUAAAAGUUGGUGUAUCUCUAGUACUACUGUGGAAAACAACACACAAAAUAAGAGUAAGACAAAAGAAAACUAAUAUUACACAAAAUGGGUCAUGUAAUUUUAAUAUAAAAUUGCUACAAACUCUUGUCAACCCUGGAAAGUUCAGUCCAAGUGGACGAGACAUGCUCUCUCUUAUUAAAAAUGCUAUACAUGUACACCAUGCUUUUGUCCUCAAAUUUGGACUCGUUAUACAGUAUAGACUACUUUAUUUAUAUACUUGGCUAAGAGUUCGAUUAUUUUCCUCCCCUUCUCUUAAAUGGAAAUCAUCUCUAGUUCUUUUCACCCCUAACAACAUAUGGAACUGCUGAGUUCAUAACUUUUCUAUUGUUUAUCUUUUAAUGCAUACAAUUAUAUCUUGGUUUUUUACUGGGUAAUUCAAAACUUGGAAACUCCUUCGACGACUUUACAAAAAAGGAUUUAGGUUUUUUUUGCUAAAAAGUCAGUAUAGUAUGAAUACCUAUUUGAUACGAUAUAGGUUUUUUUUUUUUUAAUUUAAAAAUUUAUUGAAAGGAUUUUUAAUUAUUUGUAUUGGCACUAUUAAUUUUGCCACAAAAUUCUCAGAGGUUUAAUAAUUUGCUUUUACAAAUACCAUGAUCGUUUUCAGAAAUCUCUCUUUCUGGAGGCAGAUUCCAGAGCCGUUUAAGGGAAAUUCGUAGUCGAGCUACCGAUGUUCAUGAUAAGGAAAAGGGAAUCAAGAUUACUGAGAAGGAUUGGGAAAAGUUGAAUGUACAAUUGCUUCAUACAACAAUUUUCCUACUGCUGCUGGAUUGGCUUCCUCAGCAGCUGGUUUUGCAUGUCUUGGUAACGGAUAAUACCCUAUUUUGGAUCAUAUUAUUGUUAAUUUGUUAUAUGAUUAGUGCCUUAACUUUGAGAACUCAUGACUCUGUUAAUAAUGUUACUUGGGUACUGGAUUAAUCAUUCUUUGCCAAUAGAUAGUAGUUAAGCAAUGAGCAUAUCAUAGCUAAGCCUCUGUUUCUACUUGCAGUUUUUGCCCUCGCAAAGUUAAUGAAUGCAAAUGAAGAUCACAGCCAGCUUUCUGCUACUGUAAUCAAUCUGAGAUUUUAAUAAGCCAUCGCAAUCUGACUAAGUUUUACAGAAUACUUAACACAAUAGUAAGUGCUGAUAUCGACCCUGAAGAACGUCUCCUUGACAGUAGCUUAAUUGAUUUUGACAGAGCAAGCCUCCUUUAUGCCAUUGGGAAUAAUAAUGUGUCCAUUGAUCAGCCCGCCCACAUUUUCCGAGCCAUUUGCCUGGCUGCAAGCCCAGACGACUACUACGAAACUCAUUCCCUGCCUUUUGGGUCGUUGAUCACUAGGUUUGCCAUGGCGUCUAAGGUGCGAAUUGAUCCUACGGAUCAGGUUAAACAACUUAUGCCACCUAUCAACUAGAUGAUGUUUCAUAAUGAUGAGACAGAUGAAACAAGUGAAGAAUCUGUUGUUGGAUUUACUCCUCCUCCUGCACCUGCUUCGGAGCCAAGUCCUCCACAGCUUAAUCAGCCUUCUCUUUCCCAGACGAAAAGCUUUGAGAAGUUUUCCAUAAAGCUGAGAAAGCGCAUGGCCCGACUUGCCAAUGAGGUCGUUAAGCUCACCGGUUGCGUACAUUGGGGCAUCCCAUUGAAAGAACCAUUUACAGGUCAUUCUAAUGUUGAGCUUGCUUUAGUUUAUAUGUGUUUUUGUCCUUUUCAGCUUUGUUAAACCCUGUCUUCAACUUUCAUUUCUAAUCCAUUGAUUAUCUAUGAAUUGUUAGGUUUUUGUUUCCAUUUGUUUAUUCAGUUGUUCUUCUUUUAUACCCUCUCAUUGGUUUCUGCUCCUCUGUCUUAUGAUUUUCCACUUCCACUUAUCACUCCCUUGUCAUACACACUUGCAGUACAAGAUAAAUAGAAUCUGAAGUUUGCCUUGUUCUGGAUGAUAAAUAGAAUUCUAUUUAGUUAUAUAUUUUCAAAGAUACAAGUUAAAUAAAGACGAUGUAGCGAGCACCAUAAGCUUCAAAAGAAUUUUCCUAGUUCUAGGCUUAAGUAUAUUUUUUAUCUAAAGGACCUCUGAGUUGACUGCAGGAACUGAUUCAGCCUAAUACUGUAAAAGAAUUGUCCCUUGAAUAUCUUUUUAUGUACAGCUGGUAAGAAAAUUUUCGGGUUUUUACUGGUGGAAGGAGAGUAAUAAACUUGAAGUUAGCAACUAGCACCGAAUGCUUCUGUGGUUAGUGAUUUAGUAUUGAAGAGAAGCUCUGUUUCUGAUCAUAUAUGUAAAAUUGAUUUUGAUUGCAUUAAUUAGUAAAAAAGAUCAGCUCUGUUUCAGAUCAUAUAUGUAUUCUUUAGUCAACUAAUGAGAUGGGGUGGUUAACAUUUAUUUAAGUGUGACUGGAACAGUUUUGAGUGAUGAAUUUUCCUAUUUUCACUAGGGAGCUGCCUUUGAAUUUGAUAUUUUCGGGAGUGAUUCGAUGCUUUUCUCUCUUUCGAAAACUUAACAAAAUUAAAUAUUCACAAUAUUCCCCAUCGUCUGUAUAAUAAAAAUGAAACUGCUUCUACAUGUGAUUAUGAACUCCAACACAUCUUGUGUCCUUGUGGUUGUAAUAGUCAGCAGUUAAUGCACUUCUUUGCUGCUUUAGUGGAUGUUUUUUAUGCUUUACUUUCUCUCUGUUAUUGUGCUGAAGAAAAUAUGGAGGUUAAACAAGAAAAUGAUGAGAAUUUUAUUCCCAACUCACAUACUACGACACAUCUAUCAACUUAAAUUUCCGGCUUGCAUCCAAAUAAGAAAGCGAAAAGGAUCCAUUGGCACAAGCAAUUGGCGAGGCGGCAGACCGAACCUCAGUAGAUUGCAAGUUUUGAAGGCCGUACACAUUUUAUUGAAUACUAAUCCAGAAGAGGUCCUUCUACUCAAAUAUCUUCCUGAUGAUGAGAAGACAGAGUGGAUAAUACUGGUUAUUACUCAAUCCUGGGUCUAACUUUCUUGAUAAAUGAUACUGAGCCAAUUAUUCUCAGGGGUUUAAACUUUUGCAUAGAGUCACUUAUCAGCAUUUACUCUCUCUCUCUCUCUCUCUCAUUGAUCCAGUAUUAGGAGUGAUCUUGCGUUUUAUUCUUUUCAUAUACAAUAUUAUUUAUAUCCUUUUAUGUCCUUUUACACACACUGAGCUUCUUGACAUGUUAUGGGCUUUUAAUCAUGCUUCGAAGACAUACUUUAAAUCCAUUUAUAUAUCUUCUUUAUCUAUUUAUUUCUCUUGUUUGAGAGGAGGUAUUAUUUCUCUUGUUCAUUAUAGGUUUCUUUGUAAUUCACAUAUAUAAAUCGAAUGAGUUUCAAUAAGAAAGUGUAGCCGAUUACUGCAAUAUACAGAAGGCUGUCUCAUCUGAAAGUAGAGCACAAGUGUGUGUGCUCCAUGGACAGCUUGAUAGGUUGAGGAAAGGAAGAAACCACAAGAGCAAUGAAGGCAAUUAUGUUUCACCACUUAUACCCCGGGAUGAUCCACAGAACGAAAUGGAAAACCACGUCUUGAUUUGUCACUUGAAGGAAAUCAUUGUAAACUAGCCAGCCAGAUGCACCAACAGAGUGCCUGUUGCGCUCCAAAAAUGUCACCCUUCCGCCGGUGAGGCAGCACAACAAAGCAAUUUUCCCUUUGCAUUUCCCUCCACUCCUGCUACAAAUUCAUGCUUACAACACAACGUAAGGUGCCGACACACCAAUUAUCUCAAAAAAACCAAAAAGAGAAUUGGCAUAGCUUGGAAGUAUUAAACACUUUGGGAUAGGCAUCAUGAUCAUUUUCUUGAAAUUAUGACAUAUUUUGGUAUGCUAAAAUCAAACACUAGUGUGUCGGGACCUUUGCCUUAAAAUAUAUAUAUAUAUAUAUAUAUAUAUAUAUAUAUAUAGAGCGUUGAAAAGGAAGCGAUAGUCUAAACUAGAUGAGAGUGUGGUUUCUCACAUACACUAUAUAUAUAUAUGGCGUUGAAAAGGAAGCGAUAGUUUAAACUAGAUGAGAGUGUGGUUUCUUACAUACACUACCAAGAUGCCAUGAAGGUUCGAACCUGAAAUCAUUAGUUUGCAAAUCAAAUUUUUUUUCUUACCAGGAACAGUUAAUCAUUAUUGUCUUAGAUAUGUCUAUUGAGAUUUUAAAUUACCUCAUUCACCUAAGUACCAAUUUCACCUUCUCUUCUUCUUUUGACUUGUAAGUCUACUUUUCUUUGUAGUGCAUUUGAGACUAGAAAAAGACGAGCCCAUAUUUGACUAAAACAAUUAAGUCAUCACUUGUCUACUUCCAUCAUGAAGAGAGUUUUUUUUUUCCUUUAAUUGUUUUUUAACCAGAAACUCUGGUAUUGACUGAGAAAGAGUCUGGAGUACGUUCUAUAACUAGAGGAUUUCGUAAGAUUAACUCCUUAUUGAAUGUUACAGCACACAAGCGCACACCCUGCAUACUGAAGGUGAAAGAUUUACACUUUGGAAGCCCCCCUCCCCUCCCCUACAUUAUUUAGUGGGAAAAAAAAAAAAAAAAAGGAAAAAGUAUAGAAUGAGGGUAACAAGAACCAAAGCUACUAUUUCUUUUUUGGGUAUACAAGCGAUAGUCUCUGAACUCAUUAAACUAAUGUAACUUACACGGAAAGGGGUUUGAAGUUCGGUGUAAGGGGUAAGCUCACCGUCCUAUCCAAUUAGCCUAACCCACAUUUGCAGAUGUAUACAAAUACAAUGAUAUAGUCCAAACUACUCUAAAUCUAAACUACUAUAUUACUUUCCUUUUAUAGUCAAUAUAUAUGACUUUUGCCCUUCAAACUAAUUAUGUCUUACCUACAAGCCAUUAUUUUAUUUUAUUUAUAAAUAAAACCCAAUUUUUAUAAGUAAAAUCCAAUGAUUGGAUCUGACUCAUCAAUUUACCUAAUUAAACUAAAAAAUCUGAUUUAUUGUACUUUUUUUAGAUUAAAAAAUAAUUAUGGAUAAUUAAUCUACCUAUACAAUGUCGGCCAAUUCUUAUACCUACAAAAUAUAGGUAAAUUGGUACACUUUUUCAAUUUUAUAAAUAACGUGCCUAUUUUUUCAUAACUAAUGUACCUAUUUAUUUUAUAGAACUAAUUCAAUAGUAACGUUUUUUUUAAAUAUAGAAAUAAUGUACCUAUUUUCUUUAAAAAUAUUUACGUAUUCAGAAUCUCGCCCCUAUUCUGACUGAGAAUUGCUCCUCAACCAAUCAAUAUGCAUCUCACCACCCAAGCUCUCUUUCUUCACUGGGACUGUGUUUUGUUCUUUAGUUUGUUUUUUUUUUUUUCCUUUCCAUUUUAGUUGUUGUUUGAUUUUUAAACUUGGGUUUUUUAAUAACCAUUAUAUUAUCAUUUAUUUCCAAGGGUGGGUGACCACAAAUUCCUUGGACCACAGAGUAAUUCAUAUACUAAUCAUUUAACGAGCAACAAAACAAAUCAAAUCAAAGAAUCCAAAUGCAAAAUGAAGGAAGCUGCUCCGAAACUCUAUGAUCAGAUAUCCAACACUAAAUAUACUUAAGUGUUUCUUGAUCAUCACUAUAAUAAGAGAAACUUCCGUGUUGUAAGACCCCAUGUUUAACCUAAAUUAUAGGGGCAUUUCAAAAGACUUGGUCAAUAACCAAACUCCCAUACUAUAGUUGUUGAAUAAAAACCCAAUAUUCAUUUAUUAGUAUCAAUAAAUAUAUAGGUAUUAUAUUAAUAUUCGGUUGAGUAGAGAUAUUUCCAUAUGUUUCACUGAAGUCAAGUUCACAUUUGCAAGAAGAUAUUUGUAACUUGUGCCUAGGGGAUGGGAUGCAAAGCCAUUGAUUGAGUGGACAUGGGAAGACACCUUACCAAGUCAAGUAAGGGCAAUACCUGCAAGUCAGUUGGAGCACGCGUUGAAGGGCAAAUCAUGAUAUCAAGUCUAAGUCUUCAUUUAUCUUUUUCCACAUAGUGACAUGAAUUAAAGUGGUGAGUCUCUCUUCCUUUUUGUUCACCUGUGUCCUUCAUAUUCACUUUUCAGUCUUUCAUUUGAAAACACUACAAUAGCACACUUUCCAAAGAGAUUCCCAAGCAGCUUAUUGACCUUUCGAGUUCGGGGAAAUUAGCAAGUGGAAAAAUAAUUUUCCGGAGCUUUGUCUCUAUGACCAGUUGGCUUUUCAAAGAAAGAAAAAACAUAAAAAUGGUAAAAUAAAGUAAUUGAGCAAUUAAAAAAGGAAAAGGAAAAAAAAAAAAUUACCGUUUGUUGACGUUUGAGUUAAAUGCGGAUGUGCAAAGUCUUAAAAUUCUAGUUUACACUCAAGUAUGUAGACUUAACAAUCUUUUUGUGGAACCAAAAAAUGGACUUGAUUUCAAAUUACAAUGUGUGGCUCUGUUUUGGUCAUCUAUUUGCGACGUACAGCUUCUCCUUGUAAAUGUGUGGCUCUGUUUUGGUCAUUCUUUCUUUUCAUAAUUCAACAUCUUAUUCUGAGCACAUGGUAGAAGAUGCCUUUUUGUAGACAGACUUUUUGUAUUUGGUCAGGCUUGCAAUGCUCUAUUUUGUAUUUGGUCAGAAUUGUGUCACCGAGAGUAUACAAUUCUCUUUAUAUUAAAAAAUUAACCAAAAUUUUAAAAAUAGUAUUUUUAUUUUAUUGAAAUUAAAAAAUAGUAGUAUGAACACUACAUCUAUCAUCCUCCUUUUUCCAGCAAAAGAAAUCCUAGUAGAUCUUUCUCAGCAAACUCUUCAUCAUUUCUCACUAGUCUAAUCGGCCAGCCAACACCUUCUUGACGUGUGAGUUACAUAUGGUUGUGGAGACUUAAAAGUCUUUGAAAAUUCUACCGCGCUCCAGGUGCAUCAAUGCGCCAUUAAUUAAACCUAAUGUGUACGUUGCGUAGGUUUUUUUCUUCUUCUUUAAAGAAAAUUUGGUAUAGUCCACUUCUGAUGACAUAAGUGAAAUUGGGUUACAAGAUGCCACCCGAGAUUCUUAUUUUUUGUGGGACCCACCCUGAACUCUUAAGUAGAAAAUACCUAAAUUUUGUAUAACAUUAAGAAACAAAAAAUUAAAAUUAAAAUAACAUGGUGAUAAGAAGCAAAACCCUUCAAAGAACGAACAAUGGGGAAACCAAAAAAAAAAAAAAAAAAACAUGCAUACAAUUGACAAAAAUCAAUUUGGUUGCUGUUGAGAAUUAAAGUAGUGGAAUAUUAAUUUAAGUAUUGUGAUCAUCAUUCAUUUCAUCCAUGCCAUCAUAAUUAAUUUGGUUUCGGUAAUUGUUAUUCCUGCAUCUUACUUUUUAGCUCGUGCAUCAUAAUUAAUUUGGUUUCUGUAAGUUAUGAUUACCUCCAUAAUAAAGAGAUUCGAAUCCAAAGUAUUAGGAAUUUUCUUUAGCAAGUGAUUUGUAUUCUUAUUUGUAAGAACUUAGAAUUACGCCUUGACAUUAUAGUCUCAGUGUGAUUUCCAUAACAUUAAUUUUGCAUUGUAUAUAGCAGAUAAUUUACUCCUUUAUAUGGCUCUGCUUUAGCUAAAUCGUGUUUUUCUUUGUAAAGACUUUCUUCCUUUUUCCCUAUAUAUAUCUGAUGCAAGUGAGCAUACACGGAGACAACCAUAUAUCAAUAUACACUUGCAGUGUUUUUGCACGUGCUUUUGAUCAAUUAACAUGAAGGGCGACGGAAGGUGCUUGAAACUCUUUCUUGCAUUAUCGAUCCUUUUCCUACAAAACGUAAAAGGAGGAGAAGUUGGCCACAGCCACAGCCACAGCCACAGCCUCAGAGAUGCUAAAGUGACAGUGAGGAGGUGCAUAGAGAGGGAAAGGCAAGCACUACUUGCAUUCAAACGUGGCCUGGUGGAUGACAGUGAGGUGGAUGAGUCCAAUCCUCUCUCAACUUGGGGUUCAGAAGCCGAGAAACAAGAUUGUUGCAGAUGGGAAGGAGUCUAUUGUAGCAACCAAACUGGCCAUGUGAUUCAACUUCAUCUUGAAUAUUCUUCCUAUGAUGAGAUGAUUCUUGGAUAUUCUUUCCAAGGUAAGAUGAUUAGUCCUAAACUGAUUGAGUUGCAGCAUUUACAAUAUUUGCACCUUGCAUCCAUUGAUUUCUAUGAGAGCCAAAUUCCUGAUUUCAUUGGUUCUCUAACCAAUCUAAGAAACCUCAGUCUCUCUUCCUGUAAUUUGGUUGGUCAAAUUCCAAGUUCGUUUGGAAACCUCACGCAAUUGCAAUAUCUCGACCUCAGCUAUAAUUAUCAGCUUCAACCAGAAAAUCUCAAUUGGCUCCCUGCCCUUUCUUCUUUAACGUAUUUGGACCUUUCAGUCAUUGAUUUCAAUGGGAGCCAAAUUCCCGAUUUCAUUGGUUCUCUAACCAAUCUAAGAAACCUCAGUCUCAGAUUCUGUGAUUUGGUUGGUCCAAUUCCAAGUUCGUUUGGAAACCUCACGCAAUUGCAACAUCUCAACCUCGGCUAUAAUCAGCUUCAACCAGAAAAUCUCAAUUGGCUCCCUGCUCUUUCUUCUUUAACGUUUUUGGACCUAAGCGAAAACUUCAAUGGGAGCCAAAUUCCCGAUUUCAUUGGUUCUCUAACCAAUCUAAGGUACCUCAGUCUCAGUUUCUGUAAUUUGGUUGGUCCAAUUCCAAGUUCGUUUGGAAACCUCACGCAAUUGCAACAUCUCAACCUCGGCUAUAAUCAGCUUCAACCAGAAAAUCUCAAUUGGCUCCCUGCUCUUUCUUCUUUAACGGAUUUGUACCUAGCCGGAAACUUCAAUGGGAGCCAAAUUCCCGAUUUCAUUGGUUCUCUAACCAAUCUAAGAAACCUCAGUCUCAGAUUCUGUGAUUUGGUUGGUCCAAUUCCAAGUUCGUUUGGAAACCUCACGCAAUUGCAACAUCUCGACCUCAGCUAUAAUCAGCUUCAACCAGAAAAUCUCAAUUGGCUCCCUGCUCUUUCUUCUUUAACGUUUUUGGACCUAAGCGAAAACUUCAAUGGGAGCCAAAUUCCCGAUUUCAUUGGUUCUCUAACCAAUCUAAGGUACCUCAGUCUCAGUUUCUGUAAUUUGGUUGGUCAAAUUCCAAGUUCUUUUGGAAACCUGACGCAAUUGCAAAAUCUCGACCUCAGCAAUAAUCAGCUUCAACCAGAAAAUCUCAAUUGGCUCCCUGCUCUUUCUUCGUUAACGGAUUUGGACCUAAGCAGAAACAAUCUCAGUACUGUUUUCGAUUGGCCAGAAGCAGUACUUAAUAAGCUCCCUAAACUAGUAGUAUUGGCCUUGGAGAACUGUAGUCUUCCUCCUCCUCCUCCUCCUCCUACUCUUUACAAAACAAAUUCUUCUACAUCUCUUGCGUAUGUUGAUCUCUCUGACAACCAUCUCACUUCUUCAAUAUUUCUUUGGUUGUCCAACUACAGUACAAGCCUUGUUGCUCUUGGCCUCUCCAACAAUCAUCUAUCUGGUUUCAUUCCCAAUUUCAUUGGAAACAUGAGCUCUCUUGUGGAUCUGGAUCUCUCCAACAAUAAUCUAACUGGUUUCAUUCCCGAUUUCAUUGGAAACAUGAGCUCUCUUGUGCAUCUGGAUCUCUCUGACAACCACAUUGAAGGAGCGAAUCCAAAUUCGUUUGCAAGGCUGUGUAAUUUGCAAACAUUGUCGCUUCAAACAAAUCAUCUGAGUGGACAAUUAUCCAAGUUUGUUCAACUAUUGCCUAGAUGUGCACAAAACUCGUUAAAGGAUUUGCAACUGUCUGAGAAUGUUCUUGCGGGGUCAUUAAACAAUCUUACAAGCUUCUCAUCUUUGGGAUUCUUGAAUCUUAGCGCCAAUCAAUUAAGCGGAAAAAUACCUGAAAGUAUUGGGCAAAUGUCCAAACUAUGGUGCAUCGAUUUCAGCAUGAACUCUUUGGAAGGGGUGGUUUCUGAAACUCAUUUCUCAAAACUCUCUGAUUUAUAUCAGUUGGAUUUAUCCUAUAACUCACUAGUUUUAAAUUUUCAUUCUGAUUGGGUUCCUCCCUUCCAGUUGAAUUACAUAUAUUUGGCCUCCUGCAAUGUCGGUCCUCUUUUCCCAAAAUGGCUUCAAACUCAAAAUGAUUCUUACCAUCUUGAUAUUUCUAAUGCUGGAAUUUCUGAUAUCCUUCCAAGUUGGUUUUGGAGUAAUUUUCGUAACGCGGAAAUUAUUAAUCUCUCACAAAACCAAAUAAGAGGAAUAGAAGGUUCAAUUCCCUCAAUUCCGUCAGAAGUCCAUCAUCUGGAUCUCUCUAAUAAUAACAUUUCAGGGUCGCUUUCUUUCCUAUGUGCAAGUGCAGAUAUGAGUUUAACAAUUCUUAAUCUUUCAAGCAACAGUUUUUCUGGAGAACUUCCAGAUUGCUGGAGCCAUUUGGAGACUCUAGUCAUGCUUGAUUUGAGUUACAAUGCUUUUUCUGGAAAAAUGCCCAUGACAAUAGGCUCUUUAUUUCAAAUGCAAACUUUGAAAUUAAGACGCAACCGAUUUGUUGGAGAAUUGCCUUCAUCGUUGAAGAACUGCGCAAGUUUAGAAGUUAUUGAUCUGGGAGAUAAUAAAUUAUCAGGACCAAUACCUGCAUGGUUAGGUGUGAGCUUCAAGAAUUUGGUUAUCCUUAUGCUUUCUACUAAUCACUUCAAUGGAAGCAUGCCCUCGCAAUUAUGCCAUCUAACACACAUUCAAAUUAUGGAUUUCUCUAUGAACAACAUCUCUGGAAGCAUACCCAAAUGCCUCAAAAAUUUGACUACUCUGGCUCAAAAAGGAAAUCCAAGUCUAUCCAGCACACGUAUUCAUGGCGGAAGUGAGGUUAAUGGGUCAAUUGCUCCUACUAAUUAUGACAAUGAUGCAAGCUUCAUAUGGAAAGGAAGAAUGCAGACAUACAAAAGCACUUUGGGCCUUGUGAAGAGAAUUGAUCUCUCAAGCAACAGAUUAACAGGGGAGAUUCCAGGUGAAAUCAUGCAUCUUGUUGGGUUGAUUUCUUUAAACCUUUCGAGAAACCAGUUAAUGGGUCAAAUAACUCCAGAGAUCGGAAACUUGGAGUCAUUGGAUUCGCUUGAUUUAUCAAGAAACCGGAUAGAUGGAAGAAUUCCGACAAGCCUUGCUCAGAUAUAUCGUCUUAGUUUCUUGGACCUGUCAUAUAACAACUUGUCUGGCAAAAUACCAACAGGCACCCAGCUCCAAAGCUUUGAUCCCCUUGAUUAUGCUGGAAAUCCUCAACUCUGUGGACCUCCACUUAAAAAGAUGUGUGCUGAUCAAAAUGAGCCAACUGACUUGAGCAAUGAAGAGGAUAAGGAUGAGUUUAUAACGCUGGGAUUUUACAUCAGUAUGGCGAUUGGAUUUGCUGUUGGAUUUUGGGGAGUUUGCGGCACUUUGAUAUUCAACAGGUCAUGGAGAUAUGCAUACUUGAAGUUCUUGAAUGGUUUAAAUGAUUGGCUCUAUGUGAAGAUAGCUUUGAGCAAGCGGCAACUGAAGCCAACAUAAACUUAAUAGAUAAGCUCGCCACGGUACUCUUUCUCUCUCAUCAUUAAUUUUGUUUUAUAAUUAUUUUUCUUAUUGCAUUUUUUCCUUUUCUCCAAACUGACGGGUAUUAAUUUGUUUACUUCGAUAUUUAGCUGCAGCAUCUAAAUUAGGAGAAAAGUAGCUGUAGCUGAAUGCUUCCUUUUAGUUCAAGUGAGGAAGAUUGCCAGUACGCGCAUGCACAGGUAUCUGGAGAAGAGUUUAUGAGUUAAUUUGGAGUGCUUAGUAGGAAUAAACGUGAUUUAUAUUGGUGUUAAUUACUUGUCAGAACAAUUAAUUCGGAGUUCUCCGAUUUAUGUAUUUUUUUUUUUUUUUGUUUAUUUAGAGAAAUAAACAGAUCCAUGCAGAUCCAAUCAUAACAUGGGCAAUUAUAAUUGUACAUGAAGAACAUUGCCCCAGAGGAUGGUUCUUGCAAACAAUAAAUCAUACAAAUAAGCAAGACAGUACAAUUAAAGCAAGAACAAUGAGCAAAAGCCAAGCUCACUCCGAUUAAUGUAUUAAUUCCAGCUAUAGUGUUGUUUUAAUUACCUAGGCCAAAGCCAAAGCGGACUUGAUUUCAAAUUACAAUGUGUGGCUCUGUUUUGGUCAUCUAUUUGCAACGUACAGCUUCUCCUCGUAAAUUGGGGGGUCAGCUUCUCCUUGUAAAUUUGUGGCUCUGUUUUGGUCAUUCUUUCCUUUCAUAAUUCAACAUCUUGUUCUGGCCACAUGGUAGAAGAUGCCUUUUUGUAAACAGACUUUCUGUAUUUGGCCAGGCUUGCAAUGCUCUAUUUUGUGGAUUUUAAGAUUGUAUUAGGCUUACUUGUGAGCUGCAAAAUGCCUUGUACCAAAAUUUAUGUAUAAAAUGUGUGCUAAAUUGUGUGGAGUAGAAGAUUGAAGGUCUUCCUAGGCAAGCAAUCACAAGCAUUUUCUCUCUUUUCAAUUUGUAGAAAUGUUUGUUGUAAAUAUGUUAGGUGGAGCCCACCUCCAAUUGGGAGAAGCUUCCUCGAAGCUUCCUCCAAUUGGAAGCUCCCUCUUCUGUUUGCCUACAAAGAAGGGAUCACCCUUCCUAUGUAAUCGGAGUAUGGAAUAAUACAAUGGAAAAGAACGGAAACAUAGAUUGAAUGAGGAGAAAAUUCUCCCUCCUCUCUAUCUCAAUUUUCUUCUCCAAUUUCUUCAGUUUAUAACACGUUAUCAGCACGAAUAUCUCUAAAAAUACCAGCUAGGAAAUUCGAUCAAAUCCUGCAGAACCAAGUUUGCUCAUAGAUUUGUUCGAUCCCUCUUGCAAAUCAGAAACCAUGCUCCGCCUAGCUCAUCGUCACCUUGAUUCCAGGUAGAACACCUCCUUCCUUCAUUAUGGACACAGGAAGCAGCCUUGUUUGGUUCCCCUGCACCAAACGCUACAUUUGCUCUAGAUGCCAAUUCCCAAACAUCAACCCAGCAAAAAUUCCAACUUUCAAGCCCAAAUUGCAACAACCCGAGUCACCACAACUGCUCGCAAGCCUGCCCAACUUACAUAAUCCAGUACGGUUCAGGCACCACAGCUGGGAUUUUACUUUCCGAGACACUCGAUUUUCCCAAGAAAAUUGUCAGAAGUGAUGAUGGAGACACUGCUGAUCAACGGGAGGGGACAGUACAACUGCUCUCUGGCAGCGCACUAUAGCAAUUCCAGUUCAAGCCAGUGCAGUCUAAGAGGAAGCGAACAAUGCGCACCCCCUAUUCUCCAUGUGCUUCCAAACAAGAUCUAUCGGCUCAGAAUCGCCAGCACCACUGCCCUUGCUUCACUCAACUUGGCCAUUGGGAAUCACAAAAUGGUGGUGGUGGAAGCCGAUGGAAACUAUGUGCAGCCAUUUGCGGUGGAUGACUUGGACAUCUACUCAGGCGAGAGCUACUCAGUGCUCAUAACCACCGACCAAGACCCUUCCAACAACUACUGGCUCUCAGUUGGAGUGAGAGGAAGAGAACCCAAAACUCAACAAGGCCUCACAAUCCUAAACUACCACCCAAAUUCAGCAUCAAAGCUUCCAGCUUCUUCCCCUCCUGUCACUCCUCUGUGGAACGAUUACAACCACAGCAAGUCCUUCACCAACAAGAUCUUCGCCUCAAUGGGGUCCCCGAAGCCCCCGAGAAACUAUGACCGUCGGAUCACCCUCCUCAACACCCAUUGACAUCCGACCAAGCCAUGAGCAUGCACUUCUCACGUGACUGCGACUCCUGCGACGGCGACGGCGACGGCCAGUGCGAGUUCUGCUCCGUCGAGUUUCAUCUUCGCGGUAAGUACCAUUCCGACCUCCCCAUACUCCACCAGGCCCAACCCAACAACGCAGCCGCCGACGACGACAACGACUCCAGUUCCGAGCUCUUGAGCUUUCCGUCGGUGUCUCCUUGGAUUGAUUGCCGUCGUCGAAAGCUCAGGAUGAGCCUCCGGUUCGAACACGCUCAGGUCUGGCUCCGAUAAGGCCAGCGACACCACAAGGCCUGGUUCCGGUCUGGACCAUCGGCGGCGCCGGACUGAUGGGUCCCAGUGACCAAGCUCGGCCGCCUCCCCGUGGCUCCACUCAGACCUUGCUCAUGGCUGCCGACACUAGCAAUGGUGCUGCUUGGGUUCCAUGUAAUGGCAUGGAGCUGGUCAACAGGUGAAGCCCAUAGUAGUUGUCGUAAAGUGGUGGAGAUUGGAAGGUUGCAGUUUUUAUCAUGUCUCAAGUUGAUCUUGCAAGGGAAGCUGCCCUUUUGUGCAUCCUGCUGUUUUGGUGGAAACUUAUUAACAACAAGGGGAGGACGCAUUCACUUUCUGGGGUACUCCAGAAGGUGAUCUGGUCCAUGAGCGAGCUCUUUGCAAGGCUAUGUCAAAAGCUUUGAUGAUGUAGUGGAUGACUGCACCAAUCACUUCACAAAAGCAGAGAAUAUGCUGUCGACAAAGUUGGCUGGACAGCACAUGUUGCCGAGUGCCCAUGUUUACAGCCCCACACACCGAAACAAUUAAAAUAAUAAUAAUAAAAAAACAAAAAAUAAAUAAAUAAAUAAAUAAAUAAUAAUAAUAAUAAUAAUAAUAAUAAAAAAAGGGGAUCACUCAGCAAGGGCAUAAGCGUUAAGUUUUCUGCUCCCUUAUCUUCUUUAUUAUUUCAUAUUAUAUUUAUCUGUUUUUCUUUUACUAACCAUUAACAAAAAUGGACCAUCGGUAAUACUAAAUAUAUUAUCAGUGGGAGACCGUUACUAAUACUAACGUUUAAUUUAUGAAUUUAAUUUACUGCAAAUUUACUUUACAGCACAUUUAUUUUAUUUACUGUAUGGUGUAGGUUUAUUACCCAUACAACAGUAUUUAUUUAAAAGGGUGGUGCGGUUUUAUCGCCCACACCUUUACUUUUAUUUAAAUGUAUGGUGCAGAAUUAGUGCCCAUACAAGCACGUUUACUUUACUGCAAAUUUACUUUACAGCACAUUUAUUUUAUUUACUGUAUAGUGUAGGUUUAUUACCCAUACAACAGUAUUUAUUUAAAAGGGUGGUGCGGGUUUAUCGUUCACGCCUUUACUUUUAUUUAAAUGUAUGGAGCAGGAUUAGUGCCCAUACAAGCACGUUUACUUUACCGCACAUUUAAUUUUAUUUAAGGUAUGGUGCGGGAUUAACGUCCAUACAGCAAGCAAUUUAAUUUAUGAAUUUAUUUUACCGCACAUUUACAUUUAUUUAAAGUGUGGUGCGGGUUUAUCGUCCAUACCAGCAAUUUAUUUUAAUUGUGCUGUAUGUGCUGUAUGAUGAGUUUUUACAGUAUGCAGAUCAGGACCAGAAGUUCCUUGAUCCUCAUCAUACAAUUACAUCAGGACUUGAAGAUCCUUGAUGAUGAUAUUAAUAUGAGAGCUGGCAGUCUCUCCGGUACUGUAUUUGUAAACAUGUGAUCGGACUUAAAAGUCCUUGAUUUCUGACAUGUAAAUAAGGAUAAUGAUGUAACAGUACCGUAUUGGUUCAUAGUGCCGUACACAUUGAUGAUAACUGUACUGGCAGAUGAAUAGAUACGUAUUCAUGACUUGAUGAAUAGUACUAUUCACAUGAAUAGUGACGUAUGCAUAAAUAUGAACCAUUUUGGGUAAACCGUCACUAUAUACAAAAGAGAACCUGCAGUUCCUUAAACUCAUGGAUGAGCAAUUAAAUGAGAUGCCAGAAAUUCCUCAAAAUAUGGGCAAUUAUGUAAGGGCUUGAAGUCCAGAAAUAUGUACAAAAAAUUGUAAAAAUGUCCAUACCAUGAGAACAUGUGAUUUUAACUUGAGGUUCAAAAUCUAAGUGUUGAGAACCUGAAGUUCCAACAAUUAAAUGGACAACCCUUGAGGUAUUAUUGCAAAUUGUGGUACGCCACAUAUUUCUUUGGCAUAAGAGAAUGAUGAAUUGAGACUCCCCACAUAUUUUGUUAUAUCUGGGUCGGAAGCUCAUGAACCCAAAUAUAUGAGAUAUUAGCGUGGCUUUUACUCAAUCCAUAUUUCAUGUUCAUUUAAAAAGGGCAAAUGAAUUCUGAGUUUGUGUUUAUCACAGGCCAAAAGUUCCAUACGUUGAAAUAUGAAAUUUGGGAGAGUCGAUGUGGUUAUUUGAACCUAUAAGGCACAAGGUUCCAAAUCGUCAUUUUGAAAAGACGUAAAAACCACAGGUGCAAGUUUAAGAAUAUGCGCAAUUAUUAUAACAGGAACAUACAACAGAUAGAUUUUUUCCUGCAAUGAAGGUGCAGGCCCUGUAAAAUCUAUAAAAUUACAUUAUGUUCUGGAAGCCUCUGAAGGAAGAGGACGGCGCCUCUUAAGCUUAGCCAUGAGCUUCUCAUGGUCUCCCAAAAUUCUUUCAUUGGAGACCUGCAGCAUGUCUAGCCUUCUCAGUGUAUCAACAGAGUAUGAACUCACCAGUUUCAACAAGGCAUUAUUCUCUCCUUUAAGUUUCUCAACCUCCUGUUGAGACUCAUGAAGCAUUCUUUGGAGAGACAAAUUUUCAGUAGCUAACCUCUCAACCUCGUUUGCUCUGGCACGCAAACGAUCAGCCAUGUUAGAAACAGAAACAGCACUCUGAAUGCUAAAAGCCAUUGAGUCAUUAAUAGCCUCUUCCUCUGAUCUCCCUGUCAACAACAUUUCAUCCAUUGGAGUAAUGAAAUUCCUAGCUACUAUGACAGCAGUAGCAUCAUUCAUCAUCACAGAAUCAUUAACUGUGAGAUGACGAUUUUUGGAUACAAAGGAUGGACGCCAAACUUGGGCGUCACUGGUUGUUGUGGGAGCAUCAUUUAAAUUGAAAUAAUUUGGGCAGGAAGAAGAUGAAGCCAUUUUUAAGAAGGUUUCGAAGAAAGCCUUAGGAAAACUAAAGUUUCAGAAAAUGAAGGAAGUUAAGUUGAAACGCAGUUGCCCCAAUCAAGGUUUGCAAAGGCAAUAUCUAUAAGAGGAAAUAUGGCUACUGUUUUUCAGGAUCCCAAUAUCUUCUCGGAUCCCCAUAUUUCUCUUUUUCUUUCCUAGAGUCCAAAACUUCACGUGGCCUCUAAUAAUGCCUGUCGGCACUUUCGGCGUUUUCAAGUAUUAUUUUCAAAGCCGAUCUUACUUUACGGAUUUCACAGAACUACUUUUUCAAAAGUAUCCCGAGAAUCUCGCAAUUUUCCUAUGGUUAAUUUGAAAUUCACCGGUUCUACCUAUUCAUUGUAUUUGUGUAUAAAUGUGUUACUAACGAAAUUUCCUUUGCAGAAGACAUCCAGUUUACUCCAUACGUAGUGAUGCGAUAUUUACUUGUUUUUCUUAUCAGUAAGCACUUAAUAUGCCUGAGAAGCAAGACUAUCUCUGAUCAUCCAUCCAGGAAGCAAGACUAUCCCUGAUCAUGUUUCUGCAAGAUCAGGGAAUUGUAAAGGCGGCCUUAUGCUCUAAUCUCCUGAGGUCCUUCUAGACUAGGAGAUAUGAGAGCUUAUUGUCUGCUCCCACCAGCUUCCUUCCCUGAUUGCUUACCUUCUCUUGCAAUCAAUAUCACAAUCUUUUUGCAUUUUUUCUCUUUUUAUAACUCUCUGUUCAUAAGAGAUUUUAUUUCUUUAGAAUGAACAUCUGAAGAAUGAAUCCAUGAAGUAAUCCUAACUAUGAGGGUUAUUUGUUUUGACAGAGGCAAAAGAGUUGUGAUUUUUGCUCUUGCAGGAUAUAACUAGAUCAUCAAGUGCUACAUUAUAUUUACUGGGCUGAUAUGAGCUUGAAUGAUACUUGAGAAAAGUUUCUCCCACCUAAGGAUGUAAGCAAUACUUGUGUUAUUUUAUGCUUAUAUACCUAUUUGAUAUUUUAUCUUGAAAGGUAACCAAAUGGGGAGAUAAGUCCGUUCCAAAAGAAUGACUUGUAUGUAUCCAUGAAUUAUUAAUGCAAAUUUUACAGAUUGCAAGUUGGAUACAUUGAUAAUACACUGCACAGAUUAAAAAUCCCAUCAGAACAUAACAUGGGUAUAGCAGUGAUCAAUAUGAUGCACGCCUGUUGCGUAGCAAAUGAUGUGGAUUGAAGUCCCAAAUGGACAAUCCUUUGACAUGUCAAUAUUGAUAUUAUGCACGCCUAAUGCGUAGCAAAUUAUAUGGGUUAAAGUCCCAUAAUACGGGUUAAAGUCCCAUAAAUUAAUUGACAUGUAUGUAUUAAUCUGUGGCAUGCCUGUAGCAUGACAGAUAUAUGGGUUCUAAAUGUUCCAACUCCCUAACUGGAGAUUUUCCACGCCAUACUAUAAAAUAACGCUCCAUUGGAGGUUAUAAUCCACAUUCUCACAUAAUAAAAGCCCCCUGAAGUGGCUUGGGUACCCAAAAGCAAAGAAAUGCUUAUAAUUGAUGCAUGCGCAUGCAAAUGAGAAUGGUGAGAUCAUGAAUUGAUGAAUGACAAUUUUUGAUUUUGGAGUAGCUACUCAAAUCAUCAAUGGGCUGUGUUGAUUGGAACCACGUUCAAUUAUUAAAUGUCGACAAUAUCAUUGGCCAAAAUGGAAAGAGGUAAUUCCAUUAUAAAUGAGAAUGAACGUGAAAGAACAAACCCACAAUACGAACCCCAAAAUUUGUUAAUACUGAAAGUUAUACUUGGGUGUUCGGAAUAAAAGGGAAUAUACCUACUUUGUAUGACACACUGUUUCUGGCAGAAACAAGGAAUGUUGGGUUUUUCUCCAUAUUUACAGAUUCAAUUGUGCCCCCCUUAUUACACAAUUACGGAGACCAACAUAUUAUCUUUAAGGGUUAUUAAAUGAACAGAGCAUAUCACCUGAAGUGAUUCCCUAAAGAUGUAUAAAAAGCUGGGUUAAAGCUAUAUAAUGUGUCAUAAAACUUAAUCCCUUUUAGACAAAAUCCGUUGAGAGGAUUAUCAUUACUCAAUAUUAAUAUGCAUAAAUUACCUCAGUGAGUACAUUGAUGUGAUUGCAACACAUUAAAAAUUCUGCAGAAUUCACGAAAUAUUUGUCUCGACUUAAGGAUCGAGCAUUGUGCCAACGAGAUUCUUGUUUAUACUAAGAAAGUAUUGAAGCAUUUUUAUGAGGAUUAUCCGUUGGUCCUUAAAUAUUUUUCCGGAAGUAUACUAGACCAGAUAGAGCUCAGCUCCACACUGUACUCUUUUUCCUUCAUCCAGGUUUUUAUCCCAUUGGGUUUUUCCUGGUAAGGUUUUAACGAGGCAGUGUAGCUCAAGGGUUUAGGGUAUACUAUGAAAAUUUUAGUGGUCGCUUACUGGACAGAAGCUAGUCCUAAAUUUUUCAGGGGAAGAUAUUCACCAGGGGGAGAAAGGUCUUAAUAAAGACCUUCAUACACUGUACUCUUUUUCCUUCAUCCAGGUUUUUAUCCCACUGGGUUUUUCCUGGUAAGGUUUUAACGAGGCAGUGUCGCUCCAGAUUGACUCACAGCAGCAGUGUCAACUACGAUAUUCAGAAAGGUGAUCAACAGUAUGACUUAAAGAUAUUUUGCCAAGCAUCAGGGGGAGCGUGCUAUCAAUAAAGAUCUUCAAACACUGUACUCUUUUUUCCUUCGUCCAGGUUUUUAUCCCACUGGGUUUUUCCUGGCAAGGUUUUAACGAGGCAGUGUCGCACGCGCGCCAAUACACUUAGAAUUUUAUGUUACACAUUAUUAUGUACUCUUUUUCCCUUUGACCAGUUUUUGUCCCACUGGGUUUUUACUGGCAAGGUUUUUAACGAGACAUAUUCCAUAUCAUUUGUGGUCUCCAAGGGGGAGUGUUGUAAAUAUGUUAGGUGGAGCCCACCUCCAAUUGGGAGAAGCUUCCUCGAAGCUUCCUCCAAUUGGAAGCUUCCUCCUCUGUUUGCCUACAAAGAAGGGAUCACCCUUCCUAUGUAAUCGGAGUAUGGAAUAAUACAAUGGAAAAGAACGGAAACACAGAUUGAAUGAGGAGAAAAUUCUCCCUCCUCUCUAUCUCAAUUUUCUUCUCCAAUUUCUUCAGUUUAUAACAAUGUUCAAGUUCUUGCCCAUUACUUGCAGAUAUAUAGUGUUGUGUAGCAUAAAGGCUCCAACAUAUGCAAUUCCAUCAAGGCCUGCAGGCCAAUCACUGCUUUCUCUUGGAUAUUCCAAACAUUUGUAGAGCCAUAAUGAAAACUUGGUAGGCAAACCCAAAUACUUGCAUUGACCAUUUGCUUAAACUUGAUAGGCUAGCAAGGGGCUUGUAGCUCAAGCAAUUAAGAGCAUCUAUCUCUGAACUCGAGGUCCUAAAUGUGAUUCCGACAAACAAAAAACUUGGUAGGCCAGACCCAAAUGAACCUGGUUUUCAUAAACUUGUUUGUCAGCUUGAUAGUGGCUUAUUAGAAGUCCAAAUUGGUUGGGAAAGUAAUGUCCACCAAUUUUAGCAGAUACCUUUUUGGACAAUGUUGAACAGAGCACUUAACUUGAUUGUUAAUGACUAGGGCCCCUGAUAACACACAGAGAGAGAGAGAGAGAGAGAGAGAAGAGAGUUGAAGAAGAAAGAGAGUAUUUUUAGAGAGAUUUGUAUAUUGAUCUUUUCAUCAUGACUGAUUACAAUAAUGACUCUGUUAUAUACAGAGUUGAAGAAGAAACAUUCGGAUGAUCCCGGAAGCAAAUGAUCGACAAACGUCAAUGUGCAAUAUUGAACUUUGGGUUAAAGUAGCUUGAAUUCCACCAACAUCAUGACAUUGUACGACCUUUGUACUGAUGGAGCCCAGAAGCAAAUGAUCGACAAACGUCUAGAUCCAAGAACAAUCAAAUGAGAACGACAAACAUCUAGAUCCAACUUCCAAGAACAAGCAAAUGAUCGACAAACAUCUAGACCUAUUUAAUAAUGCAGUCCCGCUCACCUAAGGUCCUAAAAAUGAGGUCCUGUGAGGUCCUCUUUAAAAACGGCCCUUAAAUUAAUGUAACGGCCCAUAUCUUCAUUAUAAUGAAGGUGUUUGCUUUGAAUGUUCAACGGUAGAGUGGGAUGAGCCAGGGUGUUGUGGUAAACAGAACAGGGUUAGUUCAUGGGAAAUUGAGACUCACUGAAAAUUCAUAUUUCCUUCUCUGCCUUUGAGUCUUAAACGACCAUUACACUCUGUAUUCUUGGGUAAGUUUUUUAUUCUGUUUCCAAGCAGGGAAGUCUGUUACACGUUUUUUUAAUGACUUUUUUGUGCUACUAGGAGCAGAAACUGAGUGGGGAAAUUUGAUUAAAAGACGAUACAUUCGGGUUCCUGAGAUUGGAAAUGGGAACUCUUUUCCUUACUCGAUUUCAAAUCUAUGUUUGGAACAGCUAGUCAAUAUGCUACUGAAACCUCAACUUGUUAAUCAUGCUUGAACUUUAGCUGCUCUACAACAGCAAUCGGCUGCUAAUGGAGAUUUAAUAGCAGAUAUGAAGACCAUGCAAGCCAAACUCAACCAAAAGAAUCCGGGUGUCUUUUCAGAAGGUAUAUCUCUACCGAAUCAAAACCCUCCCCAAUCAUCUAUGGAUCAAUCCAAAGUGCGGCGCAACUACAAACUAGCCCACGGCCUAUGCAGCCGCCUUUGGAAUCAUUACUCUACCGCCUUUGGAAUCAUUACUCUAAGAGAUUUCUCAGAUGAGAGCAACAAUCAAAGUGGGAUUUACGGAACGUUGCUGUUGGUAGUGGUGUUAGCACUGUUAUUGACCCUUCUGUUUUCUACACUAAAGAAUGCAGAUUUCCACAACCCCUCAGAUUGCUUGGUUGGUAACCUGAGCUCGAGCCGGGAUCUUCAGUCUCAGUUUACCUCCGGCCCAGUUUACCUCCGCCCGCCUAGGCGACUCCCAGGCUUUCUCCAGGCAAGACCAGGCAGACAACUCAGGCCAUGCUAACAAGCUAGGAUCAGAGGUCAUACAUAUUUGAGUGCUAAAAUACAUCAAAUAUUGAAUGCCUUAAUACAUUCAAGAAUACACUAUGAUUCUUUCAUUUCCUAACAAUUCAUUGUCCAGAGAACAGAACAGCUAAUAUCUCCUAAAGUAGAAAUCAAGAAAUAAAAUAGCUUUUAAAUUACACAACAGAUUCUACCCCCAGCUUGCUUGCAGUAACAAAAAUAAGCAAUUGAUGACGCCCUUAUUGCGACGUUGAAGGAAUUUCACGAGGAUGUUAAAAAGUAAUGAAGCCACACAAAUUGUGCACGUCAUGUCAAAAAUUAGCUCAAGUAAUUACAAGAUAUUCACAUUGAAUCCAUACAGAAAUACCAAAAGCAGCAGAUGACACACAUAUCAAGCACGUCGCUUACUAAGACGCCAAGAGUUAGGUUCAUGGUAUCUAUCAUAUAGCGGUUCAAUACGUUCUUGACGCUUGCGCUUGCUCAUCUUGGUGGGAUCUGCCACUUUGAAGAACCUGGGUGCCAGUUCCACAAGCCAUUUGGGGUCGACAACCGUCACCUCGCGCAUGUACUCCUUUGUGGUCAUAACCAGCUCAUGGUAGAUCACCCAAUCUGGUUGUCUCUGGAAGAGGGCGCUGCUUGGGUGUAUAUAAACUGGUUGGUUCUCCACUAGGGUUCUAUAACCCUCCUGCGGGUCCUUUCUAGCACCGUGGAAGAAAAACCCUGCUGUAAUUGCCUUCCUGAUCUUUGUAAAAUUCUUUCCAGCACUGACAACAUCUAGUUUAUACCUGAAAUUCACAAUCUAUAGUCAGAAUGCAAUUUCAUCUUCAAAUCAGAAUACUCAACUCAGAAAUCGUUGAUCACUGUUAUAAACUAAAGCAAGGGGUGCUAGUAGAGACAUUGGCAUGACAAUCUUUAUAAUAAUCUAUCCUAGAGCUUACAUGACAAUGCUAUGUCAAUCGAAGAAAUCUGUUAAUGGCGAUGGUAGGAUGUGUAAUAUGCCAUCUGAAUUUCCAUAUCAACUUAUAAAACAGUUUUGCAAUAUUUUGUACAAACAACACUUGACCAAGAAAAACAAUUCCAGUAUCAAAAUAACUAACAUGUCCGCACAAGAGAGCACAUUUGAAGAGCAUAUACUGGCAAUUUAGCUAUACACAAAAGGGUAGUUAUAAUUUAUAAAGAUACUAUACUUAACCACUGAAAAAAUGGUGGAAAAAAGCACUUCUGCUAAUAAUGCUCUGAAAACAGUGUAUGAGGUAACAUCAACAUGACAAUUCGUAAUCACCUAUUCGCUGCUCAGGUACCAUAUAUCUAGAUUUUAAAACACAAACUAGGCCUGAACAACAUUUCAGCAUUUCCGUCAAGUACAGACAGCAAAAGGCAUGCCUAAUUCACGACUACUGCAAAAAUACAAUGUGCCAAACAUGAGCAAACCUAGAACAUUAAUCUACAUCUUUUAAAACCAUUCAUGCAAACGUGAAACCAGAAAAAAAGAUCCAUACAACCACGAGUACACAUCAAGAUAAAUUAGAAGAACAUACUUGUCCAUGAUGCUGAGAAGCUGUUUUCUGACAUCCUGUGCCCUCCUCAAGGAUCGAGACUGAACAAAAUUCUCAAAACACCAUGGCCCUGAAAAAUUCUUAGCUUUCCAUGCCUCAUAGACUGCAAGUAAAGUCAGAUGAUCUCCCUCUGGCUGGAAAAACUUGGCUCUCUUCUGAUCUGCCUGGGCUUGUUUUUCCCUAGGCCUGUAAAAAAUAUUACCAGUCUGAAUCAUUGCAAUGAUGGUCAAGAUCUCAUCACUGCAUCCAAGGUCCACACUGGCCAGUAGCAUCUUAGACAAGGGUGGAUCCAGAGGAAACUCAGCCAUUUUCCUACCCAAUUUGGUGAGCAGCCCCUCCUCAUCCAGUGCUCCUAAACUGUACAAUUGUUCCAUGGCAGAAAUGAGUGCUUGGGGUGAAGGAGGAUCCAUAAAAUCAAAAGACAAGAGAUCAUUUAUCCCCAUAGCUUUCAUCGUAAGUGUAGUAGUCCCAAGAUUUAUCCUCUGGAUUUCUGGAAUUGAAGUAGGGGACAUCUCAUUGCGGUAUGCACUCUCAGUGUAGAGGCGGUAACAUUUCCCAGGGCCUGUACGCCCAGCACGCCCAGCUCGUUGCUUAGCUGAUGCUUGGGAAAUUGGAGUUAUGACCAGUGAAUCUAGCCCCUGCUUUGGGUUAUAAACAUUUUGCUUUGCAAAACCAGGAUCAAUGACAUAAAAUAUCCCAUCAAUGGUCAGUGAUGCCUCAGCAAUAUUAGUAGCCACAACUACUUUCCUCUUACCUGGUGGGGCAGGAUCAAAUAUCCUUGACUGCAUUUCACUAGGAAGGGCACUAUACACUGGUAGGAUAAUCAACUCAGGGACAUUUUUACCAAGACCUUUCAUCCUCUCAUAAAGAGACUGGCAUGCAAAAUCAAUCUCUUCUUGUCCAGUCAAGAAAAGAAGGAUGUCACCUUCAGGUUCUGUCAAGUGUAUUUGUAGAACAGUUAUUAGAGAUGCAUCAAGGUAGUCGCUUUCCGGCUGUUUAGUGUAGAGUAUCUCUACAGGAAAAGUUCUCCCAGGGAUAGUGAAGAUGUUACAGUUAAAGAAAUAACCGGAAAACUUCUCCGCAUCCAAGGUAGCAGAUGUGACAAUCAAACGAAGGUCUGGUCUCCGCUUCACAAGCUUCUUCAGUAGUCCAAAAAGAACAUCUGUGUGGAUUGUCCUCUCAUGAGCUUCAUCAAGCAUGACCACAGAAUACUGAGAAAGGUUCUCAUCAAUCAAAAUCUCCCUAAGAAGCAUACCAUCAGUCAUGUACUUGAUGACAGUGUCUGGACCAGUGCAAUCCUCAAAACGAAUUGCAUAGCCGACUUCCUCUCCUAAACGACAACCAAACUCUUCAGCAACCCUCUUGGCCACAGACAUAGCAGCCACCCUACGUGGCUGUGUACAACCAAUCUUACCCAUUGUCGUGUAACCCGCUUCUGCAAGAUACUGCGUUACCUGUGUUGUCUUACCCGAACCAGUCUCACCAAUGACGACAAGCACUUGGUUCUCAUGCACCGCUGCAAUCAAUUCUUUCUUCAGCUUGUAGAUAGGCAAGCUCUGCCUCUGUUCCUGGAUUGAGAGUUUUGACCUCUGCCCAAAACUGAUAGUUUUCCCAAAAGCAUCCUUCUUCCACUCAGGCAUAUCAUAUGCUGACAAACCAACACCUCUAAGUUCUUGUGCAAGAUGCCUCUCACCAGUCUCUGGCAUUGGAUCUUCCCAGGGACGAUUGAGAUCCUUUGGGAUAGAAUCCAACAUGGUUCUCUGCUGCUGCUCACGCACUUCUCUACGCUCCUUAAUGAGUGCGGACUGAAGUGCAGCUGCACGACCCAGUGACCCUUCUGGAUUCUUAAAGAUUUUCACAGGUGACAUAUCAACAGAAUACCUGCUCUGUCCAUUUAAAAAGGCUGGCUCGUCCUCAUUGAGCUCAAUCUCAAGCUCUUCCUCAGCUCCCUCUUCUUGAUAAAGCAUCCCAUCGGUUUCCUCAUCAUACAUAGGAUACUCUGUAACACCCAAAACACCUGAGGCAAUCAACUGUUUGGCUUCCCACUUCUCUGGCGAGCUCAUUCUCUUCAAUGGCCGACGUGAUGGGCCAACAUCAUCCUCUUCCACAAUCCUAAUCCCAGAAAGACCAGUCCUAGUCACAGGUCCAUCCUUUGAAAAAGAUGGGUUCGUCCUAAGAGCAUCAUCCUCUGAGCUCUUCUUCAAGGGGAGCAAAUCCUUCCCUGUAUGUUGAUCAACAUCCCUCAUUGAAAGGCUCAACUUCUGACCUGAAAUUGAAAUCACCUUCACAUAAACUUCCUGAUCCCUCUUCACCACAUCCUUAGCAUUGCUAAUUCGCCUAGUUGCCAUCUGUGAAACGUGAACCAGACCCUCCUUCCCUCUUAAAUCAUUCAACUGAACAAAACAACCGGUGUCCAUCACUCUCGAAACCCUGCCCUUAUAAACCUGAUACAAUUCGGGCUCAUCCGAAUGGUUCUGGCCGUUCUGCCGAUCCCUAUUACCUCUCCUAUCAUCACCAUCUUCCUUAACAUCUCCAUCGUCUUCAUACCUAUCUCUCUUAUGCUUAUUGUAUCGAUCUGUAUGCCUUCCCCUGUCAUCAUCAUCAUCAUUAUAAUGUGUAUCUCUGCGCCUCUCAUCUCUAUCAUACCUUUCCCUUCGCCUCUCCCUCCCAUCUCUAUCUCUACCUCCUCUGUGUCUAUCUCGAUCUCUAUCUCUAUCUCCUUCCCUAUAUCUAUCACUACCUCUACGCCUAUCUUCUUCUCGCUCUUCAUCUUGUUCUUCUCUUCUGUUUCGCUUUUCCUUGGUCUCCAUCUCAAUUUCCUUCUCGAUGUCCUUGACUCUAUCUUUAUUAUCAGCGACUGCCAAAGCCUUAAACUUGGUCUUCCUACCAUCAGAAGCGCUCUCUUUCUUCGAGUCCUUCUCAGGCUUUGGCUUUGGUGGAAGAAUAGCGUGAAUGAUAGUGAGGAGUGUACGGACAAAGUAAUCGGGCAUCUCGGCACCGUUUUUCUUUAAUUUGGUGUCAAACUCGUCCACCGUCUCGCACUUUCGUCCCAACUCAGUGAUGAACUCCGCCAGAACUUUGUCCCCAACCCCUAUAUGGGUUUCGAGCUCUGAACAGACCUUGGAAACCAAGGAAAGGUACUCGAGCUUCUUCAAACCAUCGUCAGUGGCAGCCAUUAUGAACUUGCAGAGGUCCUAUUCAUAUUCAAUACAAAAACAAAUCAUAUCAAUAGAAAUUUCAAAAUUUAUGAGAAGAUGCAUAAACCGUAUAAUAUUAACUUGCACAGGCCCUAUUCAUAUUCAAGACAAAAAAUUCAUAUCAACGGAAAUUUCAAAAUUUAUGAGAAGAUCAUUGCUAUAUACUUUUAAUCAGUAGCAUAAAGUUCAAAAUUCAUGAAUGAUAAAUUUAUCACAAAAAAAGAAACAAUUUCUACAACUUCAAACUCACCCAGCAAAAAAUAAAAUUUAAAUCUAAAAUUGCAUACCAGGAGGAUCUGGAGAGUUAAUUCAACUAAUAAUAAAGUAAACUUGGAAUGCCAAAGCAAAUUCAACUAAAACCCUGUAGAACCCAGGAAAUAAGAAACGGAAGAGAAUAAAAAAGAAAUAUGAAACAAAAUCAAGGAAACUGAUCGUUGCUAAAGGGUGGAUCUUAAAUAUGUGAUGGGAUGGGGUCCAAGAUUAGAAUAUAUUGCAGUAAGACAUCAUACUUGGGAUGAGAUGAGAUCAAAGAUGGUUGCGCAUCAACCGUUGUCGCUGUCGAGAGAGAGGAGAGAUGAGCAAUAUGUAUAUGGCGGGAAGACGGCGUCGAAAAAUGGAGGAGUUGACGGUUGAGAUGGGCGGAUUGUUCGUCGCUGACGGCUGGAGCGUUUCUGUUUCAAAAAUAAUCUCAACUGAGAGGGGGGAUUUUAGCGAUUAGGGUUGAGAACUUGAGUUGGAGUGCACCGGCUGUAUCGAUACGCCUAAAUUUGGACCUGUGAAACUAGAGAAAAUAAUAUAAUAAUAAUAUCAUUUAUCUUUCCAAAGGCCAAAAACUUAUAAGUAAAAAUUUAAUAAAUUACAGAGAAACUUUAGUAAAUAGAAGAAUAUUAGGUAUGCAAUAAAAAGAUGAGGAAAAUUUUGGAAAAUAUAGUUAGUGGAGAUUUUUUUUUUUUUUUUAUACAAACAAUAAUCUAGUUUUUUUAUUUUUAUAAUCAUUCUAGGCCUACUUUAAUUUUUAUUUUUUAACAGCUAAUAGGAUAUUGGCACAUGAGUUGAUCUAUAGUAUUUUUUUACUACUUUUUGUUAGGUUAUUUUUAAUUUAAAUAUUCACUAGCCUCUUUUCACGCUCUUCUGCUUCUGUGAGAGGCUUUUUUAAAAAAAAAAUUGAAUUUAUUUUAGAAUUAAAAAAGAUAAUGAGUAGUUGUGUUCUAUAAAAAUAGGAUCCAUUAUCUGAUUUUUCUUUUAAUUUUAAUCUUUUUAAUAUGAAAAAAUGUGAAUUUACCAUAUUAUUCUCAUUUAAUUAAUAAUUUCAAUUCUUAAUGUUUGCAUUAAUCAAUGACAUUUUCUGGUAUUUUAAAUAUUUUAUCAUUCUCUACCUUUUGCUUUGUAUAUAUGGAUAUAGAUAAUAAUAAAAUACUCCCUUUCAUUGAGAUAUUGUUAUGCUUAAAAUCGUAUACACACCACAUUGUAUUGAAAUGUUAUAGUGACUAAACUCUUCAAGUAUCUUGCAAUUAUCAGAUAAGGAGUUAGUAAUCACAUAGGAAAAUAUUCAAUUUAUAUGUUUCUGGUUAUAAUAGUCAUGAUGCAUUUCACACCUUUUGCUGGUCUAGUCAAUACUGUUAUACUUCAGAAUUCCAAUAACGCUACGGGCACCAACUUAUUUACCAACUUUUGGAUACCAACACAUGUGGCACAUGACAUGGCAACCCAUGUCAUCUGCCAUCUCAUCUAUUUUAAUUACAAAAUUAACAAAGUGAGAAUGAACAAAAAAUAAUUUUGGUGGAUUAUUAUCGCGUUUGGAGUGAGUUUGGGUGUUUGAUUUGAUUUUGAUUAUUUAAUAAUACUAUUUUGGCCAUUGGAUUUGAUUUUGAGACAUUGGAAUUUUUUUUUUUUUGGUACAGUUGGAUUUGCUCAAAUUAAAUCUUAGCCAUUAUAUAUAACGAUAGAAAUUAAUUGGAAAAGAAAACGAAACAGUAGUUUGAAGGAAGCCGUUGGAUUCCUACGAUCCUUUCAUCCCAGCUCGUUAUGUGUCCUGACAACACGGGCCCCACGUCUUCUCAUCCAUUAAUCCCAACUCAAUGAACUUCCUUUUCAAACCCAACAAAAAAGAAAAAAAAAAAAAAAAGCGAUCUGAUUUGAAUGCACUUCUUUAUCAUGCAUUUUGUCCAGGAUAGGGGACUGAUUUUCCAGGCCAAGUGCGCAAAACAGUAGAGAUUUUAAAAUCAACUUUCCGAACGUAAAAUUAAAGUGGCUCGUUUAUGAAAAAGUUUCCCUCCCAUCUCCUCCUACUUUUCCCUCCUCACUCCCCUAGAAGAAUACCGGUAUAUAUUUUUCAUUUUCGGAAUUUCCAUUUUGUCUCAACUCAAACGUCAUUUGCUCUUGUCAUCCUCCUCCUUCAAUCCAACCCGCAUCCAUUGUUAGCUCGAAUCUUCUAAAACUACUACUUCGUUGUAAUUGGAUAUUAUUGAUUUGAUGGGUAGAGAGCAAGCUUAUGUUGGUGACGAUAUUGAUGAAAGUAAGUUCAAGACUUCGGAAGCAAUGAACCGCUACAAGAUAAUCUUCAGUGUUCAAGCUGUGACGGUUGAGCGGGAGGUCAAAUUGAGUGACUUCGAGGAUCUUGGGCUUCCUAGAAUCUUCAAAUCAAGAGGUUGGCUUUUGGCAAUGGGUCCUUCAGAGCCUACUAAUAUCCAGAUUGUCCAAGAAUUCUACGCAAACAUUCCUCCUUUCUCCGCCGAGCAGAAAACCUCACCUGGGUUGGGCCCUUUUGGUUCUUGUUUGUGGGAUGAGACUCUGCAUUUCUCUAGCGGUCGAGAAUACCCUGACUCAUUUGAUGUGUAUUUGCGAGGUAAGGUGUUAAAUUUCUCUGUUUCUGGCAUUGCCCAGUUACUUAAACUUACUAGGGCAAACCCAAAUGAAAAAUCACCUGGUUUUCCUGGGCUUGUUGUUGAUAAUCUUGACUUGAAGGUGGUGAAAUCUACUUUGGGUUGGAACAAGAGGGUCAGGGUUUUGCGUGAAAAUCGACUGAGUGAUUUGUACAAAGUGCUUAACAGCAUAGUGAGAUAUAAUAUCGAUCCUCCUUGUCACGUUAUCCCUUCUUUGCUUAGCAUUGAUAGAGCUCGCCUUCUUUAUGCCAUUGGGAACAAUGUACCUACUGAUCUGGCCACCUACAUUUUUCGUGCCAUCUGCCGUGCUGCAUUCCCAACUUCCAUGCCCGACUCCCUGCCUUUUACUUCCUUGAUCACACGCUUCGCCAUGGCUUCUCACGUGCCAGUUGAGCCUACGGAUAAGCUUUAUUCUCCUUGGUCGCCUUUGGACAACGUGGAUAUUUUUGGCUAUAGCUUUACUCCAUCUUCUCCGGCAGUCAAGCAACCUCAAGCCGUGGUGAGCCACACGCCCAGUAUGGCCAUACUUACCAAUGGCGUUGCUGAGCACAGGGGUGAUGUGCACCCCGUUUCCACCCACUCGGUCAUCCCACCUUCUUCGAAACAGCCAUCUGCAGGUCAGUCAAAUGUUAAUAGACAGACAUUAACAACAACAAAUGUAAUUUUCCUUAGAUUACACUUGGACAUUCAGCUUAUUACUGUAAAAUGCAUAGGCCCUUAUUGUUUUUAAGUGCAGGUGGUAAAAAUUUCCGAGGGUUUUCGUUGGUAGCAUCAUAGUUAGUAACAGAGUUGAACUUAUAGUAAGCAAUUAGGCAUCAAACAUGGCACGUUUCUGUGAUUAGUACUUAUGUCCUUCAAUUGUGUAUAUAUUGUUUGCAUGGUAAGUGGAAACCUUUAGAAGAUAAGCUCUCUGUUUGAAAUCACAUCUGUAUUCUUUUAAGGUUUGGUGUGAAGGAUAAACCAUGAAGUAGUCUACUAAUGCGAUAAUGGCUCAUAUUUUCACAUUUUCCUGUCUUCGUUGCCUCUGUUCUUGAAAACGUAUAAAGUGAUGGAGAGGUCUUAUUAUUUUUGGAAAAUAUUACAAUGUUCCCACAUCCCUGUAAUCUGUAUUUGACAGUGUACAUUGAUAAUAAAAUGAACGACUCAGAUACUUCAUGUGACAAUGAGGUAUGAACUUCAUCACAUUUUGUCUCUUUAAGGUUAUAAUAGUCACGAUGCAUUUCACACCUUUGCUGGUUUAGUCAAUGCUGUUAUACUUCAGAAUUCAGAUAGAUUAGAAUCAGAUGAUUGCUUUCUCUCUGCUUGUUACCAAAUACUCUGUCAGUUUAAUAUCUUUGUGUGUAAACAAUAUAAGAAAAACGAAUCUUUUCUCUUGUGCUGUUUUUGCUCUCUUUGAUAUUUACUUUCUCUCUGUGCUUGUGCUGAAGAAAUAAUGGAGGCUGAAGAAGAAAAUAACAGCAAUUUGAUUCCUAACUCACAUGCUUGUAUAAAUCCAUUAACUUCAACUUCUGACUCGCAUCCAAAUAAGAAAGUGAAAAAAGAUCCAUUGGAACAUGCAGCUGGUGAGGUGUCAAAGUUACUGCUGAGUGGUUUCAAAGAUACCUAACGUCAGUAGAUUGCAAGUUUUUAAAGCUGUACGCAUAAUAUUGAAUGGUAACCCAGAAGAAUUCUCUCUACUGAUACUCUUCCUGAUGUUGAGAAGACAAAGUGGAUACUCUUACUAAUUAGUCAAUCUGAAGGUAACUUUCUUGAUAAAAAUUGAGCCAAUAGCUCAGGGGAUAUAAAAUAGGUCUUAGACAUAAAGCCACUUAUCAACAUUUACUUUCUCUCAGGAAAAGAAGAAAGUUUGAGAUACGCUAUCCCUUCUGGCCAUGGUAUGGCUCUCUCUCUCUCUCUCUCUCUCUCUCUGUCUCUCUCUGUGUCUCUCUCUCUCUGUCUCUCUCUCUCCCUCUAACUUAAUUUCUAGUUCUGCAUUUGUUGUUUUAAUUUUAUGCUUUUAACAUGUCAAACCAAUACUUCACUCUGUAAGAUUACUACUUAAUAUCUAGAUAGAAGAGAGAUUUGAACUGAAAUAUCCCAAUUGUAAAUCCUUCUACUCCAAAUUAAAGAGAAAAAGAAAAGUAUGAACCAAUUGGACAGAAUAUACUUGCACAUACUCCCUCCUUGAAUGAGUUUCAGUAAGAAAGCUAGUGUAGCCAAUUGGACAGAAUUUACUUGCACAUACUCCCUCCUUUGAUGUAGUUUCCAAGUGCAUCACCUUAUGAUACCUCUUCAUGUUUUCAAUUAGUAUUGGCUUGUGACAUGCCAAUUUUCUGAGCUUUUAGGGUUCAAUUAUGUAGAUAGAAGAGAGAUUUGAACUGAAAUAUCCCAAUUGUAAAUCCUUCUACUCCAAAUUAAAGAGAAAAAGAAAAGUAUGAACCAAUUGGACAGAAUAUACUUGCACAUACUCCCUCCUUGAAUGAGUUUCAGUAAGAAAGCUAGUGUAGCCAAUUGGACAGAAUUUACUUGCACAUACUCCCUCCUUUGAUGUAGUUUCCAAGUGCAUCACCUUAUGAUACCUCUUCAUGUUUUCAAUUAGUAUUGCCUUGUGACAUGCCAAUUUUCUUCAAUGAUUAUAUACAGGGAGCAGAGUGGCCAAUUCUUUCCUUUCAUAAUUCAACAUCUUGUUCUGGGCACAUGGUAGAAGAUGCCUUCUUGUAAACAGACUUUUUGUAUUUGGUCAGGCUUGCAAUGCUCUAUUUUGUGGAUUUUAAGAUUGUAUUAGGCUUACUUGUGAGCUGCAAAAUGCCUUGUACCAAAGUUUAUGUAUAAAAUGUGUGCUAAAUCUUGUGUGUGGAGUACAAGAUUGAAGGUCUUCCUGGAAAAGCAAUCACAAGCAUUUUCUCUUUUCAAUUUGUAGAAAUGUUCAAGUUCUUGCCCAUCACUUGCAGAUAUAUAGUGUUGUGUACCAUAAAGGCUCCAUCAUAUGCAAUUCCAUCAAGGCUUGCAGGCCAAUCACUGCUUUCUCUUGGAUAUUACAAACAUUUGUAGAGCCAUAAUGAAAACUUGGUAGACAAACCCAAAUACGUGCAUUGACCAUUUGCUUAAACUUGAUAGGCUAGCAAGAGCUUGUAGCUCAAGUGGUUAAGAGUAUCUAUCCUUACACUUGAGGUCCUAGAUGUGAUUCCCUCCUCCCAAUAUCGCUUGUAACCAAAAACAAGCAAAAAAACUUGAUAGGCCAGACCCAGAUGAACCUGGUUUUCAUAAACUUGUUUGUCAGCUUGAUAGUGGCUUAUUAGAGUCCAAAUUGGUUGGGAAAGUAAUGUCCACCAGUUUUAGCAGAUACCCUUUGAGACAAUGUUGAACAGAGCACUUCACUUGAUUGUUAAUGACUAGGGCCCCAAGGGUAUGUUCUUGGUAUGUUACCUUAGGCCUAAGAUACUCUGUCUGUCAGAAGAGAAGAAUGGAGAAGAGGGUGAACAGUGCACGAGAUUGCUGGGUUUUUGCAAGUUAGAGAGAUGAAGAAGGUGGAAAAAUAAGGCACAAAUGGGAAGAUAGCUUGCAUUCUUCUUAUUUUUAACAGACUUUUAUAUAUACCCUACAACGUAAACUAGAAAAUAAUUAUAUAAAAUAAUGAAAUUCCAAAACUCUUUUGGAUCUGAAAGUCUAAAGGUUUUCAUUUCUUCAGUUUUCCUCUCACUCUUUGGUUCUCCAUCAAUUUAUUUUUCAUCAUUCUCUCAUCUCAUCCCUCCUUUACAUGUAUGCAAUCAUUGUAUAUUAAAUGAGGAGAAGUGAGGAGAUGAGUAGAGCUGGGUUCAGGGUUGGUGACAAAGAAAAUGAAAUCAAUCAAUGAUGGAGAUAGAUGUCCAAAGAAAAAUAUUUUGAUGAAGUAGAGAAAUUGUAUUUUUGGGAAGAGUUGAGUGUCUAGAGAAUGGUGAGAAUAAAAAUAGAAACCCAUUGAAACACCGAGUGUAAACAGAAUUCUUGGUAAUAUGAAAUUUCUCUUUCACAUUCAAGGAGUCAAAUCACAUGAAAAGUUUAUGAAGGAACUAUGUUGUAACUACUCUUAACAACUUGAGCUAUACGUGUCAAGUUAGAUCUUCAAUAAUGUAGUAACACACUCUUCAAUAAUGUCUCACAAUGUUAGAUCUUUCAUAGUGAAAAUUAAAUUGAAGAGUGAGAAAGUGAUUUCUAAGAGCAACUCCACCGCUCAAGAUUGAGCUAGGGCAAUCAGUGGGUCCCACCAACCUGGGCAGGCCCAAAGGCAAUUCUUGCAUGGGCUUCAGCCCGAGGGCGGUGACAUCAGCGCACGGUAAUUCAAAUUUUUUUUACCGUUGGUGCGUGAAUUACACGCGCCAACAGUAAAAAAAUUUGACUUCCGCGCGCUAACGUCAGCCCUGAUAGACUCUAAUGGCCAUUUGACACGUAUCGCAACCGGGCUUCUCCGAUGAGUUUUUUUCCAGAAAUCCAACGGUCUUUGUUUUUUUGGCUAAAAAAAUUCCAAAAAAAUUCUGAAAUUUUUUUAAAAAAUACCAAAAAAAUUCUGUAUUUUUUUUUCCUAUAAAUACCUAACUAUUUUAUUUACUUUCCACACUAAAUCUUCAUACAAUUUCUUCUCCAUCCAAUAUUUUUUACUCUCCACUCACAUUAUUCACUUCCCACACCAAUUCUCCAUACAAACUCUUCUCCUUCCAAUAUUUUUUACUCUCCACUCACAUUUUUCACUUCCCACACCAAUUCUCCAUACAAAUUCUUCUCCUUCCAAUAUUUUUUACUCUCCACUCACAUUUUUCUACUACUUUCCAUUUGUAAAAAAAAAAAAAAAAACAAAUGGCAUCUUCUGUCGAAACCGGAGGCUCGUGGUCAACUCAGGAAGAUAUUGCAUUGUGUCAGUAUUAGGUGAACGUUAGUAAUGAUCCUAUCACGGGCAAUGAGAUGAAGUUCCAUCAUAUGUGGAGUAAAAUUCAUGGAGAAUUUUGUCAAAGAUCGGGUCCCAUUCGGACCGAAAUAGCCUUGUCUAGUAGAUGGAAACUUCUGAAUAAAGAGUUAGGGAAAUGGAGAAAUGCCUUGACAAAAACAAGGGAGAACAUUCGAAGCGGUCAAAAUCUAUCCGAUGAGGUAAAAUAUUUAUAAUUGUCAUUUUAAUAAAUUUAAUGUAAUUUUUUUUUAUUGCAUAUUCUAUGUCUUUUUGUUGCAUAAUCUUUUUUUUUUCUUUUUGCAUUUCCAAUUUGUCUAUAUUUUCUUGCAUAAUCAAUUUCAUUCUUGCAUUUCAAAAUAGUUUAUAUUUUCUUGCAUAAUAAUUUUUUUUCUUGCACUUCCAAUCAUUUAUUUUUAAUAGAUCAUACAAGCACAAAUGUGGUUCGGUGCCAUGGGGCAAGGCAAAAAAAGUUUCGUGCAUUUCCAAUGUUGGGAAGUUGUGAAAGAUUGUUCAAGAUUCAAAAUUAUUCCCACCGGUCCAACAGUUUUGUUGAAUGAGACGCCGCUUCACGAUUCACCAUCAACCGAUUCGCCAUUGGACUUCCCAAUGGAAACGGAGUCACCACUCCCACGUCCGCCAAGACCUAUUGGGAGAAAGGCGGCAAAGGCCAAGAGAGGGGGCACUUCAAACAAUGAAUGUAUACAAUUAUUGGAGCAAAUAGCUAAGAACACCUCACUAAGAAUUGAGAGAGACUUGAAAAGAGAUGAAGUGGACAAGGCACGAGAGGAAGCAUUUGUAAUUCAACAGCAGCAGGCACAAGACAAAGACAUGGAUGAUAGAGAGAUGAAAAUCAUGGCCAUGGAUACGAGCCAUAUGUCUCCUGAAACCAAGGCCUAUUGAAAGCAUAGACGAAGAGAUGUGAUGAGAAGAAAACUUUUCCAUGACGAUGAACCUAGCAAUACGGAUUGGUUAAAUGAUGAAAACCAUUAAGUUUUAUUGAAACACCUUUGCCAUAUGUUGUAUUGUUGUAUUGUUGUAUUAUCCUUUAAUUUAUUGUAUUGUUUCCUUUUCAUUAAAUAAAAAAAGUAUUAAAUAAUAUGACUAUUUAUUAAAAACAUUUGAGCAUCAAAAUAAAGAUUAAUUAAAAACAAACCUUAAUUUAUUGCAAACAACACACAAAAUAAAUCAUACAUAAAAGCAUAAUAAUAAUAAAAAAGAUAGAGAUGGUGUAGUUUUAUAGAGGGAUUCAGAAGAUAGAAAUGACACGUGGCACAAUUUUAGAGGAUGAAAAUCUUAUCUGAAAUAUGAGAUUAUAAUUUUUAAAAAAUAUCUGAAAAUCUUAUCUAACAGAGAUAACACUUGGCACAAUUUUAGAGGGUGAAAAUCUUAUCUGAAAUAUGAGAUUAUAUUUUUUUUUUAAAUAUCUGAAAAUCUUAUCUGACAUGGGACACGUGACACAAUUUUAGAGGUGAAAAUGUUAUCUGAAAUAUGAGAUUAUAAUUUUUUUUAAUGAAUAUCCGAAAAUUUUAUCUGGAAUAAGACAUGUGGCAACUAAGAUUCUCAUUCGAAAAUCUUUUCUGAAAAAUAAUGGACAUGUGACAGUAAAAAGUAUUAUCCGAAAAUUUAAUUACAAAAGAUUAUCAAAAUUAAUAGUUUAAAGUAUAAAAAAAUAGGAAAUAAAGUACAAUGAAUAGUAUUUACCUUAGACUUGCCCUAGACUUAACCCUCAUGGGUGGAACCACAAAUGGCAAGGCUGCCACUAUUCAUGUGACUAUUCAUGUGAAUAGUCACAGCCCUUGCUUACCCUUGCCCUAGACUUAGCCCUUAUGGGUGGAAUUGCUGUAAAAAGUUAACAUCAAAAGACCCUUAAAAAGUAUGUGAUCAUUCUCAAUAUGGACCCCCAUAUUUCAAUUUCAUUAUUUUACUCCCACGGUUUUCAAAUUUGCUCAAUUUACUUUCCGUCACAUUAACUGCUAACGUGUCUACUGUGAGACACAGCCACUUAUCAAUCCCCAUCCCAUCUAACAUGUAAUAAAACAAAAACUAAAUAUAUGAUAUUAAAAAAAAAGAAAAAAAAAAGAAGAGGCAUAUAGCCUUCCCCAUCACUCUCACCGACGCACAGUCGCACCACCCGAUCCCCCUCCCUUUCUUCGUCCUCUCUCUCUCUCUCUCUCCCUCUCUCCCUCUCUCCGUCCCUUUCUCCCCCAUCCCAUCUUCUCGAGUUCUCUGAUUCCCCCCCCCCUCUUCGCGAUCUACCUCUCCUUCGAGAGGCUUCUCGAGUCCAGGCCCUGCGAUGCCGAUCAGACCUAGCUCAUCGAUCGCUCUCUCCAAUUGGGCUCUGUGCUCCUCGAGGCUGCUAAUCGUUCUGCGAGAAAACCAGCCUCCAAGCACAACUCUCUCACCUGUACUCUCCCCUCAAACCUCCCUCCAAGCACAAUUUGUAUAUAUUGAUAGGGAUGGGGAGCUGGGAGGAUAGUGGGACGGAGAGAGAGAGGGGGGGACGAAGAGAGGGAGAGUGCUCUGGUGGGGAAGAGCCAGGUGCGCCGCUAUCACGAACACAUUCAGACCACGAGCUGACGCAAGUGGAAAUCAUGCUUCUCUGUUUUUCUAGUUCUGUAGUCGCCGCUAAUCAUGCUGCUUUGAUUUUCCAUUGAUGUUUGCUUUGUUACUCUCAAAAAGUUUCCUUCCUUUAUUUUUUAUUUAUUUCGAUAAUGAAAUUUGAAAUUUGAAUUGUGUGUUGCUUUGUUACUCUCAAUAAAUCUUCCUUCUUUUUCUUUUUUCUUACAGGAAUUGGGUUUUGGUGUUUCACCAACGAGCUGACGCCAGAGAGAGAGGGAUGGGGUUGGUGUGGGUGCGAUUGAGGGGUGAACAAGGGGUGCUGGGUUUGUUGGGCUGAGGAAGGGCUGGGAUUUUUUAAGGUAUUUUUAUUUUAUUUUAUUUUAUCACUUUAUAUAAAUUUUUUUAGGAACUGAUUAGUUAGUGGGCGGAUCCCGAUUGCCCAUAUUGAGAAUAACCCCAAAUGUCUUUUGAUGUUAGCUCAUUUCUAAAUUUGUAGAGUGAGGGAGUGACCACAGUUUUGAUAUAUUGGUGUCUAUUUUUAUUGGAGCUGAUUUUGUUUGCCUCACCUUACCAGUGGGUAUAUUCCUGGUAAAUAAUAUUGCAACUCUUGCGCUUUUAGAAAUUGUGUGUAUAGUUUUAGAAAAUGGGUCAUGUAAUUUUAAUAUAAAAUUGCUACAAACUCUUGUCAACCCUGGAAAGUUCAGUCCAAGUGGACGAGACAUGCUCUCUCUUAUUAAAAAUGCUAUACAUGUACACCAUGCUUUUGUCCUCAAAUUUGGACUCGUUAUACAGUAUAGACUACUUUAUUUAUGUACUUGGCUAAGAGUUCGAUUAUUUUCCUCCCCUUUUCUUAAAUGGAAAUCAUCUCUAGUUCUUUUCACCCCUAACAACAUAUGGAACUGCUGAGUUCAUAACUUUUCUAUUGUUUAUCUUUUAUGCAUAAAAUUAUAUCUUGUUUUUUUACUGGGUAAUUCAAAACUUGGAAACUCCUUCGACGACUUUACUAAAAAGGAUUUAGGUUUUUUUUACUAAAAAGUCAGUAUAGUAUGAAUACCUAUUUGAUACGAUGUAGGUUUUUUUUUUUAAUUUAAAAAUUUAUUGAAAGGAUUUUUAAUUAUUUGUAUUGGCACUAUUAAUUUUGCCACAGAAUUCUCAGAGGUUUAGUAAUUUGCUUUUACAAAUACCAUGAUCGUUUUGGGAAAUCUCUCUUUCUGGAGGCAGAUUCCAGAGCCGUUUAAGGGAAAUUCGUAGUCGAGCUACCGAUGUUCAUGAUAAGGAAAAGGGAAUCAAGAUUACUGAGAAGGAUUGGGAAAAGUUGAAUGUACAAUUGCUUCAUACAACAAUUUUCCUACUGCUGCUGGAUUGGCUUCCUCAGCAGCUGGUUUUGCUUGUCUUGGUAACCGAUAAUACCCUAUUUUGGAUCAUAUUAUUGUUAAUUUGUUAUAUGAUUAGUGCCUUAACUUUGAGAACUCAUGACUGUUAAUAAUGUUACUUGGGUACCGGAUUAAUCAUUCUUUGCCAAUAGAUAGUAGUUAAGCAACGAGCAUAUCAUAGCUAAGCCUCUGUUUCUACUUGCAGUUUUUGCCCUCGCAAAGUUAAUGAAUGCGAAUGAAGAUCACAGCCAGCUUUCUGCUACUGGAAUCAAUCUGAGAUUUUAAUAAGCCAUCGCAAUCUGACUAAGUUUUACAGAAUACUUAACACAAUAGUAAGUGCUGAUAUCGACCCUGAAGAACGUCUCCUUGACAGUAGCUUAAUUGAUUUUGACAGAGCAAGCCUCCUUUAUGCCAUUGGGAAUAAUAAUGCGUCCAUUGAUCAGCCCGCCCACAUUUUCCGAGCCAUUUGCCUGGCUGCAACCCCAGACGACUACUACGAAACUCAUUCCCUGCCUUUUGGGUCGUUGAUCACUAGGUUUGCCAUGGCGUCUAAAGUGCGAAUUGAUCCUACGGAUCAGCUUAAACAACUUAUGCCACCUAUCAACUAGAUGAUGUUUCAUAAUGAUCAGACAGAUGAAACAAGUGAAGAAUCUGUUGUUGGAUUUACUCCUCCUCCUGCACCUGCUUCGGAGCCAAGUCCUCCACAGCUUAAUCAGCCUCCUCUGUCCCAGACAAAAAGCUUUGAGAAGUUUUCUAUAAAGCUGAGAAAGCGCAUGGCCCGACUUGCCAAUGAGGUCGUUAAGCUCACCGGUUGCGUACAUUGGGGCAUCCCAUUGAAAGAGCCAUUUACAGGUCAUUCUAAUGUUGAGCUUGCUUUAGUUUAUAUGUGUUUUUGUCCUUUUCAGCUUUGUUAAACCCUGUCUUCAACUUUCAUUUCUAAUCCAUUGAUUAUCUAUGAGUUGUUAGGCUUUUGUUUCCAUUUGUUUAUUCAGUUGUUCUUCUUUUAUACCCUCUCAUUUGUUUCUGCUCCUCUGUCUUAUGAUUUUCCACUUCCACUUAUCACUCCCUUGUCAUACACACUUGCAGUACAAGAUAAAUAGAAUCUGAAGUUUGCCUUGUUCUGGAUGAUAAAUAGAAUUCUAUUUAGUUAUAUAUUUUCAAAGAUACAAGUUAAAUAAAGACGAUGUAGCGAGCACCAUAAGCUUCAAAAGAAUUUUCCUAGUUCUAGGCUUAAGUAUAUUUUUUAUCUAAAGGACCUCUGAGUUGACUGCAGGAACUGAUUCAGCCUAAUACUGUAAAAGAAUUGUCCCUUGAAUAUCUUUUUAUGUACAGCUGGUAAGAAAAUUUUCGGGUUUUUACUGGUGGAAGGAAAGUAAUAAACUUGAAGUUAGCAACUAGCACUGAAUGCUUCUGUGGUUAGUGAUUUAGUAUUAAAGAGAAGCUCUGUUUCUGAUCAUAUAUGUAAGAUUGAUUUUGAUUGCAUUAAUUAGUAAAAAAGAUAAGCUCUGUUUCAGAUCAUAUAUGUAUUCUUUUAGUCAACUAAUGAGAUGGGGUGGUUAACAUUUAUUUAAGUGUGACUGGAACAGUUUUGAGUGAUGAAUUUUCCUAUUUUCACUAGGGAGCUGCCUUUGAAUUUGAUAUUUUCGGGAGUGAUUCGAUGCUUUUCUCUCGUUUGAAAACUUAACAAAAUUAAAUAUUCACAAUAUUCCCCAUCGUCUGUAUAAUAAAAAUGAAACUGCUUCUACAUGUGAUUAUGAACUCCAACACAUCUUGUGUCCUUGUGGUUGUAAUAGUCAGCAGUUAAUGCACUUCUUUGCUGCUUUAGUGGAUGUUUUUUAUGCUUUACUUUCUCUCUGUUAUUGUGCUGAAGAAAAUAUGGAGGUUAAACAAGAAAAUGAUGAGAAUUUUAUUCCCAACUCACAUACUUCGACACAUCUAUCAACUUCAAUUUCUGGCUUGCAUCCAAAUAAGAAAGCGAAAAAACAUCCAUUGGCACAAGCAAUUGGUGAGGCGGCAGACUCACAAAAGGAGUUUUCGGCAAGUCAAAUGAACCGCAACUCAGAGGAGAGGAUGUACUUGCAGUGGUCUCAAAGAUACCGAACUUCAGUAGAUUGCAAGUUUUGAAGGCCGUACACAUGUUAUUGAAUACUGCUUAUUAGUAAAUCCUGGGUCUAACUUUCUUGAUAAAUGAUGCUGAGUGAGCCAAUUAUUUCUCAGGGGUUUAAACUUUUGCAUAGAGAGACACUUAUCAGCAUUUACUCUCUCUCUCUCUCUCUCUCUCUCAUUAAUCCAGUAUUAGGAGUGAUCUUGCUUUUUAUUCUUUUCAUAUACAAUAUUAUUGAUAUCCUUUUAUGUCCUUUUACACACACUGAGCUUCUUGACAUGUUCUGGGCUUUUAAUCAUGCUUCAAAGACAUACUUUAAAUCCAUUUAUAUAUCUUCUUUAUCUAUUUAUUUCUCUUGUUUGAGAGGAGGUAUUAUUUCUCUUGUUCAUUAUACUAAUGUAAUUUACACGGAAAGGGGUUUGAACUUCGGUGUAAGGGGUAAGCUCACCAUCUUAUCCAAUUAGCCUAACCGCAUUUGCAGAUGUAUACAAAUACAAUGAUAUAGUCCAAACUACUCUAAAUCUAAACUACUAGGGCAUGUUUGGUAGGGUUCACUAGAUAGGACUAUGCUAAAUUGAACCUGAAACCCAUGUUUGGAUAGAAAGGGGACUAAUUUAAAUGGGAUUGUAGAGCCCAACAGUAACAAAAACCCCUCACUCGUUCUCCUUAUACAGAGAAGCUGAAAAUGGGUUCACAAAAUAAGCGCUUCGUUAUAUUGAACACGCGACAACGCCUCUCUCUCUAGUUCUUGACUUCGCCCUCUAUCUAGUUCGCGACUCGACCUCUUCUUUGUUCAACAUCGACUCCUCUUCUUCGAAUCUUGACCCAGGCAAGUUUUUCUGGUCUUUCCCUUUGGAUACCUCUCUUUUCCUUCUUCCACCUCUUUGAUUUUUGCAAUUGUCCUCAACAAUUUUGACUCUGUGCUCUGAAUCUCUCCUUCCUUUUCUCUGUUUUUUGUUAUUCUUUUCUCUAAUUUUCGUAGAAUCCAUAUCUACUGUAGCGACAUAUAUAUAUUUGAUGUUAAUUGACAAUUAAUUUGCAAUGGGUAUUUAAGAAAGCCUAGAAAUUCAGAAUCUUGAGUUUAGAGUAGACUUUUGGCAUGAAUCUUGAGUUUAUUGAACUUACUGGUUCAUGUGGGAUGAUGCAUCUUUGUGGUUUCAGUUUUUAAAUAAGAUGCUCUCCUUUCAUCUUAUUUAAUCUGAAUAAAAAUAAGAUGUUUCUUUUCUGAUGUACGCAAUUCAUACCAGUCUCAUGUGUGACUAUAUUCAAUAGGAUUUGAGACAUGAUGACUAAACCUUCUGAAUAUCUUUCUAUGGCACUUGGUGGCUGGACUGAGGAUUUCUUGUAUUUUCAUGAGUUGUAUUCAUUGGAGACUUUUAAUAGGUACCUUAACAUGUAAAAUGGCUGCAUCUUGCCUACCAUCAUCUACUUUCAGACACCACAUAUAUAAUCUCACAGUUGAGGUGUAAGUUUUGAAGUGGAGCCUCAACUUAGGCUCUCUGUUAGAACGUCUCCUUUAAGUUCUCAUUUUGGGUAAAUGAGAUUCUGUAUUCACUCUAACUGUAUUCAAUUAGAUUAACUAACAUAAGAAUGUCUCUACCCUUUUUUUCUUUCUUUUUUAUAUUUUCCCUAUUUCCCCAUGGUCAUAAUUUACAGGCCUUUGUCUUAACUCUGGCACUACCUAGGUCUGCCAAUUUUCUUUUUUCUUGGUUGGUGAUUUAGUGCUAAAAGAUUACACAGAGGAAGAUUAGUAUUUGUUUUAUGCUUGCUGUUGAGUUUCUUUUGUAGCUAUGAGGUUGCCAUUUCUUAUAAAAUUUUUGCCAAAAAGUCAUACUAGGUUACCAUUUGGAUAGAAGGUACAUCAAAUCUUGAUUUGGGCCUUUUUGUUUGCUCAUGUCAUUGUGGUAAUGUUAUAGGUAGCUGGUGUGAAAUUAAAAAGAAAAAAACAGAGUUUGCAUUGCUAUUUUAUUAUUCAGCAUUCCAUCAGUUGUUUUAUGCUUGCUGUGGAGUUUCUUUUGUAGCUAUGGGGUUGCCAUUUCUUAUAAAAAUUUUGCCAAAGGUUACCAUUUGGAUAGAAGGUACAGCAAAUCUUGAUUUGGGCCUUUUUGUUUGCUCAUGUCAUUGUGGUAAUAUUAUAGGUAGAUAGAAUCUAACAAUUCUUUACAGUUGACUCUGGUGUGAAAUUAAAAAGAAAAAAAACACAGUUUGCAUUGCUAUUUUAUUGUUCAGCAUUCCAUCAGUGAUGGGCAGCUUGCAACUUUCUUUUAGUGAUUGGCAUGGGCAAAGUCCUUCUAAUGUCCUCUCACCACAUGUGGACAUUAUACCAGUAGAGCAAUUUCUCCUUUAUAUGAGAUAGAGAGACCAAUUACUCAAAAAUGAAUAAAAUACCAACAACAAAUUAAAGAAAACAGAGCAUCUGACACUGUUGGCCAUGUCAAAGCAAAGUCAUGCUAUGUUUUUUCUUUUUGUUUGGAGAAAGAUAUGUAGUUUUGGAGUUUGCAAUUGUGACAAAUCCCCUGUGAUUGAUUGUAUCUGUCAUUUGACAGAGCAAUUUGCGUCCUACAUGAGUAUCAAUUGAUUUUGGUCUCUCAAAUAAGAAAAUGCAAUAAAUAACAUGGUGUUCAUUAGCAGCAGCAGCAUCUUUUGGCCAAAAGUGAAAUAAUUCUGCGAUUUUUUUCUUCAUAUUUGUUGUGGUAUUAGGCACACGUUGGUUGAUAAUUUGGUCCAUUUGGGGCAAAUUUUCCAUACUUUGCAAUGGUAUUAAUUAUGGCUUUGUAGUAAUUGUUCUGUUUCAUAGAAACAUAUGAAACUGUUCGUUUUCAAUUUUUGGGGUUAUUUCACUUUCAAUAGAAUUGGUUAAGUGCAAUAAUUCUUUUCUUUUUUGAUUAAUAGAUAUGGAUCAUGCUUAGAAACAAAGUUACGCUUUUUUGGCAGAUUCCAAUUAUUGAUUAUGGUAUUAUUUUAUUUGUGCUGAUUAUUCUUAGGAAAGGAAAAUAAAGGUAACAGUCAAAACUUCGAACAAGGAAGAAAGGGACUAGGCGGUCAUGGUCCACAAAAUACAUCUAUAUUCAUGUCUUUGGAUGAUGAUAUCAAGAAAGUGUUUGUUGAGCAGUUGCUUAGUGACAAUGCUUGAGGACAUGGCCUAGCUAAAUUUAAUGCAUCUAUCUUUUUGGAAACACCAAAAAUGAUGCAUUGAUAAGAUUGGCUUCAUUUUGGAAACACCACAAAUUGUAUAACAUAUUGCUAGCAUUAAAGCCAAAUGGUUCAUGGUUGUGAGGUUUAUUAGUUCAUUUUGAAAUUGUGGAUGUUUAUUUGUAUGUAUUAAUGGUAGAAUUGUGUGUAGUGAACUGGACUUCUAAUUUCUGAGUAAUGUAGAUGACUUUGGCAUAUAUGAAGAAUUUCUAACUUUUGCAUAUAUGAAAUGUAUAUGUCAAUUUGGUUUGGAGAAAAAGAAAUGUAUAUGACAAUUUGGUAAUUCUAAUAACAAAAAAAACUUACAUUUAAUUAUUUAAAAAUAUUAUUUUUAAAUAUAAAAUAAUUAUUUUUUAGUCCUACAUAGCACCAAACAUAGGUCUUCGCUAUUUUUACAAUCCAGCUUUUUAGUCCGACACAGCACCAAACGUAUGUCAGUACUUAAUCCAGCUUAGUCCAAUCUGAGCUAAUCCAAGAUAAUCCUAGGAUUUAGUCCAGUCCAUGACAGUCCGCCGUACCAAACGACCCCCUAUAUUACUUUCCUUCUAUAGUCAAUAUAUAUGACUUUUGCCCUUCAAACUAAUUAUGUCUUACCUACAAUCCAUUAUUUUAUCUACUAUAUUACUUUCCUUCUAUAGUCAAUAUAUAUGACUUUUGCCCUUCAAACUAAUUAUGUCUUACCUACAAUCCAUUAUUUUAUUUUAUUUAUAAAUAAAACCCAAUGAUUGGAUCCGACUCAUCAAUUUACCUAAUUAAAUUUAAAAUUUUGAUUUAUUGUACUUUUUUUAGAUUAAAAAUAAUAAUUAUGGAUAAUUAAUCUACCUAUGCAAUCUCGGCAAAUUCUUAUACCUACAAAAUAUAGGUAAAUUGGUACCCUUUUUUAAUUUUAUAAAUAACGUGCCUAUUUUUUCAUAACUAAUGUACCUAUUUAUUUUAUAGAACUAAUUCAAUAGCAACGUUUUUUUAAAAUAUAGAAAUAAUGUACCUAUUUUCUUAUAAUUAAUGUACCUUUUUUUCUUUAAAAAUAUUUACGUAUUCAGAAUCUCGCCCCUAUUCUGACUGAGAAUUGCUCCUCAAUCAAUCAAUAUGCAUCUCACCACCCAAGCUCUCUUUCUUCACUGGGACCGUGUUUUGUUCUUUAUUUAUUUUUAUUUUUUUUUCAUUUUAGUUGUUGUUUAAUUUUUAAACUUGUGUUUUUUAAUAACCAUUAUAUUAUCAUUUAUAUCCAAGGGCGAAUGACCACAAAUUCCUUGGACCACAGGAGUUCAGAAGAACGGGACCGAGUAAUUCAUAUACUAAUCAUUUAUCGAGCAACAAAACAAAUCAAAUCAAAGAAUCAGAAUGCAAAAUGAAGGAAGCUGCUCCGAAACUCUAUGAUCAGAUAUCCAACACUAAAUCUACUUAAGUGUUUCGUGAUCAUCACUAUAAUAAGAGAAACUUUCGUGUGUAAUUGUAAGACCCCAUGUUUAACCUAAAUUAUAGGGGCAUUUCAAAAUAGACUUGGUCAAUAACCAAACUCUCAUAUUAUAGUUGUUGAAUAAAAACCCAUUAUUCAUUUAUUAGUAUCAAUAAAUAUAUAGGCAUUAUAUUAAUAUUAGGUUGAGUAGAGAUAUUUCCACAUGUUUCACUUAAGUCAAGUUCACAUUUGCAAAAAGAUAUUUGUAACUUGUGCCCAGGGGAUGGGAUGCAAAGCCAUUGAUUGAGUGGACACGGGAAGGCACCUUACCAAGUCAAGUCAAGUCAAUACCUGCAAGUCAGUUGGAGCACGCGUUGAAGGGCACCAUAUCAAGUCACAAGUCUUCAUUUAUCUUUUUCCACAUAGUGACAUGAAUUAAAGUGGUGAGUCUCUCUUCCUUUUGUUCACCCGUGUCCUUCAUAUUCACUUUUCAGUCUUUCAUUUGAAAACACUACAAUAGCACACUUUCCAAAGAGAUUCCCAAGCAGCUUAUUGGCCUUUCGAGUUCGGGGAAAUUAGCAAGUGGAAAAAUAAUUUUCCGGAGCUUUGUCUCUACGACAAGUUGGCUUUCCAAAAAAUCGAAAAGACUUUACAGUCUUUUUGUGUGAGUCAGUCAUCAUGAGUUUGCAUACGAAGACUUCAAAGUCUCCUUGAUGAUAGUCGUCCACAGCAAGCUCCCAACGUUAUAAAUUACUAAGAUGGACAAAUGCUCAAUAAAAUUUAAUUAGGAUAAUUAGUUGAUUUAAGGAAUAUCUCUUUUUCUGGUGUCAUUUUUUAUUGACCGGAGAAAUAUGUGUAUCCGCAUAUCCUACAUUGAUUGUCUUAGUAAUUUCCUUUGCAUCUAAAAAAAAUUUAUUUAACCCUAAAAAAAAAAUAUUACUCCAUCUUGAAAUGUUUCCCCUUAACCUUUGCCACACUAAUCACAAAGUAUACUAGUAAAUGUUUCAAACCACGUAGGAUAAUUUUUUGGGAGAUUCACUAUUAUACCCAAUAUAAGAGUUCAAAUUUUUUUUUUAAAAAAAACCUAUAUGAAAUGGGCUUUAGAACACACCCAAAACCCAUUUACAACAUAACAAAAAAGCUUUUAACUUCUUUUAAAGUACAAAACUGUCAUUGAUUUCUUAAAACAAACUCAACCCAAAAACCUCAUAAAAAAGCUUAAAACACUCAAUAGGGUAUCAAAGUAAUUUAAUAAUCAAAAUUAAAUUAAAUAGAUCCGGCUGUCAUUUUUUGAGUUUAUUUACAAAAAUUAAAUGGUGUGGGGUUAAUUUAUAAUUUUAGUGCUAAGAAUGGGUAAAUAUUUAUAAUUUUUUCAAGCAUUAUUGUAGAGAUAGCAAUAUAGUGCUAUUCCCGUUACAAAAAAAUAUUUUUCCUUUUGAAUGAUACAUUCAUAUGUAUUUGAAAUUGAACCUACAUACACAGGGUGGUUGUCCACAUGGCAUGGUAUGAGAGCAUCAUUGAGCUAUGUCACUAUUCAGCAAAACAGUAUGUUGUGUCACCGAGCGUACACAAUUCUUUUUAUAUUAAAAAAUUAACCAAAAUUUUAAAAAUAGUAUUUUUAUUUUAUUGAAAUUAAAAAAUAGUAGUAUGAACACUACAUCUAUCAUCCUCCUUUUUCCAACAAAAGAAAUCUUAGUAGAUCUUUCUCUGCAAACUCUUCAUCAUUUCUAACUAGUCUAAUCGAACAGUCAACACCUACUUGACGUGUGGUUGUGGAGACUUAAAAGCCUUUGAAAAUUUUACUCCUUUAUAUGGUUUUGUCUUAUAUGAAUGUGUGGCACUGUUUUAGCUAAACCAUGUUUUUCUUUGUAAAAGUUUUCUUCCUUUUUUCCUAUAUAUAUAGUUAGUGUGUAAUUAUAAGACCCUAUAUAAUAUUAACCUAAAUUAUGGGGGCAUUUCAAAAUUGACUUGGUCAAUAACCAAAGUGUUUUGAAAAGCUCUCGUAUUAUAGUUGUUGAAUUAAAACCCAAUUUUCAUUUAUUAGUAUCAAUAAAUAUAUAGGUAUUAUAUUAAUAUUGGGUUGGCAAGAGAUAUUUCCAUAUGUUUCACUUAAGUCAACCUCACAUUUGCAAGAAGAUAUUUAUAACUUGUGCCCGGGGGAGGGAUGCAAAACCAAUGGUUGAGUGGACACUGGAAGGCACCUUACCAAGUCAAGUCAAGUCAAUAUCUGCAAGUCAGUUGGAGUACGCGUUGGACGGCAAAUCACCAUAUGCAGUUUAUGUCACAAGUCUUCAAUCUCAUAUAUUAAUUUCUCCAAUGUUCAUUAAUUUACUACUUGUUUACUUGGACUACUGACAAAUUUUUCUUCAAAUAUCUUUUUCCACAUAUCGACUUGAAUUAAAGUGAUGAGUCUCUCUUCCUUUUGUUCACCCGUGUCCAUAUUCACUUUUCAAUCUUUCAUUUGAAAACACUACAAUGGCACACUUUCCAAAGAGAUUCCCAAGCAGCUUAUUGGCCUUCCAAGUUUGGGGAAAUUAGCGAGUGGAAAAAAAAUUUCCGAAGCUUUGUUUCUUCGACCAGUUGGCUUUUCAAAGAAAGAAAAAACAUAAAAAUGGUAAAAUAAAGUAAUUGAGCAAUUAAAAAAGCAAAAAGAAAAAAAAAAGGAAUUACCGUUUGUUGACGUUUGAGUUAAAUGUGUAUGUGCAACGACUUAAAACUCUAGUUUACACUCUUUGUGGAACCAAAAAAUUGAAAAGGCUUACCAGUCUUUGUGUGUGUCAGUCAUCAUGAGUUUGCAUACGAAGACUUCAAUGUCUACUUGAAGAUAGCUGUCCACAGCAAGCUCCCUACCCAAAGUUACAAAUUACUAAGACGGACCAAUGCUCAAUAUGACAGGACCCACCCUGAAUUUCUCGGAACUUGAGACGAAUCCUGUGAAAAACUAGUACAUCCCUCCAAUGUCAUGCCCACUUACCAAAACUAUAGCCUCUUUUCCAAAUUAAGGAAAAAAGGUACGAGACUUUUUGCCAAAAUUUCGGCAGAGUCUCCCCUGUAAAUUGGACUUUCUCCAAAUUUUUUUAACCUAUUAAAAAUACAAUUAACAUCCACAACUAGUAGCAUGCACAACUAGUAGCAUGCACAAUUUAACCUUUAAGCAGUUUACGAACUAGGCCUCUGGCCUUUAACAAUUCAGUCAGUUGGGGCACGCGUUGGAAGACAAAUCACCACAUUAAGUCUAAGUCAAUAGUUGCGUUGAAAGGCAAAUCACCAUAUCAAGUCGAAGUCACAAGUCUUCGCGAUCUCAUCCAUUAAUUUCCCCAAUAUUCAUUGAUUUAUUACAUGUUUACUUGGACCACUGACAAUUUUUUCUUCCAUUAUCUUUUUCCACAUAGUAACAUGAAUAAGAGUUGGUUGUACCUUGUACAUUUUUUUUCUCCUUCUUUUUUGAAAUUUGGUAUAGUCCAGUUCUGAUGACAUAAGUGAAAUUGAACCUAUAUCUAAGAGCUCCUUUCAAAGAAAAAACAUAAAAAUGGUAAAAUAAUGUAAUUGAGCAAUUAAAAAAGCAAAAGGGAAAAAAAAGGAAUUACCAUUUGUUGACGUUUGAGUUAAAUGCGAAUGUGCGAAGACUUAAAAGUCUAGUUUCCACUCAAGUAUGUGGACUUAAUAGUCUUUUUGUGGAACCAGAAAAUUGAAAAGACUUUACAAUCUUUUUGUGUGAGUCAAUCAUCAUGAGUUUGCAUACGAAGACUUCAAAGUCUACUUGAAGAUAGGUCCACAGCAAGCUCCUUGCCCAACGUUACAAAUUACUAAGAUGGACCAAUGCUAAAUAGGAUUUAAUUACGAUAAUUAGUUUAUUUAAGGAAUACCUCUUUUUCACGUGUUAUUUUUUUAUUGACCGGUGAAAUAUGUGUUUCCAUAGAUCCCGCAUUGAUUGUCCUAGUAAUUUCCUUUGCAUCUAAAGAAAAUGUAUUUAACCCUAAAAAAAAUGUUACUCCAUCUUGAGACGUUUCCCCUUAAACUUGUUUGCCACACUAAUCACAAGGUAUACUAGUAAAUGUUUCAAACCACCUAGGAUAAUGUUUUCAAGCAUUAGGAGAUAGCAAAAUAAUGUUAUUCAUGUUAUAAGAAAUAUUUUUCCUUUUUGAAUGAUACAUUCAAAUGUAUUUGAAAUGGAAUCUACAUAUACGGGGUGGUUGUUCACAUGGCAUGGUAUGAGAGCAUCAUUGAGCUAUGUCACUAUACAACAAAACAGUAUGCUAUGUCACCCAAUGUACUCAAUUCUUUUUAUAUUAAAAAAUUAACCAAAAUUUUAAAAAUAGUACUUUUAUUUUAUCGAAAUUAAAAAAUAGUACUUGUAUUCCUGCAUCUUACUUUUUAACUCAUGCAUCAUAAUUAAUUUGGAAUCUAAAGUACUUAAUUUAAUUACCUCCAUAAUAAAGAGAUUCGAAUCUAAAGUGUUGAUGCUCAAAAUGGCCCGGCCAAUAUUGAGUCCAACUUAGUGAUUAGAUGUGCUGAGUCUUCAGCAGAGAAGAGGGCUGAGGCCCUUGGUGAAAUGGGUUGGUGAGAGACCUGUAGAAGGUAAAAAGAGGAGAAGCAAUCGUCAAGCUUCGGACACCGGUGUGGUGCCGGCCGAAGGCUCUCCGAUGCCUAAGUCAAUUACAAGUAGUAAUUCUGGCAGAGUAACAGUAAAAGUGGGAGAGUAGUUCUCUGUUUUACUUGGGUACUGUUCCCUAUUUAUAGGGAAGUGAAAGUGGGAGCUUUGCACAAAGUUCCAAUGUGGGACUUUGUGCAAGCCGUUGUGGUGACGACACGUGUCCUGGAGAUUAGGUUUGGCAGCUGAGAGCUUCGGCAGGUGUCUGGCACCUCGGAAGUGUGUCUUCCUUCGGCAUGGGAGAAGGCGUGGCUGCCUUGGUGCUAGUCGCUUUGAUGCUGGGUCUGCUCGGUUCAUUAUGGUGUAAACAGUAGUCCCCCAAGUUCGCGGUCGAGAAGUAACUUCUGGGUUGGGAACUUGUGAGUUUUUGUAAUUGUAACCGAGCAUUCCAGCUUCAUUGGGAGUCGCAGGGCACUCCCUAGUCCCCCAAGUUGGCAAGCUAGGAGUUGCGUCAACACAUGGUAGCUGGGUACCUGGGUACUUGGGCAUGUUGCAGAUAGGAUGGGAGCUGGGUCCCUAGGGGAGCCAGACCUUCGAGGGAGCCGGGUACUUUGAAAAUUUUGGAGACUCCAAUUCUUUCAUGGCUCCUGCCGUGCGGCAAGGGUCUAGCUCACUUUUUUUUUUUUUUGGGAAUGGCCGGGCCAUUUGGGAUUUUUGGACCUCCCCACAAAGCCUCCAUGGCCCUUGCCGUUCGGCAAGGGUCUAAAUUAUUAUUAUUAUUUUUUUUUUUUUUUUUGCAAAUUUUUUUUUUUUUUUUUUUGGGAAUGGGAGCUAGGCCAUUUUGGAUUGGGCCUUCCACAGCUUCUCCAUGGCCCUUGCCGUUCAGCAAGGGUGUAGCCAUUUUUUUUUGUUUUGGAUGGCUUGGGAGCUAGGCCUUCAAGAGAGCCGGGUCGUUUUGAAAAUUUUCGACUCUCCAAAAUGUCUCCAUGGCCCUUGCCGUUCGGCAGGGGUCUAGCUAUUUUUUGGAUUGGGAGCUAGGCCGUGUUGAGAGAGAUUGAAGGCUUAGCUUGGAUUGGGCCUUCGGCAAGUAAGAAAGGCUUGAGUUUGGCCAAAGUGGGCUUCGGCAUGUAAGAAGGCUAGGGUUUGGCCAAAGUGGGCUUCGGCAUGUAAGAAGGCUAGGGUUUUGAUAGGGGUAUAAAAAUGGGAUGAUGGUGAUGCCGUUCGGCAAGGAUCCAUUCGGCAGGUUGAGGUAGAACAAAAUUUUUUUUGAAAUCCAAACUUGCCGUUCGGCAAGUUCUUGGAGUCCCGGUCUUGGAGUCACGGCUGUGGAGUUGCUGUCCGAGGGCUCUGCAGGUGGCUGAGCUUCGGCAGGGCAGCUGGAGUUCUUGGGGGCUGAGCUUCGGCGGCAGCACGGGGGUUGUAGAACCUUCGGCAGGGUCUGGUCGAGGUGCAGUUGAGGUGCUGCGGAGAUCGAAGUGGAGCUGCGACUGAUCUUGCCGUUCGGACGAAGGGGCUGGGCAGUUGUCUAGGCAGGCUGUGCGGCGCAGCAGCUUCGGCAAGGGCUUUGCCGAUAAGACAGCUGCUGGACAAGUGGAUUGGGUGCUGGCCGAGGGGGCUGGGAAGUUGAUUCGGCAGGCGGCAGCGAGGCUGUGCUGUCCGAGGAGGUUGAAGAGCUUCCGACUGGGCUUGCCGUUCGGCAAGGGACUUGGCAGCGGCCAAGGUGUCCAGCGGUUGGAGGCUUCGGCAGGGUUUCGUCGCGGCAGCUGGUUCUGCCAGCUGGGAGAGGUGCUUGGCCAGGUCGUGUGCUUCGGUAUGUCCUCCUUUCCCUCUGAUUUCAUUCUUGCAUAGCCCUUGCCGUUCGGCAAGGGUGCCCUGAGCUGAUUUUUAUUUUUAUUGAUCGUUGUGUUUGAUCAAAGGUGAUAGGCCCGAGCAAAAUUGGAGCUAGGCCAUUGGCACGAGCGCGGCCAAAAAUAACUUGGCUGAAAAAGUAGCUGGGCCGAAAAUAGUUGGGUGUGGAGAGUAUUUUGACCGAAAAGGUGAGUCCCCCCUUUGUUGUUUCUCGGGCCUUGCCGUUCGGCAAGCCCAUUUAUAUUAUGUGGUGGAAUUGGCUUGGGUGUCUUGAUCAAAUUUGGGCCUAGCCUUGUAGUAGGUUUGGGCUUAUGGAGUAGGCUAGCAAACUUGAAAUUUGGGACUCCAUUUUGUUUUUGCACGGGCCUUGCCGUUCGGCAAGGCCCCUAUUUCCCUCAAAAUUUUUGUGUUGGUUAUUGUGUAGUUUGAAAAUUGAAUUCAAAUGUACCUUUAGGAGGGAAUAUGAAAGGGUACUAGGGUUUGCUCGUGAAAUUGAGGCGUGGUACCCUUAGUUGGCUAUAAAAAGGAACUUGGGUGGUGAAGGCAUCACACUUGGCUUGAGUUGAGAAAAAUUGUGAGAAUUUUGAGGAGGAGGAGAAGAGAUUUCCGGCGAAGGUUUUGUGGUGGUGCUUGUGGCUGAGGUGAUUUCCGGGGACUUGUACGUGGUGGUACGAACAAGGUUAGACCUUAUUUCGCUUGAACUUUUGAAUUGAAAUGUCUUGUUUUGCAUGAACAUGUUGAAGGUUAGGAAGAACACAUUGAACAUGAGCAUGAACAUGAUGAACAUGUUGAACAUAUGUAUGAACAUGUAGAAUUCUUGCCUGGCAUGAAGAUUUGGCAAAUUGUUGUUGUUGUGGUUCGAUCCUCUCUGCAUGUGCAUUUAGUUCCUUCUCUUGUUUUUCCAUACUUGUAGAUGUCUGAAAGUUCUGAUAGGGAAAGUCUUGACCCCCCUGCCUUCGGCGGGGAUGAUACUGAGAGUCAAGAGCCGAGUCAAUAUAUAUGUUCUGAAGAGGAAAGUUCAGAGACAGAGGGUAUGGUGGAAGGAACCAUAGAAAGUAGGAUGAUAGGGCCUGGGGGUGAGAGGGCUGAGCCAUCGGGAGACUCUGGGUCGGCUGCAUAUAGGGAGAUGCAGAGAAAUUAUAUAGAGUUAGAGGCUAUAGCAAAUCGGGUUCUAGCCUUGCCUCAGACGCAAGAAGUGGGUUCGAGCAACCAGGCAUCACCAUCAGGGUCUGUGGGUAUAGCCGUGGCUUCGGUGUCAGAGGGAUUAGACAUCCGGGUUGGUGUCCCGUUGCCGAGGCGGAAUACACUUACAGAAGCGAAAUUGGCCCAGCUACGAACAGAUUUUUGUGUGCCAGCCUAUGUGGGCUUGAGGUUACCCACGGAGGUUGAUGUAGUCAGAUAUCCUUCGGAUGGCUCCGUGAUGAUUUUUACAGAUAUGUAUCGGCAUGGCUUCAGACUACCGUUUCAUCCGUGGGUUCAGAUGAUGUUGGCCAAGUUGGGGUAUGCACCGGGGCAGUAUAAUCCCAACUUUUGGAUUCUUCUUCAUGGGGUGUAUAUCGCCUGGUGGUUGGCUGGGUUAGGGGAGCCAACGUUUGAGCAGUUCAUGUACCUGUACUCCAUUUCGAAGCAACAGGGGAAUUUUGGCUGGGUACAGGCCAAUUGCCGAAAGGCGAAGGAGAGGGGCUAUUUUAUUGGACACAAGCCCACAACGCAAAAGUCCUGGAGGAACAGGUGGUGCUUGGCCUAUGGGGACUGGGAAUGUCCUCCAGGGAAGAGCGUUGUCCAGCACAUUCCUACCCACUUCCAGUCUAUAGGUCCUUGCCCCAUCCCUUAAGAUUGUCAAAUGCCUGAUUGUGUUGUUUUGGCUCCUAUUUUUGGUUCUGUACUUCCUUUGUGCCAGUGUAAAUGGCUAAGUAGUUUCUAACUCUUGAUGCAGGUUCAGUGAAGUGGGGCCCUAUCUCCAAGGAGCAAGAAGACGAAGUUGAGUGGGUGAGGGCGCAGCUAUCAGAGACUGAGCGUGAGUGCGGGAACCUAGUCACGCAGAAGAAUUUGUUUGAGUCCGGACUGCUGCAAGGAAGUAAGUACCUGGGUUAUCUUUUUGUUGUGUGCUAAGCCUGUUGUAAGUUUGAGUAAUAGAGUUGCUUUGUUUGUUUUGACAGUGGCUGGCAUCAUAAGGGGGAGCACGAAGGUGGCCGUAGACAUUGAUGAGGCCGAGAUGCAGAAGCGGCUGAGGGAGUCUCGGGCCAAGAAAGCUGAGAAAAUUGCUGGGAAACGACCCAGGGAUGAUGAUGAGGGUCGGGUCGCGGACGUGCUGGGGAAGAGGAAGGCUUUGGAGGAGGCUCAUCAGCAUGUGAUGGGGUCAGGGCCGAGGCUUCCGCCCUUUGAUCUGCAGGCACCGCCGAAGCUACCCUUCGGCAUGGAGGAUGUGUUCGCUGAAGGGGUAGAGAAGGUAGACUUCGGCAGGCUACGCCAGCAGAAGAAGGAGGUCAACCUGGCUAUGCACCGGCAGGAGGUGCCCUUAGUGAAAGUCUUCCUGGAAGGCGUGAAGAGCGACCCUGAGGCUCUGGCGAGGACUCCAGCUGCUUCCUUCAUUGACCGGGCCCAAAAGACGAUCCUCACCUCUGCCUAUGUAAGUGUUUAGGCCAUUUUUGAAUGUAUUUGUGUUGGAUUAUUUGUGUGGAUUGACUAACAUGGUUUUGGUUUUGCAGGCCUUUGGCGAGAUGUACGUCAGCAUGGCCAAGGCUGACAAGGAGAUCCAGAGGCUGAAGAGGCGGGAUGAGCUAGCCAAGAGCAAAAUGGCAGAGGCGCAGGAGGCCAUCCGAGAGAAGAACACCUUGCUGGUUCAGAAGGCGGCCCUGGCCAAGGAGGUGGAGGAGCUGAAGAGAUCUAGGGCCGAGGAGGUGGCUGCUGCCCGAGCCGAGGCGAUUGAGUCCUUCCGAUCCUCAGAGGAGCUGAAGAGCUAUAUCAUGGACCGACUGGUUGAUGAGCAGCUUCGCUGGGAAGAUAGGUUGGUUAGGUUCAACCCCUCACUGGAGAUUAACUUUGACACCAGUGGCGAGCCUCCUGCACAGACCCCUCCUGCUGAUGCUAGCGCCCCGACACGAGAGGCUGAGCCAGCCACUGAGGAUGCUCCUUCGACCGAGUCCUGAAGGCGUUGCCUUCGUGAUGUGUUAUAGCUAUUUUGUACUCUAGUGAUUGUGUUUGAACACUUGUUUGUUUUGUUUACUUUGGUUAUGUAUGAACAUUUGUCCUUGCCUGGAGCAAGGCUGUUUUUAUUUAUGAUAUGAACUUAGCUUGAUAUCAAUUGUGUUAACAAUGAUAACAAUGUGAGUUCAUGAGAAUGAGCCUGAGUCAGGCAUUUUAUUGAAAUAGAUGCCGAAAGGCAGAAGGUACAAGUGGUCUAGGGUCUAGAUACCUUACGUCUAACUUACAGUAAAUAAUCAAGACCAAAGUAUUAUCCUAGGGUCUAGAUAUGUUUACUUGUAAUAGUACUUGAGGUGGUCAGCAUUCCACGGGUGAGGCAGCGUCUUGCCUGAGGAAUCACGAAGCUGAUAAGUGCCGGGGCAGCAGAUUUUGAUAAUCUCAUAAGGACCUUCCCAUGUAGGGCCGAGGGUACCCUCGUUGGGAUUUUUGGUAGCCAAGGAAACCUUGCGCAUGACCCAGUCCCCCAUUUUGAAAGCACGGGGCUUGACUCGGGAGUCAUAGUAUUUGGCGAUGCGUUGCUUGUACGCGGCAUUGCGCAUGCUUGAUUGGUCCCGGAGUUCGUCAAUGAAGUCGAGGUUGAGGGCCAACUGCUCGUCAUUGGCCGUGGCAUCGUAAGUGGAGGUUCGGUAUGUGGGCUGGCCAAUCUCUACCGGAGCCACGGCCUCGGUUCCAAAUGAUAGGGAGAACGGCGUUUCACCCGUGGAUGUGCGGAAGGUGUUGCGGUAGGACCAGAGUACUUCUGGGAGUAGUUCUGGCCAGCAGCCCUUGGCUUUGUCAAGUUUUGUCUUGAGGGUCUUCUUGAUAAUUUUGUUCACGGUUUCGACCUGGCCAUUGGACUGAGGAUGGGCUGGGGAGGCGAAACACAGACGAAUCUUGAGGUUCGAACAAAAUUGUUUGAAUUUGGCGUUGUCAAAUUGCCGGCCAUUGUCGGUGAUGAUGGAGUUGGGGAUGCCGAAGCGACAUACAAUGUUUUGCCACACAAAGGAUUCGAUGCGAGCCGCAGUGAUGGUGGCCAAGGCCUCGGCCUCAGCCCACUUGGUGAAGUAGUCUACGGCCACAACAGCAUACUUGACUUGGCCCUUGCCCUCUGGCAUCGGUCCGAUGAGAUCCAGUCCCCAUUGGGCAAAUGGCCAAGGACUGACCAUGGCCGUCAGUGGUUCUGCCGGGAGUUGUGGAAUGUUGGCGAAUCUCUGACAUUUGUCGCAUUUUUGGGUGAAGGCCUGGGCGUCAGUGUGGAGUGAAGGCCAGAAAUAUCCUUGGCGGAUUGCCUUAUGAGCUAACGAGCGUGCGCCCGAGUGGUUGCCGCAGAUGCCUUCAUGGAUUUCUCGGAGGACAUAGUGACCCUCCUCUGGAGUCAGGCAUCGGAGGUAAGGAAGGCUGAAACCCCGCUUGUAUAAGGAGCCAUUAAUGAUCAGGUAACGGGCAGAGCGAUGGCGAACGCGUCGUGCUUCUGCCGGAUUAGCCGGUAGUGUUUGGUUUUGUAAGAAUUGGAGGAUGGGGUCCAUCCAUGUAGGGCUGUGAUCAAUAGUGCAGAUGAGUGGGGCUUGUGUGCUGGGCUGGGCCAAAAACUCGAUGUGGAUGUGGCGACCCAGUCCUUGCUCCAAGGCUGAUGCCAACCUGGCUAGUGCAUCGGCAUGGCUAUUCUCGGAGCGCGGCACCUGCCUGAUAGAGUGGGCUUGGAAGUUUGCCAGCAAGUGCCGAGCUUGCUGGAGGUAGGCCGUCAUAGAGGCAUCCUUAGCCGUGAAGUCCUGGUUGACCUGGUGGACCACAAGUUGUGAAUCGCUGAAUAUCUGAAUUUGCCUGGCGUCCAUCUCUUUGGCUAAUCGAAGACCAGCUAAGAGUGCUUCAUAUUCGGCCUCAUUGUUGGAGGCUUGGAAUUUGAAGCGAAGGGCGUACUCGAGGGCAACCUUGUCUGGGGAGAUGAGAACGAGGCCGGCCCCACAGCCCUGGGCAUUAGAAGAGCCGUCUACGAAUAAGGUCCACAGGGGCUGGGUUAGGUCGAGAUUGCCUUCGGUGGGGGUUUGGUCCUGGCUGGGAGGGGGGUUGGGUUCGAUUAUGAGCUGGGUAGCUGCGGAAGCUUGGGGAUCCGUGAAUUCGGAUAGGAAGUCAGCAAUGGCCUGGCCCCUCAUAGCCGGGCGGGGUUUGUAGUGAAUAUCAAACUCGCCCAGUUCAAUGGCCCAUUUGACCAGCCUCCCAGAGGUUUCUGGGUUCUGCAACACCUGUCGGAGCGGGUGGUUGGUUAAGACAUGGAUGGUGUGAGCUUGGAAAUAUGGUCGGAGGCGUCUUGCCGAGACGACCAGGGCGAAUGCCAAUUUUUCGAUGUCCGGGUAACGAACUUCGGCAUCUUGCAAUGCUUUACUAACAUAAUGCACUGGGUGCUCCGCGUGAUCUUUUGAUCGGAUAAGCACAGAGCUAACAGCCGAAGCUGAGAUGGAGAGAUAAAUCACGAGGAUGUCUCCGUGCUCAGGGGUUGACAAUAAAGGGGCCCGACCCAUAUACUCCUUCAGCUCGCUGAAAGCCGUGUCACAUUCAGCAGUCCAGGUCAUGUUUCUUUUGGUGCCUUUAAGGGCCUUGAAGAAUGGGGCGCAACGGUCAGUGGCUUUGGAGAUAAAUCUGGUCAGGGCUGCGACACGCCCUGUAAGGCUUUGGAUAUCCUUGGCCGUCUUAGGUAUUGUCAUAUCUAAGAUGGCCUGGAUCUUUUCUGGAUUGGCCUCAAUGCCCCUCUGGCUGAUCAUGAAGCCAAGGAAUUUUCCGGAAGCCACCCCGAAUGCACAUUUGGUGGGGUUAAGCCUCAUUUUGUAUUGCUUCAGAAUGGUGAACAUGGCAGAGAGGUUGGGGAUGUGCUGGUCAGCCGUGCGACUCUUGACUAGCAUGUCAUCGACAUAGACCUCCAUGGUAUUGCCAAUCAGGGGGGCAAAGAGCUGAUUCACCAGACGCUGAUAAGUGGCCCGGCGUUUUUGAGGCCGAAGGGCAUCACCUUAUAGCAGUAGAGGCCGCGGUCCGUAAUGAAAGAGGUGUGUGCCUGAUCUUCGGGGUGCAUGAAGAUCUGGUUGUAACCUGAAUAAGCAUCCAUGAAGCUAAGGAGGGCGUGGCCGGCUGUGGCGUCGACUAGCUGGUCAAUGCGGGGUAGCGGGAAGCUGUCCUUUGGGCAUGCCCGAUUAAGGUUGGUGUAGUCGACACACAUGCGCCAGCCCUUUCUUGGCUUGCGGACCAUCACGACAUUGGCCAGCCAUGUGGGAUAGUCAACCUCCCUGAUGAAUCGGAUACUACUCAAUCGAUCCACCUCCGCCUUCAUGGCCUCAUAGCGCUCGGGAUCAUAGGCUCGACGCUUCUGUCGGACUGGUCGGACGGCAGGAUUGACGCUAAGCCUAUGAGAUAUGAUGUCUGGUGAUAUGCCAGGCAUGUCAUUGUAGGACCAAGCGAAGACUUCGGAGUUGAGGCGGAGGAAGGCGACCAGGUCAGAGCGAAGCUCUGGUGAGAUGGAGGUGCCGAUCCGGACUUGUCGAUCCGGGAUAUCGUCAUGGAGGGUAACCAGCUCCAGGUCCUCCAUAGGUUCGGCCUGUGGUGCGAUGGACUCCUCCCUGGGGUCUUCAGGUGGGUCUGUGCCAGCUUGAGGAGGGGCGGGAGCCUGGGUUACUGCUAGGGCUUCACUCCUAUGUUGGCGAUUGGUGGAUUUGAUGGCUGAAGCAUAGCAGCUUCGGGCUCCGAGUUGGUCGCCGCGCACCGUGCCUGGGCCAUUAGGAGUGGGGAACUUCAACAGCAGUAUAUGCGUGAAAAUAAAAGCCUUCAUUUGGGCCAAGGCUGGGCGGCCGAGGAUGACGUUGUAGGCUGUGGGGCAAUCGACGAUAAGGAAGGGGGUAGUGAUCGUCGUCCGCUGGGGUGCGGCCCCAAUUGAGAUGGGGAGAUGAAUGCUGCCAAUGGGCUGGACCACAUCACCCGAGAAGCUCACAAGGGGUGUGAUGCUUCGGUCGAGUAGGUGAGGCGGGACCUGGAGUUCAUUGAAGCACUCGGCGAACAUCACACUGACCGAGCUGCCAGUGUCCACCAGGAUACGCCCAACGUCGAAGUUAGAAAUGUCAGCCCGGAUAAUAAGUGGAUCGUCAUGGGGGAGGAUAACACCACGCUCCUCCUCCUCGCAGAAGGUAAUGGGGGCCCAGCCAGUCCUGUGGGUCUUUGGCAAUCGUCCCUGCUCGGUGCUGAAGACCUGGUGCGCAUAGGUGGAGCGGACAUAAUGUUUGAUGGAGUUGUUGGAGGUGCCAGCCAGGGUAGGACCUCCGCUGAUGGUGGAGAUCAUGUUGAUUUGUCGUUGGUGAGGGUUAGGCGGGGCUGGUAUGUUGCGCACAUAGUUGUCCAGCUUACCUUCCCGGAUGAGCCCUUCAAUUAUGUUGCGCAAGGCAACACAAGAUUCGGUGUCAUGGCCGCUGAAUUGAUGAAAGCGGCAGAAGACCCCCGUGUUUGGCAUAGGCUUGUUGGAUGGUCUCCGGGGGGGUGGCUUGGGGAUGAUGGGGGCUUCACGUGCCAGGACGUUCUCAUAGGUGGUGUUGAGGGUCGUAAAAACCUCAAACCUGGGCCUGGGUGCGAAUGGAAGUGGGGCCCGAUCACCAGGCCUGGGAGGGUUGCUUCCACUAGAUUGAUGGGGGUUGCCAUGUCUGCCACGUUUGUGAUUGCCGAAGGGAUGCUGGUAGCUAUCCUUCCGCUUAUGUGGUUGGUUGUCCUGGGCAAUCGGGGCAGGGGUAGAAUGCUGAGGUGGGGCUGGGGCGGGUGCUGAAGCCGGUGGAGGGUCGGCGAAAGUGUUGCGCGCCAAGUUGGCUGGGCCACGCUUGGAAUUGAAGUAUUCAGCCUUAGCGUGGAUCGCCGCCUGCUUCAUCAGCUCUGCAUAUGUGUUCCAACUGUUGCUAUGAACCAGGUAGCGGAAGUUGGACUCGCGGAGGCCGCUCUUAAAAGCGCCGAAGGCAGCGCGAUCGUCAGUGUCUGGGCAGCGAGAGUAUUCAUGACUGAACCGAGCUGCAUAUUCCCGAAGGGGUUCGUCCUCAGCCUGCCUAAGCAUAUACAAGUCGUCGGCAGAGUAUAGGCGAUCAGUCUGGAUCAUAAAAUGGUCCAGGAACGUCUGCUUGAGACUAUCGAAGGAGUUGAUGGUGCAGGGGUGGAGCCUGUAGAACCAAUUCAGGGCCGCGCCGCUGAGGGUGGAAGGGAAAAGGAGGCACAUGCCUUCAUCAGUGAGGCCUUUGCACCCAAGGGCAGACUGGAAGGAGUGGAUGUGGGUGAGAGGGUCCUCCGUGCCAGUGUAGAAAGCGAUGCGGAGGGGCUGGAUAUCUUUCUCCUGGUGGUAGUGGAGGAUGCGUUCAGUAAAGGGCCCUGGUCGUGGUUUUGCCCAGAGGGGUUGAUGGCUGCGUUGUUGUUCGCUUUCCAAGCGCCGGACCUUUUCGAAGAGAAGCCUCAUGGCCGGGUCGGCAUGAGGAAGAGUUUCAGGCGCCAAAGGCCUGGGGGCGGGGCAGACAGGGACUGGGGAUUGUUCCCAAUUUUCCAGCGCCCCGGUGUGGUAAUUUGGCCAGGUCUCCGAAUUAUAAAAGUCCCAAGUAUCCGAGUCCCCGACACCUUCCUCGUCGGGUAUGCGGACGGGGGCUGGCGAAGGGCCCGGGUGUGUCACCCGUGGGUCUUCGAGGUUGACAGGGAUAGGGAUCGGCCUUGGCUGGCGGUCCGAGAGGCGAUCCCUGCAAUCUUGGUAGAUCCUGACUGGUUCAUGGGGCCGGUCCCUCGGUGGGGGAACGCAAAGGGGUCGUGACUGGGCUAUCUCCGGAUGAAGGUGGUCCUUACCCUUGCGGAGCCUAGCCUGGGCCGAGGCACUGUGGCUGGAAUGUACCGGCUGGUUCGGCUGAGUAGGCCCAACGUUCUGGGUGAGGUCUUGCGGGGCAUCCUGGGUGUGAGUCCUUUCCCAGUUCCGCUUUAAAACACGGUAGUCAUGUUCUAGCUCAAUGUUCCUGCAAUGAAGGUGGUCGUAUUUUUCCGACAUUUUAGUGACACUGUCGCGGAGACGCUCCACUUCUGCCUGGAGAGUGGCAUCUUCCGAAGAUCUCCUUCUAGAAGUACCAUCGCGGGGGGUAUGAUGCUGGGUAUCGCGGCUAUCCUCGGUCGGCAUAGCAGAAUGUGGGGUGAAGAAGAGGCGACGGGGCCUGAGGGGUGAAGGAGCCAGCUGGGCUGAUAGAGAAAGAGGGGAUUCAAGUGUCGAUUUCCCACAGACGGCGCCAAACUGUUGAUGCUCAAAAUGGCCCGGCCAAUAUUGAGUCCAACUUAGUGAUUAGAUGUGCUGAGUCUUCAGCAGAGAAGAGGGCUGAGGCCCUUGGUGAAAUGGGUUGGUGAGAGACCUGUAGAAGGUAAAAAGAGGAGAAGCAAUCGUCAAGCUUCGGACACCGGUGUGGUGCCGGCCGAAGGCUCUCCGAUGCCUAAGUCAAUUACAAGUAGUAAUUCUGGCAGAGUAACAGUAAAAGUGGGAGAGUAGUUCUCUGUUUUACCUGGGUACUGUUCCCUAUUUAUAGGGAAGUGAAAGUGGGAGCUUUGCACAAAGUUCCAAUGUGGGACUUUGUGCAAGCCAUUGUGGUGACGACACGUGUCCUGGAGAUUAGGUUUGGCAGCUGAGAGCUUCGGCAGGUGUCUGGCACCUCGGAAGUGUGUCUUCCUUCGGCAUGGGAGAAGGCGUGGCUGCCUUGGUGCUAGUCGCUUUGAUGCUGGGUCUGCUCGGUUCAUUAUGGUGUAAACAUAAAGUAUUAGGAAUUUUCUUUAGCACCUUGACAUUCAAUUUUCUCUAGUCUCAUUAUGAUUGACGUGUGAUUUCCAUAACAUUAAUUAUGCAUUGUAUAUAGCAGAUAAUUUACUCCUUUAUAUGGUUUUGUCUUGUAUGAUUGUGUGGCUUUCUUCCUUUUUUCCUAUAUAUAUCUGAUGCAAGCUAGCAUAUAUCAAUAUACACUUGCAGUGUUUUUGCAUGUGCAUGUGCUUUUGAUCAAUUAACAUGAAGGGCGACGGAAGGUGCUUGAAACUCUUUCUUGCAUUAUCGAUCCUUUUCCUACAAAACGUAAAAGGAGGAGAAGUUGGCCACAGCCACAACCACAGCCACAGUCACAGCCUCAGAGAUGCUAAAGUGACAGUGAGGUGCAUAGAGAGGGAAAGGCAAGCACUACUUGCAUUCAAACGUGGCCUGGUGGAUGAGUUCAAUCUACUCUCAACUUGGGGUUCAGAAGCCGAAAAACAAGAUUGUUGCAGAUGGG